This 95191-nucleotide long non-coding RNA is filed under the name Triticum aestivum (bread wheat). RNAcentral describes it as "long non-coding RNA (TAES_LNC009704)". The record is from RNAcentral. Lineage: Eukaryota; Viridiplantae; Streptophyta; Magnoliopsida; Poales; Poaceae.
AUCAUCUGACUCAGCACCAUCUUCCUCAUGAACUUCAUCCUCACUAUCCGGAAUCAAAUUCAGAUAGAUAACAGAAAUCCCGGGCCUAUCUUUUCUGAAGGAGAAGCUGAUCAAUUCACCCCCACUAAGACGGUUGUGGGCGAUGAAACGAUCCCAAUCAUCUCCUCCUAUCUGGGUUAUCUUUCGCCCCUUCUCGACUUGCAUAGUGUAUGGGCCCCCAAGAGCAUCGAAGGUCACGGUGUCUGCGACGAGCUCAUUGAAUGCCAAUCUCACAUUGCAUGGUACGAUCUAUGUAAGAUAAAAACAAAUAACAGACACAAUACAUUAGUGGAAAUAGCAAAAAAACAAAAAGAAUGUACUGUCAGAAGGUUCAUAUAAAUUGUUACCGCUGUAAAAACAAAAGAAGGCUGGAAGUAGAUGCUGAACAGCGUGGCAGUAGAAAGGCUGGUCCGGCACCGUGAGUUGCAGCGUCCACAUUGUGCUUCCUCCAUUCUACACAGAACGUGUUGAACUCUAAGUUGAAUUGUACAUAGUACAAUACAAAGAUCAUACAUAUAAUAAAUCACAGUGAUAACCUAUACUGGCAAUGGCCAAUCAAUCUAUUUUCUAUCAUCUACGUAAUAAAGCAAUGGCAAUGACAAUUCAUCUAAACCUGGGAAUAGUUCGGCAUCCAAACUAAAACCAGUCCAAUCCACAGCACACAUCAAAACCAAACCAAUCCAGAUAUUUUCAUUUAGAAUCUAGACCAAACCGAACUAUACAUGCUCGUCAUCCAACCCAGUCCAAACCGUUUUCAACUUUUGGAUUGAAUCCAAAGGUUCAAACCGUGGACAAAGCCAUACACGAGGGCACGUCAUGAAUCUAGAUCAGACAUGGCGUCAAAGCUCGAGAGAGGCGACGAGCUCCGGCCAGCAACAGCGGGAUUUGAAGCAGUAGUAGGUGGUAGUGGUGGCUCAAACUAAUUGAUUGAUUUGGUCUCAAACCAUAGAAACCAAAUCAAGAUCCAAUCCAAAAACUAAGUUUCAGUCCAAAACCAAUCGGCUCAAAUCCGCCUCCGUAGGGAGACGCGGUUGGGGAAGGGAAUAAGAGGGGAGAUCUCACGUACUUGCCGGAGUUGGCGGCGGCCGCGCACCGGCAGCAAAGAGAGGGGUCGUCGAGAGAUGGCGGCGACGGCGGCGGCGCUGGUCGAGAAGGGGAGAAAGAAAAAUGUGGAGUGGUCGAGACGGGGAGAAAGAAAAAUGUGGUACAUGUGGUGGCUCGGUUGUGUGGAUGACAAGGGGACCCACUUGUGAGACCGAUAGCAAUUGAUGGCUAACCGCAGGAGGUGCAGGACCGCGUGCACGACCGCCACGUCCCCACGUGGAAUGGGGACGGCCGGGUGGGUGUGUCAAGUCAAAUUGGCACCCGCGGCUUCUCGGUAACUCCAAGAGGCAGGAGCAGUGCAUUUCUUCCCCAUAUCGGGUAGAAAACCCUCGUCCUCUCCCCACCCUCUCUUCCUUCGUCACCACCUCACCACCCUCUCCUCCUUCCUCACCACCCUCCUCCCUUCCUACGCCUCCCUCCUCCUGUCUUCGACCGACAAUGAAGCGCGGGCGUGAAGAUGCGGCGGACGAGCCGGAGGCAACCAUCGGAGCAGAGCAGUCUGCUGCCGUGGAUGCAGCCGUGGGUGGAGCGGCUGAGUCCGCCGUAGCGGCGGAAGCUGGCGGUGCAGCGACCGUUGUGCCUGCUCCCGCUGCCAUCGCAGCUGUCGAGGCACCCGUCGGCGAGCACAAGGUCGGGGAAGAUCUGGAGGAGGAGGAGAUGAGAAGGCAUAAGCGGAAGGUGCAUGACUGAAAGUGCAACUAUCCCUAGGUGGUUUUGGUAAUUCAUAACAACAUAUAGCUCAUUGAGCUAAUGCUAUUUCAAGAUGAUUAUUUCAGGAAAGCUCAAUGAUUGGCAUGGCAUGGAUGUGAAAGUGGAAUCCUCAAAAUGCGAAGGAAAAAGAAUUGGCUCAAGCUCAAAAGUUCAAGACUCUUCAUUUUAUAUUUUAGUGAUCCAAGAUCACAUUGAGUCUUUAGGAAAAGCCAAUACUAUUAAGGAGGGAUGAGGUGUUGCUUAAUGAGCCUCUUGCUCUAUGUGCUUAGUGAUAUGCUCCAAAAUCCUCAACCACUUUUCCAUAUCCACAAAUGACCUAAACCCUAAGCCAAACUCGGUCUUACCGAUUCUGUCAAUCCGGCGCCACCGAGUUUCACUUGUCAUUUGAGACUGCCAAACCCUAGCAAUUCGGUCCUACCGAUAAGGUUCUCGGUCUCACCGAGAUGGGCUUGCAAACUCUCUGUUUCCCUUUCGUAACUUUUUGGUCUCACCGAAAGAGCGAAUCGGUCCCACCGAGAAUGCAAGGUAAACUCUAUGUUUCCUUCUUGUAACGUUUCGGUCUCACCGAAAGAGCAAGUCGGUCCCACCGAUUUUGCCUGACCAACUCUCUGGAUAGCUAAUUGCCGAACUUGGUCUCACCGAGAUUACGUUAUGCCCAAACCCUAACCGAAUCGGUCCUACCGAGUUGCAUCUCAGUCCCACCGAAAUUCCUAAUGGUCACUAGGUUUACCAUUUCGGUCCGACCGAGUUUGAUUAUUUGGUCCCACCGAGAUUGGAAAACUGUGUGUAACGGUUGGAUUUUGUGUGGAGGCUAUAUAUACCCCUCCACCACCUCUUCAUUCGAAGAGAGAGCAAGCAAAACACAUACAUCAUUCCUACUCAUAUGUUCUGAGAAAGAACCACCUACUCAUGUGUUGAGACAAAGAUAUUCCAUUCCUACCUUAUGAAUCUUGAUCUCUAGCCUUUCCCAAGUUGCUUUCCACUCAAAUCUUCUUUCCACCAGAUCCAAAUCCUAUGAGAGAGAGUUGAGUGUUGGGGAGACUAUCAUUUGAAGCACAAGAGCAAGGAGUUCAUCAUCAACACACCAUUUGUUACUUCUUGGAGAGUGGUGUCUCCUAGAUUGGCUAGGUGUCACUUGGGAGCCUCCGACAAGAUUGUGGAGUUGAACCAAGGUGUUUGUAAGGGCAAGGAGAUCGCCUACUUCGUGAAGAUCUACUGCUAGUGAGGCAAGUCCUUCGUGGGCGAUGGCCAUGGUGGAAUAGACAAGGUUGCUUCUUCAUGGACCCUUCGUGGGUGGAGCCCUCCGUGGACUCGCGCAACCGUUACCCUCCGUGGGUUGAAGUCUCCAUCAACGUGGAUGUAGGAUAGCACCACCUAUCCGAACCACGGGAAAACAUCCAUGUCUCCAAUUGCGUUUGAAUCCUCCAAACCCUUACCUUUACAUUCUUGCAAGUUGCAUGCUUUACUUUCCACUGCCAAUAAACUCUUUGCAUGCUUGCUUGAAUUGUGUGAUGAUUGCUUGACUUGCUCUAAGAUAGCUAAAAUCUGCCAAGAACUAAAAUUGGGAAAAGGCUAAGUUUUUAAUUAGUCAAGUAGUCUAAUCACCCCCCCUCUAGACAUACUUUCAAUCCUACAAGUGGUAUCAGAGCUUUGGUCUCCAUUUGGCUUGAUCUUCAUAGCUUUUGGUGGUCAUAGCCUUGGUUUCACAACCUAGGAGAGUAUGGCAUCUAGCGAGGGAAAUUAUCACCGUAGAGGUCCUUACUUUGAUGGCACUAAUUUUGCUAGUUGGAAGCAUAAAAUGAAAAUGCAUAUUCUUGGACAUAACCCCGCCGUAUGGGCUAUUGUUUGUGUUGGCUUGCAAGGUGAGUUCUUCGAUGGGAGGGAACCAAACCGUGAAGCUACCGCGGAUGAGUUGAAGAUGUUGCAAUACAAUGCUCAAGCUUGUGAUAUUCUCUUCAACGGAUUGUGCCCCGAAGAAUUCAACAAAAUCAGCGGCCUUGAGAAUGCAAAGGAGAUUUGGGAUACUUUGAUUGAUAUGCACGAAGGUACCGACUCCGUCAAGGAAUCCAAGUUGGAUGUGCUCCAAAGUCAACUUGACAAGUUCAAGAUGAAGGAUGGUGAAGGUGUCGCUGAAAUGUACUCCAGGCUUGCUCUCAUCACAAAUGAGAUUGCCGGCUUAGGAAGUGAAGAGAUGACCGAUAGAUUCAUCAUCAAGAAGAUCCUAAGAGCCUUGGAUGGGAAAUAUGAUACCGUGUGCACAUUAAUCCAAAUGAUGCCCAACUACAAAAUCUCAAGCCAACGGAAGUAAUUGGAAGGAUUGUUGCUCAUGAGAUGUCACUCAAGGAUAAAGAGGAACUUCACAAUAAAUCAAGUGGUGCCUACAAAGCGUCAUGUGAAGCCCCCGCAUCAUCAAGUGAGAAACAAAACUUCAAUGAAGAAUUGAGCUUAAUGGUGAAGAACUUCAACAAGUUCUACAAGAGUAGAAGCAAAGAUAGAAGCUUCAAGUCAAGGUCCUACAAUGACAAAAGAUCUUCUAGUCGAGAGCGAAACUGCUAUAAUUGUGGAAGACCCGGACACUAUUCCAAUGAGUGUACGACUCCCUACAAGAGAAGAGAAGAUUCUCCAAAAAGAAGAAGCAAAGAAUCUCCACCAAGAGAGAGAAGGAGUAGAGAUGAUCGUUAUGAACGAAGAUACUCACGGAGAAGCAAGGACUCGGAAAGGAAGGAAAAAUCAUCAAGGAGCUAUACAAAACAAAGACAUCAAGCUCAUGUUGAUGAAUGGGUAUCCGGCUUCGACUCCGACAGCCACUCAGAGAGAAGUUAUCACUCCGACUCCGAAGAUACUCAAGAUGAAGGUGUUGCCGGUCUAGCACUUGUGUCAACCAACUCCUACGACAUAUUUGACUCCCCAAAUGAAGGAAUUGGAAGAUGCUUCAUGGCUAAAGGUCCUAAGGUAACACACCCCGAGUACGUUGAUUUUAAUAGUGAUGAAGAUGACUUGUUAGGUAAUGAUGAUUUGCUUGUUGACAACUCUAGUGAUGAGUACUAUGAUGAAACAUCAAUUAAUCAUGCUAAAACGAAUGACAAUGAUAAGGAGAAGAUUGAGGCUCUAACUAAAGAACUAAACACUCUUAAGUUAGCUCAUGAAACUAUCUUCGAAGAUCAUCGAGAACUUUUAAGAGCUCAUGAGAAAUUACGCUUUGAAAAGCUCAAUCUUGAGCAAGAGCAUGAGUUCUUAAAAGCAAUCAACGAUGAUCUCCGCAAGAAUAGUUCUUCUUACAUUGCCAAGCGUUUACUAUUAUCCACUUACAUGCCUCAAGUCAAGACUAGUAACAAGAAUAAGAAAGAUUCUUCCUCUAGUAGUGACAAUGAUCAUGCUAAAUCCAAUAUUGUUGCUUCUAGUAGUUCUCUUGAUUCCACUAAUGAUUCUCUUAGCCAAGUUACACUUGAGCAAGAAAAUAGCUUAUUGAAGGGAAUUAUAGAGAAAGGUGUUUACAAGAGCCUUGCCGGAAGUAAGCAAUUCGAGGAAAUUGUGCACAAGCAAGGAAUGCACCGGAAGAAUCAAGGUGUUGGUUUUGAACGAAAGUUCAAUGCCAAUGGAGUUGAAUGGGAAGAAGAUCAAUACCCCAAGACAAAGUUUGUUCCUCAACAAGAGAAGUAUGACACUUCUUUCAAGGGGACACAAGCUCAAGAUGAUCUUCCACCACAAGACUACAAGCAAAAAGGCAAGGACAAGCUUCAAGAGGAGAUUGAUGCAUUUGAAGAAGCUCCCAAGACCUUAGUCAAGUGGAUUCCCAAGACUACUUCAAGUUCCACUACACCAAGUACGACUACAACUCCAAGGAUUCCCAUCAAGAUGGUGUGGAUCCAAAAGAAGAAGAACUAGAGAGUUCUUGAGGGUGACUCCGCCAACAUAAUUCACUCUUAUCAUUUUGGCAAGAACAAGUGCAAUCAACUUCCACAUCUUGCACUAGUUCAAGGAGUUACAAACCCUCUUGUUGGUAAGACAAGGGACAAGGUAACCUAAAGUUUUCAUGGACAUCAUCUUGUGUGUGCAUCACUCUAUGUCUAUGGAUAUCCUUGUUUGUUCCUUGUGGGACUAACCCAUGUAGGUAUUGAAAGUGCAAUUCACUCAAAUGGAUAGCUCCAAGUGAUCUACAUCAACAUUGAGCAUCCACAUCUUCAACAUCUACAUGAAGUCAUCAUCGACAAAACCCAAGGUUAGUUCAUCCCUCUUAGGGGGGAUAUCACAUCUAGGGGGAGCUUUACUCUAAGACUUGAGCUAAAGCAACUCUAAAGAUGUGAAUACAACAAUGCUUUAUGUAAAAGUGGUAACCCCACUUGAGCUUAAACGAUGGGUAUGACCUAUGAUCAAGUGUUCUCACUUGACUCCUAAGUCAAUAUGCUCAUAUAUAGAUGACCUAGUCAUCGCAAAUUGCUUUAUAGAUGCUAGAAUUGGUUGUGCAUGCUUUGCCACAUAUUUCAUUUGCCAUCUUAUUGUGUGAGCAUGUUGGUUGCAUAUUUUACUCAUUCGAGGACAUCCACUUGUUGUUUUGAUUGUUUGGCUUUCUUUUUUUGCCAAGUGGAUGGACAAGAAUGCCUAAGAACCUCCUCUAGCUAUCUAUGCUUUUCUCGUCUCAAACUCUAUUCAUGCUGCAUCACAAAACUUGAUCAAGUCAGAUUCGAACCACUCUGUGUGAGGAGCGCUCGGAGUCCCCGAUUCGUCAUAGACUUAAACUUCCAAAACCUCUUUAUGAAUCUCGGUCUGACCGAUACUCCAUUUUCGGUCCUACCGAGUUCAUUAAGUUGAUCUAGGUUUUCGAUCUCGGUGCAACCGAUUUGAACUUUUCGGUCACACCGAGUUGCAAUAACUGCACACAGUUUUGCAUCUCGGUGCCACCGAGUUGUUCCACUCGGUCACACCGACAGGGUCGGGCUAUAUAUAGUGACGGGAAAUUUUUUGGAAAUUUCUCCGAAACCCCUUCGCCCGCGCGAUAGCCUGCUCUGCCUUCGUGGUCUCCGGAUCGUCUUCUCGUCGCCAGCAGCCUCCAGUCACUGGUCUCCGCCGCCGUCAACGGAUUUCUGCCCCGCCGUUGCCGCCGUAGCGAGUCUCCGCCGAACUAGGGGUCAGCAGUCAGUUUGCAACAUGUCUGAUCAAAGUGACAGCCAGAAUGUGUCUGAGCAGCAAGUUGUGAUGAGUGAGGGCACUAGCCCCUCAAGCUCUUCUGAUGAUGGCAGCAGGAGCACCCCCAGCAAUCUGCCCAAGGCCGCCACACGUCAAAGGAAGAAGAGAACGUCUGAUUCUGAGGAUGAAGACUAUGUGGCAGAGGAAGAGGCCACAUCAAAGAGAGCUGAACCAGCUCAAGGAACCAAGCCAGGGCUGAAGAUCAAAAGGCCAACAGGCAGGCAGCCCAUGUCAAAGGCUAGGGCUUCAACUGUGAAGCCUGCUCCCACUGAGCCCGUUGCUGCUGAGGGCAAGAAAAGGAAAGAAAGGGUGAAAAAGACUGUAGCCAGAGUGCUUGGAAAGGCCUCCAUCAUGGUCGAUGAGGAGGAAGAAGAAGAGGUUGCUGCACUAGCACCCAAGGCAGCCAAACUCAUGGGAGAUGCUAUAAGGUCAGGAACAGCUGCAUCCAAGCCCAAGGAUGCACCUAAGGCUGCAACUAAGCCUAAGAGUGCACCCAAGAGAAACACACGAAGCAUCCCAGCUGCAGAAAAGAACAAGGCCCCAACGCCUGAAGCUAUUGAAGAAGAGGAAGAGAGUGUCCUUAGGAAGAUCAAGCCUGAGCGUCGACUUAGCACUAUGCAUUUUCUAGGAACUUUUUGGUAACUUGUUGCCAAAGGGGGAGAAGAUGUAUAGAUCAUAGGCUUCGAGAGAGAGUGUGUUGCUUUUCUCUCUUGUUUUUAUUUGGUGGUUUUUCGAACUUUGUUUGCUUGUGUGUGAGAUACUAUGUCGUUAUUCGUGAGACAUCGAUGAUCAUGUGUUUGAUCAUAAGCUACACUUAAUGUUUGCUUAAUGCUUGCUAUAUAUUAUCAUUCCAUCUAUCGUUUGUGAUCAUUCACUAUUCUUGGUGAUGAGUGCAUGUAUUUCAAUCUUAUCAUUUUUGAGCGCUCCACCAAGAUGUAUGUGACAUGGAAGAGUAACCCAUGAUUCUAACUCCAUGUGCAUUUGCAGUCCAAAGCAAAUUUUAAAUACGCACAAAUUUAGGGGGAGCUCUUAUUUGUCACAUACUUCUGAAAGCGACGAUAUAUUUCAUGCUUAUUAUCAUUUGUCGAAGCUUUGAUCUAUAUGUUGUCAUCAAUUACCAAAAAGGGGGAGAUUGAAAGUGCAACUAUCCCUAGGUGGUUUUGGUAAUUCAUAACAACAUAUAGCUCAUUGAGCUAAUGCUAUUUCAAGAUGAUUAUUUCAGGAAAGCUCAAUGAUUGGCAUGGCAUGGAUGUGAAAGUGGAACCCUCAAAAUGCUAAGGAAAAAGAAUUGGCUCAAGCUCAAAAGUUCAAGACUCUUCAUUUUAUAUUUUAGUGAUCCAAGAUCACAUUGAGUCUUUAGGAAAAGCCAAUACUAUUAAGGAGGGAUGAGGUGUUGCUUAAUGAGCCUCUUGCUCUAUGUGCUUAGUGAUAUGCUCCAAAAUCCUCAACCACUUUUCCAUAUCCACAAAUGACCUAAACCCUAAGCCAAACUCGGUCUUACCGAUUCUGUCAAUCCGGCGCCACCGAGUUUCACUUGUCAUUUGCCACUGCCAAACCCUAGCAAUUCAGUCCUACCGAUAAGGUUCUCGGUCUCACCGAGAUGGGCUUGCAAACUCUCUGUUUCCCUUUUGUAACUUUUCGGUCUCACCGAAAGAGCGAAUCAGUCCCACCGAGAAUGCAAGGUAAACUCUAUGUUUCCUCUUGUAACAUUUCGGUCUCACCGAAAGAGCAAGUCGGUCCCACCGAGUUUGCCUGACCAACUCUCUCGUUAGCUAAUUGCCGAACUCGGUCUCACCGAGUUUGUGCGAUCGGUCUCACCGAGAUUACGUUAUGCCCAAACCCUAACCGAAUCGGUCCUACCGAGUUGCAUCUCAGUCCCACCGAAAUUCCUAACGGUCACUAGGUUUACCAUUUCGGUCCGACCGAGUUUGAUUAUUCGGUCCCACCGAGAUUGGAAAACUGUGUGUAACGGUUGGAUUUUGUGUGGAGGCUAUAUAUACCCCUCCACCACCUCUUCAUUCGAAGAGAGAGCAAUCAGAACACAUACAUCAUUCCUACUCAUAUGUUCUGAGAAAGAACCACCUACUCAUGUGUUGAGACCAAGAUAUUCCAUUCCUACCUUAUGAAUCUUGAUCUCUAGCCUUUCCCAAGUUGCUUUCCACUCAAAUCUUCUUUCCACCAGAUCCAAAUCCUAUGAGAGAGAGUUGAGUGUUGGGGAGACUAUCAUUUGAAGCACAAGAGCAAGGAGUUCAUCAUCAACACACCAUUUUUUACUUCUUGGAGAGUGGUGUCUCCUAGAUUGGCUAGGUGUCACUUGGGAGCCUCCGACAAGAUUGUGGAGUUGAACCAAGGUGUUUGUAAGGGCAAGGAGAUCGCCUACUUCGUGAAGAUCUACUGCUAGUGAGGCAAGUCCUUCGUGGGUGAUGGCCAUGGUGGAAUAGACAAGGUUGCUUCUUCGUGGACCCUUCGUGGGUGGAGCCCUCCGUGGACUCGCGCAACCGUUACCCUCCGUGGGUUGAAGUCUCCAUCAACGUGGAUGUAGGAUAGCACCACCUAUCCGAACCACGGGAAAACAUCCGUGUCUCCAAUUGCGUUUGAAUCCUCCAAACCCUUACCUUUACAUUCUUGCAAGUUGCAUGCUUUACUUUCCGCUGCCAAUAAACUCUUUGCAUGCUUGCUUGAAUUGUGUGAUGAUUGCUUGACUUGCUCUAAGAUAGCUAAAAUCUGCCAAGAACUAAAAUUGGGAAAAGGCUAAGUUUUUAAUUGGUCAAGUAGUCUAAUCACCCCCCCUCUAGACAUACUUUCGAUCCUACAAUGACGAAAUCGAGGAGCUCUUCGAGGAGAACGCCAUAAAGGAGUUCGACCUAGAUAGCAGGAAGGGCAGCGACUUCGACGAGGAUGCCAUCGACGACCUAUCUGAGGUAGUACUCUGUUUUUGCUCUGUUUUUUUCAUGACAUUGGGGUUUUUCUUGUUAACUACAUGAGCAUCAAUUUCACUUGGGCGUGCUAGUUGUACGUAUGUAGGAUUGUAGGGAUCUAGCAUAGAUCUUCAUGUUGGAUGUGGUUUUUUAAAUCUGAUUGACAUUCUGAUUCCAGCAAAUACUUUGGGUUUUUUUCAUGGCAUUGGGGUUUGUCUUGUUAACUAGAUGAGCAUAAGUUCCACAAGGGAUACAUUAAUGAAAGAAGUGGGGUAAUGAACCCAACUACAAGAUAAUGUUCAUGGCAGGGAUACAUUAAUGGAAAAAGUGGGUUAAACAAUGGAUAUAUGGCAGGAUUCUCCAUUGGCUUCCCCAGGACAGUGACAAAAUGCUGCAGUUCCUGAUUCAUUUUAGUUUAUGUAGAUGAAUUAAUUUGCACACAUGUUCAUAGAUGAUUAGUUUGCACACAUGUUCAUAGAUGAUCCAUUUGCAAAUUCUAUACAGCUUUCCAUUUUGCAAAGGAAGUGAUCGCUCCCUUAAUAAUUAUGGGCUGACAGUACAUAUCCACUGGAUACCAAAAAAUCAAAACAUUUCAUCUAGCCAAUUUUCCACAGUAUGUUAUCUAGAUGAUCACAGCCACAUCUCUCAUCAAUAUGAGCAGUGAGACACCCCAUAGCUCCUUUACCAAUUUCCUUCUGAAACUUAUCAGGGUCUAACAAUGUUGGACAAGCAGUAUUGCCGGUGUCAGAAAGAAUAAUGGUUUCUUCAUUCCAGUAGAUAGAACAAACCCCCCUUGUGUGAAACAUGGAGGAGUACAAUGAAGCCAUUUUUCUGAUUCCAAUAAGAAUUACACCUGUAACAAGUAUCAAAUAUCAUUAAACCAAGCCACUUCAUGAAGUCUUUCAUGUGUUAAUUAUGUACUACUUGUGCACUAAUCUAUAAAUGCAACUAUUCCACCAUCCGUAUUUAUGCAUGUCAGUUUCUUUGGCUCAAUUAUGUAUGUGCACAUACGCCUUGUUUCUAGCAAAUAGAUAGUUGCCAUGUUACACGUGUGUACUUUCAAAACAUUGUAAUUAAAGUCAAUGUACCAUAAUGGAUUAGCUGAGUUCUUCUAUGUGUACUAAUUCACUAAUUCACAGGAGGAUGACGACGAUGUGGACUACUGCAUGGACAGCAGGCACAACAAGAGCCGGUACACCCUGAGGCAUCUGAUUGCUGGGAAGAUCAAGUACCGUUUCUUUGGCAAGAUUGGGUGCCCUUUCUGUUGCAAGGUGAUCGGUGGCGGCAUAGAUGGCAUGAUCCAGCAUGCCUUCAGCACUGGCAAUGGACAUGGUAAGAAGCAUAAAGCCAGUACUUUGGCUAAACAUGCUGCCUACGCACGCUUCCUCGAGAUUGUGAAAGUCAAUGAGCCCUACAACAUGCAUUGAACAAGGGAGAGAAGUGAUGUGCUGCUAGAGUGCUGCUGCUGCCCCAGGACCCCCGUGUCCUGUUAUGUUAUGUAUGUUUGUUUGUUGUUGGAGUCUAAAACUGAUGUCCUAUGGUGUGUCUGAACCUAUGCUGAGCGGUGGUUGAUCUGCCGUUUAUGUUAAGAGUUUGCUGCUACUCUAGUUUAGUGUUCCUAGUUGUUAAUACUAUUUUGGUGAUGCAUGUUUAAGCCUUGUACAAUGCUAGAUGCUUAGGGUGGUGCUUAGAAAAAUAAACAGGGUUUUUUUGAAGCACCAGUGCCUAUUUCUACAGGAGAGACGCCUAGUUAUGCGUCUACCCUGUACAAAUAAGCACCUGUGCUUAAGAAAAGCCUAGUUUAUUUCUAUAAGCAACUCCCCUAAGCGCCUUGCAUUGUACAAGGCCUUAGCAACUCAAGUAUCGUACGGUGGUCUACGUUAUGGUUGCUGUGUUAUUCUGCCGUACGGUGAUGCAUGCUAGGAACUGUCAUAAUAUGACUAUGGUAGUUAUAGCUUCGCAUGAUUAUGUUUAGUGUAUAACUCAGCAUGUUCCUACCAUAUCUAUGGGUAAUUACAACUGAACUAUGCAUUAAUUUUUGACAAAAUGAAAGCAUGCAAAUGAUUGCCGAUUCCACCUAUUGGAAAAUCAAGCUUUGGACUGAUGAUGCAUUAUAUAUUGCAAUAAGUAGAGGAUGCUCAUGAUUGCCAAAAGUACCUAUUUCCACUUUCUGAUAAGAACUAAACGUGUAUCAAAUGAUGCUAAAAGUAGAGCAUGAGCAUAAGCAUGUAUCAAUGCAUUAGAUAUUGCAAUAAGUAGAGGAUGCUCAUGAUUGCCAAAAGUACCUAUUUCCACUUUCUGAUAAGAACUAAACGUGUAUCAAAUGAUGCUAAAAGUAGAGCAUGAGCAUGAGCAUGUAUCAAUUGAUGCUACCUAUUUGUGUUUGAAUGGGCUCAAUAAAGCUGGUGCUGGUUUAUGCUCUCUGCGUGACCGUGAUGGUAACGAAGACACUUGGUUGGCUAUGGUCUUGCUGUCAAAUUUAAGUUUCAGUUCUUUAAGAUUCUUUGUUUUUGCUGCUUGCUCGGGAUCGACUAGCUUUCUCGGGCGUCCACGUGCUCUCUUCCUUUUGGGGGAGUUGGGUGCACCAUUUUUGGGGGAGUUGGCUGCACCGGUAUCCUUCUGGGAGUUGGAUGUGUCAGGUUCGUUGGAACCAUCGGGAUUGUUGACUAAUUGUACGUCCUCUUCUGAAGCAUCAGGUAGAACUGCUUGCUGGGCAUCGUACACCUCCUUCUGUAUAAGAGAGAGUGCUGCGUUAGUUCUAAUCAUGAGACUUAUGAAAUAAAUGAUAUAUUCUUCAUGUAGCGCUAACCGUUAUGGGGAACUUAUAUGAUUCGAGACGAAGCGCAUUGCAAUUUGAAUGCAGUAAGGCUGUACAUAUUUUCCACCUGAAAAUAUCUAUCCUUGCCUAUAUUGGAUAACCGACACUGACGUCAGCAUAGCUUUCAAGCUAAACAAAUUACAAAUUUAAAUUAGGCAUUCAAUUACCUGGUUCAAAAUAUCGGUCAUUUCAUCCCCGUUCCAUGACAACAUGUACUGCAGUGUCCAAACCGCACAGGAAGUCUUGCAAUGUUUAGUUAAAGAUCAGUAAUCUUAUUCGUGUACGCAAAUAAUAAUUUAUGAGGCCAUGCGUACCCAUCGGUCUGUUGUGGUAUGUUCUCAUAGUGUUUUUUGGUCCAUUUGGCAAAAUUGAUGUUAUUAGCUGGUGAUAUCAACCCUUUCUUGACCGCUUCGUCAAUGCAGAACUGAAUCGAGUCCACCUAGGUUACGACAAGUUAUACAUAGGGUUACGGUACUUUGGGAGCUCAUGUUCCAUGCGGAUCAAGAGAGGCAGCAAGAGAACACUUACAAGAGAAUCUUCCUUGGUCUUGUUGCAAUGAUAAUUCAUGGAGUUCAGAGUCUGAAUUUCUUUUUUGUCAAAAUUAAACAUCAUUAGCAUCCAAUGGUUUUGGUGUACAUUGAGUGGGACAUGCACCUGCAGUAAAAUUUGGGUUGGGUUGAGAACCGAAAUUUGUCGUGUACAGUGUGUACGUAAACUAUAAAAGUGUGGAAAACGUGUACCUUUCGGCGCCCUACAAAUUUUCCUGCUACACGAGCUAACCAUGAUGCUGCACGUCCAACAGGAACCACCCCCUUCAUUUGUAACAGCUUUUCGGUUUCUUGAGGGGAUAUGAUUGAGGUAGUAUCAUUCUCAAUUUGGCUAAUGAGAGCAUAUGCCAUAAUAACCUGCCAAAUUUUCAAUCAUACAAUAAUAAGACAGUUGUUGCAGUAAUGAUGUACAAUAGAGUAUAAUGGGCUUACAUCACCAUAAAUGUAUUUCUCGUCCAAAUUUCGCUUCAGAUUUUCUGCUGUGAGGGAAAUGUCUCCGAUUCUAGCUAUUUCAACAGGGUCAUAUGUUCCGCGGGUGUAAACGGCUGUCUCUAUGUCCUCAUCCGUGAACUUGUAAUCAUUACCAAAGACAGGCUUCAUCGGAGUUAAUUGUGGUUCCUCAUUGUUUUCCCUCACAUGUCUUGCACUUGGUGUACUCAAAGUCCCUGUCGUGAUUUGGCUAGCCCUAGGAGUUCCUGUCAGGGAUGAAUUGCACACAUUGACUUGAUCCUACAAUGAACAAAGGUAGUUCAUCAUUAGUUUGUUACUUUUAGAUAUUAACGUGUUGGGCCAAUUUUGAUCACCUGCACGCCUCCUUUCUGUGACACUGAUUGUCGGUUCCUUGUAAAUUCGUAUUUUAAGUCCUGUAACAAUGCAAACAAUAAUGAACAUGAAGGAACAUAUUCAUAAAAAAUACAAAAUGCACAGUAUGACAUACAUGGAGUUCCCUCCUUAAGUCUUUAAUUUCGUCCUCGGCCUUCGACAACCUAGGAUUAGUGCCAGUUUUAGUCUUCAUGUCGAUCAAGUCUUCACCUAGAGUCUGGUAUUUGACAUCAAAUCUGUGCUCAAUUUCCAUUAACUUCCUGCAUACCUUCUUUUCAUGAUCAGCAAUGCGUGCAUUCAUGACUUCAACUACCAUUUCAAUCUGUGUAAACAAAAUAAAACCCCAUUGGUAACAAUAGCUAAAUGAAUGAGGUUCCAUGACACCUAUUUGUGAUAUUGCAAAAACAAAUAGUCUUUGGAGUACAUACUUGCUGGCUACUAAAUUGCUGUCCUUGUGAUGGUGCUCGAUACGAAUCAUGUUGAUGCACAUGUUCAUCUUUUUUUCUUGGAAAAUUAUUAGAAUUAUCGGACGGUCGUUGAGGAGCACAAAUUUCCAUGACAACCUAUUUUUUUAAAAUAUAAUGAACCAUUAGUACCAAAUAAAAAAUCGAAUAUAGAAAGUUCAAUUGUAGAUAGGUACCAGCCCGUUAUGAAGACCUCCUUUCUCGUAAGCAUCGCUUCUUAAAGUAGCCAUCAUUUCGUCCCAUCGUGCGAUCAAUGGAGGGGGUCUAGAAGCAUACAUUAAUCGGCCACUACGCACGUGCUCCCAGUACCAAUACUACACAAUAAAUUAGUUCAUCACCAUACAGAUAUGCAACAGAACAAUAAUUAAAGGACAUUAAGUAGUGAUCUAUCACUAACCUAGAGCAGAAUUAGAUUUCAUUGUAGAUUUACGUGAUCUCGAUUUCUAAACUUGUGAACGGACUUGAAGAAGUGAUUAAGUGUGAAACAUCCCCAGUUAAAUUUCCGAAGGUUUUCAAGAUCUGUAACGAGGUUGAGAAAUUUCGAGUCCACAUAAUGUUGUGCUGUUGGUGCUAGAACAGUACCAAUUGCGUACAGAAUGAACCGCCUCAGGAAAUCGCCGUCUGGGGCUUUGGAAGCUCGGAUCAUUGUUUCAAGGUCAGAAAUCAAAAUUUGCCCAUUGUUUGCAUAGGCGGUAAACAAUUCUGUGUCGGUUUGCAUUUCCAGAUGUGGCUCUAUAUCCUCCCCUUCUAUCGGAAUGCCAAAUAUACCUUGCACGUCCUCUUUUGUUAUAGGAAUUGGCGUUUUACCGAUGGUAAUGGAUUGCGUGUCCAUAUCUAUGCUCUUGGCUAGUCUAACCAACAUUAUGCGCCGUAGAGUCACUUCAUGCAUCUGGGUCAGACCGCCAAGACUGGUUUCUGAUAUGAUGUACUUUCUGUGGUCUUAUGAAAACAGUUUCAUGGUUUUUCCGAACCUUGUCUGUGAGCAUACUAACUUCAUAUGACCAUGCUUUUCGGCGAGUUCCUGUUACAUGCCAUUAAAUAUUACUGAGUACACAUGAAUUAUGUGUACGAAACGAUUGUACACAAACAGUAAAUUACUUACCACAUCGGUAAUUUCGGAGAUGGGCUUUUCUCCAUUAUUAAGGUUCGUAUCUGAAACUGACAUUGCUGCCUCGUAUGCAAUGAUAAAAUCAGGCUCAAUUAAUCUGAACAAAAUUGGAAAAUCUAUAACAAAAUUAGCAGAGAAUUAAUUUUAACAAAAUUAACUGGGUCAUUUAACAUAUGAUCCACUUAUGGGUUUAAGCACAGAACCUACUUGGGUGCAAAACCUAUGAGGGUUCAACAACUAAAGCAUCGGCGAACAACGAUUAUAAAGAGUUACAAUCAGCUAAGACCUUACCUCGGAGAUGGUGCCACCGAGUAGAUGGCGGCGGUUAGUGCGUCGGAAACUAUAAGUGCCGGUAUAGCGCGGUCGACGGCGCAAAGGAAAAACGGCACGUUCACGCGAGGAGGAGGCGGCGAGAAGAACACUGACGUCCGAGCCCUUAGAUCACGUUGGCGGUGGGCGGCGAGUGGUGGUCGCCGACUCCUGUAUUCCAUGGGCGACCGGCGUCUCCGAUCUGAUCUUGCAGCGGUCGUGGGAGGUGCAGACGACCCGGGUGGUUAGAAUGCGGAGCUGUAAUCGCGGGAUUUAGGGAGGGGUGGGCCGCGUGAGUUAUGUGAGAUUUGGAUAAAUGAUAUAAAGAAAUAAGAAAAUCUUGUGAACUCGGUGUGGGGUUUAUGGGCUUUAGGGUUUAGGGGUUUAGGGUUAUUAGGGUUUAGGGAUUUAGGGGUUUAGGGUUAUCAGGGGUUAGGGUUAUCAGGGUUUAGGGUUGAGUGUUUACAUGCAAGCCCGGAAAUGCGCGUGUCAGAGAACAUACUUGCAUGUGUAUGUACUAAUGAUCCCAAACUUUCUUAAUGGCAUCCCAUGACCACAUAGAGAAUGAAUGCAUAAUGGUUUCCAUGUUGGGCAAAAUUUUGAAUGUUUUUACGGUUUAGUGGGGGGGGUGGGGUUAGGGUUAUCAGGGUUUAGGGUUUAAGGGUUCUAGGGUUGACGGAACUAUGUUUGUCUUACGGUGGACGUAGCACACACACCGGACAUUGGUGGAGCGUUGGUCUACAAUGGAUUCCCUCUGGUAGCAUCGAUCCGAUCCAUUGAAUGGCUCGGCCAACAAACUUCGUGCCACAUAGAGCAUGCAUCCAUCCACUGGACCGGAUCAAUGUUGGGUUGGUUUCAUACAGGUGAGGAAAGCAGCUAGUGCUUUCGGGGUGUUGACAUGCUAGGCCGGAAAUGCGCGUGUCAGAGAUCGUACUUGCAUGUAUAACCCCAAACUUUUUUCAUGGCAUCCCAUGACCCCAUAGAGAAUGCAUGCAUAAUGGUUUCCAUGUGGGGCAAAAAUUUGAAUGUUUUUACGGUUUAGUGGGGGGUGGUGGUUAGGGUUAUCAGGGUUUAGGUUUUAAGGGUUUUAGGGUUAACGGAACUAUGUUUUUCUUACGGUGGACUUAGCACACACACCGGACAUUGAUGGAGCGUUGGUCUACAAUGAAUUCCCUCCGGUACCAUCGAUCCGGUCCGUUGACUGGCUCGGCCGACAAACUUCGUGCCACAUAGAGCAUGCAUCCAUCCACUGGACCGGAUCGAUGUUUGCUUGGUUUCAUACAGGUGAGGAACCCAGCUAGUGCUUUCGGGGUGUUGACAUGCUAGGCUGGAAAUGUGCGUGUCAGAGAUCAUACUUGCGUGUAUAAUCCCAAAAAUCUUUCAUGGCAUCCCAUGACCACAUAGAGAAAUUUUGAAUGUUUUUACGGUUUAGUGGGGGGGAGGGGGUGGGGUUAGGGUUAUCAGGGUUUAGGGUUUACGGGCUCUAGGGUUGACGGAACUAUGUUUGUCUUACGGUGGACGUAGCACACACACCGGACAUUGGUGGAGCGUUGGUCUACAAUGGAUUCCCUCUGGUAGCAUCGAUCCGAUCCGUUGAAUGGCUCGGCCGACAAACUUCGUGCCACAUAGAGCAUGCAUCCAUCCACUGGACAGAAUCAAUGUUGGGUUGGUUUCAUACAGGUGAGGAAAGUAGCUAGUGCUUUCGGGGUGUUGACAUGCUAGGCCGGAAAUGUGCGUGUCAGAGAUCGUACUUGCAUGUAUAAUCCCAAACUUUUUUCAUGGCAUCCCAUGACCCCAUAGAGAAUGCAUGCAUAAUGCUUUCCAUGUGGGGCAAAAAUUUGAAUGUUUUUAUGGUUUAGUGGGGGGGGGGUGGUUAGGGUUAUCAGGGUUUAGGUUUUAAGGGUUUUAGGGUUAACGGAACUAUGUUUGUCUUACGGUGGACUUAGCACACACACCGGACAUUGAUGGAGCGUUGGUCUACAAUGGAUUCCCUCUGGUAGCAUCGAUCCGAUCCGUUGAAUGGCUCGGCCGACAAACUUCGUGCCACAUAGAGCAUGCAUCCAUCCACUGGACCGGAUCGAUGUUUGGUUGGUUUCAUACAUGUGAGGAACCCAGCUAGUGCUUUCGGGGUGUUGACAUGCUAGGCCGGAAAUGUGCGUGUUAGAGAUCGUACUUGUGUGUAUAAUCCCCAAAAAUCUUUCAUGGCAUCCCAUGACCACAUAGAGAAUGCAUGCAUAAUGGUUUCCAUGUGGGGCAAAAAUUUGAAUGUUUUUACGGUUUAGUGNNNNNNNNNNNNNNNNNNNNNNNNNNNNNNNNNNNNNNNNNNNNNNNNNNNNNNNNNNNNNNNNNNNNNNNNNNNNNNNNNNNNNNNNNNNNNNNNNNNNNNNNNNNNNNNNNNNNNNNNNNNNNNNNNNNNNNNNNNNNNNNNNNGGUUUUAGGGUUGACGGAGCACACACAUCGGACAUUGAUGGAGCGUUGGUCUACAAUGGAGUCCCUCCUGUAGCAUCGAUCUGGUCCGUCGACUGGCUCGGCCGACAUACUUUGUGCCACAUAGAGCAUGCAUGCAUCCACUGAACCGGAUCAAUGUUGGGUUGGUUUACAUGUACAUGUACAGGGACCCGAAAUGCGCGUGUUAGAGAUCGUACUUGCGUGUACAUGUACCAUCCUUCCAUCCACUGGCUGGGCCGACAACCUUCGUGCCACAUUGUUCACAUUGUCCAAUUAACACUUUGUAUAGAUUUUUUUCAUAAAAAAUGAACGAAAUAAUGCAACUAAUCUGAACGUAACGUUUGGCAUGUAUCAAACCAAGUUGCCACUAUUCCUCAAAAAAAGAACCCAGUUAGCCACUAAUUGCGCCAAACAUAUCUCGUAAUUACGAACGAAAAUGGGUUGACAAUUAUAUCUGGAAAUUCUUGGACUGAAUUUAUUGCUCUUCGUUUUUUAGAGAACAAUAAGUUAGAAUGGUGGGCGGCGGGUUGGCAUGGGCACGACCAUGGCUCGGGCUUGUGUCAUAUGUGGUUCGACCCGCGGUCAGUGCACAUGUUUUCGAAGCCCCGAAAAGAUCGUGCUCGUUAAAAAAAAAACUUGCAUCGACGCGCAUUACUUCAAAAUAACUAAUUAACCCUACAAUCACGGAUAUAGACCUUCCCAUUCUACCGCAUAUCUACCCUAUCCUAACCACCCCCAUCUACCUUGUUUCUCCUCACAUAGCCAUCGCCGGGAUCGCGCCAUCACUUCUCAAGCGACCACGCCGACGCCGGAUUACAAAAGGUCUCUUCCACGGCUUCUCUCAUCUUCGAUUGCAGUGAUGAUUAUUUUUUCCAUUGAUUCGACCAACAAGUAAUUUCCGAAGAGAUUAGAAAAUCCAGCUUUUACUAUGGUUGAGUAGUUCUGUUGUGAUUCGAGUACAGGAUGUCAUGCAAGAGCUUUUUGAUUGAUAGUUUGUACUAGUUGAUCGUGUGAACUUAUUAUGAAUAUUUUUUCACAGUCGUAUUGUUUCGAAUUAGUUGGAUGAGGGUGUGGAUACAGUUUUCAUACUAUGGGUAUAUGUGUUGCUGUAGGGACCAUGGUCUCAGAGGCGCAUAACAACCGUGCGGAGUACGACAAGUCUUUGCAUGAAGCGCGUCGGGAGAUCGACUUGAAGGUGCAAAAGGAUCGCGCUGAGGUAGAUAAGAAACAGAAAAAAGAACGUUCAUACGUGGACAGGAUGAUAAAGGAGGAGCGUGAGGAGUUUUCCCUUAAGAUGGCGAAGAUGCGUCUUGAGAUUGAAGAAAAGUAUAAGAGGGACUGUGAGCACAUGGAAAAAAAGUUUGUCUUAGGCUACAAGGAAAUGCAUCAAAUGUUGCAGAAGGACCGGAAGCUUGUGGACAGUAUUAUACAGACAGAGCGAGUCAGGAUGGAUGCCUAUGUGUUGCAGGCAUGUGCGGAUAUGGACAGUAAGCUGCUACAGGAGCGGUCGGACAUGGAUUAUAAGGCCAUGCUGGAGAAGGUCCGCUUGGAAGGACAUAUGUUAGAAGACCGUGCGAUCUCACGGCCACCCCGACAACAUGUCUUCAAUUAUUCUCCCCCUGUCAGUAUCUCGCACCGAUUCUAUAUAUUAAGGACCUACGUAUUCUAUGAUAUAAACAUCUUCAAUUUGUGGCAACCUUAUGUCGGCGAUUGUAUGUAGGCUAAGCAUCAUGACACGACACAGUCGCCAUUCACUCGACACAUUGCGAUAGAGUCACCCGUUCAAUGCCACAUCAGUCCACCCCAACAACAUAUCGUCAAUUCUCCCCUUGUAAGUACCCCGCAACAAUGCAUACCCAAUAUAUGGUAUGACCUUUCAAAACUUGUGUGUAAACCCACUAUCGACGUUUCAUACGCAGGAUAAGAAACCUGUGAUGGCAGAGUCCCCAGUCACACCACAUGAAGGAUACAUUCCACAUAAUAAGGUGAGAAGGUUUGAGAUGGCACAACCCCCAGUCACUCCACAUGAAGGAUACAUUCCACAAAAGCAGGUAACAACGCCGCAAUGUUGCUAUGCACAUAAAAAAUUAUGUUUGCCCCUUUACUCAUUGAAUGUAUUAACUCCGAUGUGAGAUACUAGGUGCUGGUCAUGGAAUUUUUUGUUAGUAGGGAUCAUGAGAUGUCACAUGUCCCGAGAGCAUACUUUGAUGAACACCCGGCAGAAGUCAGAAUUUUUGAACCCGCCAAAGUUACCUACGAUCUCAUUAUGAGUGAAAUGAGAGAUACUUUUGGUUGCAAACUGGGAGCAGAACUGUACUACUUCUUACCCGGGUCUGCGUGGAAGCUGCCAGAAGGAAUGUUCUUGAUUGCAGGACCAGAUGAUGUACAAAAAAUGCUUUCUGAUCUGAAUGGCAGCAAGACAUGUCACCUGUACAUUGUGUACAAUAGAACUACGGGUUGUUUUCCCGAGGAUGACGUUGAUUCCGAGGUUCAAAUUUUACAUGUUACAUGCAUCUAGUUUAUGGCUACGUCUUUUUUGAGUUCUUCCUAAUACAAUUCCUAUGGUUUUCUACAGGAAGUGAGAAUCCAAGAAAUGGAGUGUCUUGCUAGAGAGUUGGCAGAGAAAGACCAAGAACAACUUAAGUUGUAUGGUUACAUUGAUGUUAAAGAGAAAAAGAUUGAAGCACGUGGGUCGUCGCCAAGCCCGACGCAAUCUCCAACGACGCAACGCAAGAGGUCACUGGAUUUUGGUAGUGCAGAAGACAAUAUGGAGUAGGCUCAAUUGUUUUUCAACCAGUUAAAGCUUCAAACCAGGAUUAUUUAGUUGCAAACAAACAUUUUGUUUUCUGUUUCACACUAUGUUCGCAAUUAUGGUACAAUUUAUUCAUGAGACAUUUCGUUGAACAACAAUGCAUGUGUUUUAUGAUCAAUCAUACAGUUGUUUCUGAGUUGUUUUUGAGAUGGCAUUGUGUCUAAAGAAGUUUCCAUCUAUAAAACUUGCCACGCAGUCGCAUCGGAAUCGCGUAUCACGCGAGAGGCGUGCGUCGCACGGGAGAGCGUCGCACGCGAGCUUGUUUUCGGGUAGAAAUCAUAACAUAUUUCGGAUAGAUAAAGUUCACGUCCUCCACCCGCGCAUGCAAACCCACGUCGCCGCCAUUCCCAUGCACGCAUGCCUCAGGCGCAGACAACGAGACGGCCCAUCCGAAUUAGGCCCAUCCGAAGUAGGACAUUAGAACCCUCCCCCCACUCCACCUAUUCCCCUCGCACUGUGGCCUCCCUCCCUCCAUCGCCAGAUCCCCCACUCGUCCCCCUCUGUCCGCCGCCCCUGCAUGCCGUCAGCGACUUCACCUCCGCCGCCCCCGCACCCCCCGAACGAGAUCGGCCAGAUCCAUCUCCUCAACCAUCGCAGGACAACGCAGGUACCCCAGUUUCUGUUGACGUCUCAAUGGUAUCCAUGCUGAUAAUGCUAGGUAGAUCGACUGAGUGUAGCAAUUUUGUGCCACCAUCUGAAACUUGUGAUGCUUCCUACUGUACAAUAUAGGACUUUUCAAAGUUCUGUUAUGAUGGCACUUUUUGACACAUACAGUAGAGCUGCGUUUUUAGUUGUUAUACUUUCAGUUACCAUCACUGCUUGGGAAAGGACGAAUUGGAUGCAUUCAGGUCUGCAGUUGAUAGUGUAUCAUCAUAAUAUAGGUGCUGUGUUGUGUGAUUCUUCAUGCUGAGAACUUCAGCUUUUUCAGUUAUAGUGAAAGGCUUCUGUAUAAAAAAAACUACUAAAUGAUCACAAAAACUUCUAGACAACAUUUUGUAUGAUCUGACCAAAACUUGAACUAAAUGAUCACCAAAAGUUGAAGGAUUUUGCAUCACAUCACAACCAUAAGUCUUCUGCACCAGCAUCAUAACAAUCACAUAACUACAUAACAAAAGCAAACUUGUUCAUCAUUACAAAAGAAAACUUGUUCAACAUAAGAAAAGCUAACUUGUUCAGCAUUACAAAAGCAAACUUGUUCAACAUAACAAAAGCUAACUUGUUCAGCAUUACAAACGCAAACUUGUUCAACCACAUAACUGCAAACUGAGACACAUAAUACCACAAACAACUCAAUAUCCCAGUAGUAGGGGUCAUCCCAAUGAUCCUCCACCUCUUGCCAGUACUCCAAACCUUCUUUGACGAUAUCGAUUUUCUUCCAUGCCUCGUAGGUGACGUACGCAUCUUUCGCUGCGUACUCGAUGAGGUUGUUUGGCAGUGGGCUGUCCCCCCAUAGUUUGUGGUCCAAUUCCUUGUUGAUCUUCUUCUUCAUUUCCUUGUACGAUGGGUGGAUGAGGCUGGCUGCAAACUCAGCCAAAGCCUGCCACUUCUUUCCAUUCCUUGGAACUCUCCAUUUGCGCUGCAUGUCGACGUACUUGUCGGGGUUGAUCUCCAAACCAGACAAUUUCAGCUUCUCCUUGUCACCUCCAAUGGAGAAGCCAACAAAGGUGUAGAGCUUCUUCUCCUGCAGGAGUGGGCGGAGUUCCUUAGGCCUGCAUCAAAUUAAUCUGGUGCAUCAAAUUCAUCCACUUCAAAAACUUCAGAAACUACUAAUUAGACAUAAAAUUCAGAACUAGUAUUGCAUCUACUCCAGAACUUCAGAACUAGUAUUGCAUCUACUUCAGAACUUCAGAACUAUUGCAUCUACUUGAGAAACUUCUGAAACUUCAGAACUAUUGCAUCUACUUGAGAAACUUCAGAAACUACUAAUUAGACAGAAACUUCAGAACUUCAGAACUAGUAUUGCAUCUACUUCAGAACUUCAGAACUAUUGCAUCUACUUCAGAAACUACAGAAACUACUAAUUAGACAGAAAGUUCAGAACUUCAGAACUAGUAUUGCAUCUACUUCAGAACUACAGAACUAUUGCGUCUACUUCAGAAACUUCAGAAAUUACUAAUUAGACAGAAACGUCAGAACUUCAGAAACUUCAGAACUGGAUGUUUUUACCAUUUGGUUGCCGCGGUGAUGUGGUAUACCAGGACGAGAUCCUCCACGCAUAACUGUAGAACUGCAGCCUUUUGCGGAGGUUCAUCUUCCCUCGUAUACUCGACAUCAACGCCGAUCGACUGAGGAAACAUGCCGCCGAGCCUCCUCCUGAUCUCGCGGAUCCUCUUGUCGGCUUCGUAUGGAUUGCUGGUGCAUACGACAUCCAGCUUCUCCUUCAGGUGGAUAUCAACCAUGAGCUUCACGGUGUAGUCCUGCUUCUGCCCAGGGAUCGGAACGUCGUCGUCGACCACCAGCGGCUCCUUGCCAGACGCCUCACCUUGGUGAUGCUUGCCAGAUGGAGGGGAGUUGCUCCACGAUGCCUCCGCCAUUCUCUUGGCAGACGGAGGGGAGUUGCUCCACGAUUCCUCCGCCAUUGCCCUCCUGGCCAGCGAUGGUGGAGGCAGAGGGGAGUUGCUUGAUGGUGGAGGCAGAGGGAGGAAGAUGGAGCGGCAAUGGAAUAAGGAGGGAGGCAGAGGGAGGCAGAUUGAGCGGCAAUGGAAUAGGAGGGGAGUUCCCUGCGUCGUGGGGAGUUGCCAGUGGAGGGGAGUCGUGGGGAGUUGCCAGUGGAAGGGAGGCGUGGGGAGUUGCCUCGAAAACUCAAACGUCCUGCCCUUUGGCCCUCGAAAAAUCUGGAGGGGAGACGUGGGCUCUUUGGUUUGUCCCGUUUCUGAAACAAAAAAAAAAUAACAGCCAUAUUUUGCUCUCACUGCAACCAUAUUAAGAGAUGAAAAAUGGCACCAAAAAGUCACUGCAGCCAUCCUCAAUGGCACGAAAACAGCACCAAAACAACAUCAGCCAAAACAACAAAAAAUGCAUCCAUUGAUCGUUCUUUAUUUCUUCUAACAUUCCGUGUUCUGUGCAGUGAGAUAGACACAACACUACAAAUGCAGGCUGACAACGCCCGCGAUUUCAUGACCAUCAGGACAGACGGCGGCUUCAUCCACGCUCCGGUCCCAUGAGUCGAGUCGAAAGUAGUGAUGCUAUGUGUAGUUCUGAAACAUUGAUUGGCUCAUGUUGUAAUUAAACUUUAAUGAAUUGUAUGUCUCUUUGGUUUGGACAGUCGUUAAACUUAGAUGUACUCGAUGCUAUUUAUUACUAGGACCAUGAAUUGUGCUAUUAAUGUCUUGCUUUUCUCUUCCGAUCCUUUUGUUGCAUACUUAUUUAUUGCUUAUGUAUUGUCUGUUGUUUGGCUUGUGCAUAGAGAUGCCGUCGUAUGUCGUGUACAAGGUAAGGUUCCCGGAGUCUACGAUGACUGGGAGGAGUGUCGGAGACAGGUUCACCGUUUCAGCGGUAACAGUUACAAAGGGUACACCACUAGGGUGGAGGCGGAAUCUAGAUAUGCCCGCUAUCUAGCGGGAGAGAGGAGGGAGCGUUGGAGGAAACGGAUGAAGACCAAUUUCAUCGCGAUGAUGCUCAUCGUGAUGACCGCAACUCUCUUCUAUGUGAUGGUAGUUUAGAUGAUCGAUAUCGACUUGUAAUGUGAAGACAAACUCGCUACUCGCGGUCUCGAGACUUGUAAUGUUCUAUCUUUGUUCGGUCUUGUGAAUUCAGAGACUAAUAUGAUGAAUUGUAUUCGGAGAGCUAUCUUCUAUUGUAUUGGAUGAAUGUGCUGUUGCUGUGUGGUGUUGUCUAUAUUCUCUCCAAUAAUAUAUUUUGUAACCUGUGAAAAUAUCAGAAAUGUGCAUUUUUUCGACCACCUCCAAAUCACCUCAGUUUUGGAACACAUGAUCUCUUCCACAAACAAAACUAGGUUUCCAAGUUUUUGUAUUUUUUUAAAUUUUUUUGAAUUUAUAAUGCCCUCUAGACUGACUGCUGAAAACAUCGGUCUAUGCCUCAAGGGGGCAUUGUAAAAUAUUUUUUUUAAAAUUUUCUUGCAUACACAUGUUUUGCACAUGUGGGUCACCAUGUACAAGAAAAUUUGGGUGAUUUGGAGGUGGUGGAAAAAUUCACAUUUUUUCAAAAACUGACUUAAGUUAAGACCAAAUGGUCCCUCCGGGAAUGCGGGCAUUUUUUCGACCACCUCCAAAUCACCUCAGUUUUGGCACACAUGAUCUCUUCCACAAACAAAACUAGGUUUCCAAGUUUUUGUAUUUUUUUAAUUUUUUUUGAAUUUAUAAUGCCCUCUAGACUGACUCCUGAAAACAUCGGUCUAUGCCUCAAGGGGGCAUUGUAAAAUAAAUUUUUUCAAAAUUUUCUUGCAUACACAUGUUUUGCACAUGUGGGUCACCAUGUAUAAGAAAUUUUGGGUGAUUUGGAGGUGGUGGAAAAAUUCAUGCAAGACUCGGGGACCUGCAUGCAAGACUCGGGGACCUGCAUGCAAGAGUCGGGGACCUGCAUGUGAAUAGUGAUUCAUCAAGGCCAUGACAGCUAUUGGCACAGCGGCUGCCGCCCGAUUUGUAUGCAGCGAAGAUGAACGUGCAUGGAGGUUUUUCAAAGAUUUCCAAGCACACCCCAGUGGGCCCCGCUUAUUUAAAAAAGACGUCAGUCAUUAUUGCUCUGUAAAUGAAGAAUAUGCAUGAUGAUUAUGAAUACGCAUGACAACCAUAGUAAGGGUGAAGAAUCAUAGUGCCCAAUUUGUCGAAAUACAUCAUCAUUCUUAAAGUUGGACAUCAAAUGAUACACACAGAAAAUGGAAACGAAAGAUGUCGAACUAAUAUAGUAACAUGCCAGUACAACUGCACUUCACUAAAUUACUGUCACGAUGAAAUAGAAUGUAAAGACCACGUCACACAAACAUGAAUGACACACGACUUUCUCUGGCUCAUCGUCGGUUCAUGCUGUAUGUAGAUAUCACAGUUCAGCCUCGAUAUCCUACACAGAAGAAUAGAAUAAAUCACAUGGACAUCAAUUAUGAGUAAAACACAUGCAAAAAAAAUAUGAAAAUAUUUUGUACCUCUAGCAAUUUAGCGCAUUUACGUCGAUUGUGACCUGGUUUCUUGCAAUAGCCACAGAUAUUCUGUGAUGUUGACUUCUUUGUCUUUGCCUGCAGCCUUUUCUUCGGUGCACCUCGUCCUGGCACAUGCACGGGAUCCAGAACCUUAUCAACUUUCUGUGAGUGUGGCAUCAACGGGCCAAACCUAAUGCUGUUAUGCUGAGCAUUAGUUGACUCCUUGCUGUCAGCUUGUUCAAAACUUGAUUGCUUGCCAUGAUGUUGUGCUUGCAAAAGCAUCUUUAGACGGUGAUAGUCCUCAUCAGAGUGGCAUGCCUGGAAACUUGCGGCGUGACUACAAUUCCGCAACUCGCGGUACCUCUGCAGGCUUAGCGAAUAGUCAUACAUCUGGUUUUUUCUGGUAGGUGCGUAUGCACAUUUUGCAUUCAUAGUCCACCUAGUGGGAACGCAACAACCGGGCAGAAUUGUUUGUUUUAAAAUCCCCAAUAUGUAAAAAAAUGUGGGAACAUGGUGUGCCUGCGCAUUCCAGCUUAUGGCAAGAACAACUCACCCUGUGCAAAAGACCUCCUUGCUCUUCAAUGCGCACUCCAAACUUUUUAUCCAUUCUUUCCUGCUUGGACACAACAUAAGUGGAAUCUUCUGAUCCAUCUAGUAUCUCUCUAAUCUGACAUUUGCUGACAGAAUCUAUGCUCCAUAAGACCAUCUUAAAGACACUAGGUGUGAAAACUGUUGCGGCGUGUUUCUCAAGCGGCGAAGCAUUUUCCUCUGUAAAUGGAACGGACUGCAAGGCUUCAACGUCAUGGAGAGCUUCGUUAAUCCGUCGCGACGCAAGGCAACGCUCAUAGUGCUCUAGCCUUUCAAACAACGACAUCUUACCCUCAAGAUGCGUAUGUAGCACAGAGUUCAAGCUCUCACUCCUCUGAUUACUGCUCAAUCCUAGGAAACAACGCCCCUCAAGAUAUGGAGCACACCACAACUUUCUCAUCUGAUACAUCUGAUGCAGCCAAGACUCCUCACUGGUUACUUUAUUCCGUUGUAAGAAUUGUAUUCAUUUUAUCUCAUGCUCUUCAAUGGAAGAAGUAUCAUAAAUGAAAGAUCUGAAUUCCUCCUUUACGUCGUCAUCAUGCAGAUGGCGUACAAUGUUCUGCUGAAUGUGCCAUAUACAUAGUCUAUGGUUUGAGUCUGGCCAGACCACCCUUAUUGCUCUCUGCAUUGCAAGGUCCCCAUCUGUGAUCACAGAUAUCGGAUGCUUCUGUGCCAUGCAAUCAGAAAAGGUCCGCAACAUCCACUCGUAUGCCUGGCUUGUUUCAUGAGAAAUUAAUUAUACCACAGCCAAAUAUAACAGUGCUGCGGUGGUGAUUCAACCCGACAAAAGGCACGAAUGGCAGAUUGUAUUUUUUGGUUCUGUAUGUGCUAUCGAAAACAAUGACGUCUCCGAAAGCCUCGUAGUCAAGUCGCGAUUGACUGUCAGCCCAGAACAGUCCCUUCAGAUGGCCAUGCUCGUCUACCAAGUACUUGAAGAAAAAAAUCCACAUCUCGCUCUCGCCUCGCCAUCAUAUGCAUGAUCACCGUUUUAGCAUCACCGGCACUGAUUGUCUCUUGCUUAUUAGCAUGGCAGAAAUUAUAAACGUCCCUCUUUAUGCAUCCAACCUUAUCAAAUCCACCGUAUUGGAAGCACAAAAUAUCCAUAAUACGGUAUUUGUGGAUCCCACAUUUUCCAUGUCCGCAAUGUCCGCUUUCUGCUCAUCGCUAAUUCGUCUGUGCAAACGCAACAGACAAGAAAGAUCCCAUGGGGCUAGAGGAUGGUUGUGCUCAUCGAUGAAAUCCUUGACAAACCACCGACCGGUUUCCUCUUGUCUCGUAAUGACCAAUUUAGCAUUACAUCCAACACGAGUUAAACUUUGUGGCCUCCUUUUUCUAUCUUCCAUCUUUCUUUUCAUGUGCUUAUCUUCGCGAAACCCUUGACGACUACACACAAUUUUCCUUAAAAUUAUGUAUUUGUUGGAUCCAUCCCACUCAACGUAGCUUUUCCUCACACUAAAACCUUUUUCAAGAGCAUAUUUGUUGUAGAAUUCAUAGCCUUCAGCCUCACUAUCAAACAUCUUGCUGACAACAUUUACAUACUCGAACAUACUCUCAUCACUUGCAUACGCCAUGUCUUCCUGCAUAUGACAUGUGAGGGAAACCAAUCAUCAACAUCUUUCUGUUUAUCAAUGUUGCAGGUGUAAAAUAGCUCAUAGGCAAAGACAAGUGCAUGGAAAAGACUUUGCUGGUUUGACAUGUGAGGGAAACCAAUCAUCAACGUCCAACAAGUACUAUCCUAGCAUGGAUGAUGACUCUAAUAAACUGGAUUCAUACCUGGUACGCGCGAAGAGAUGGGAUCGCCCGCCGCCGUCGCCGCCUAUUCCGUCGGCACAGAUCCGGCCUUCUUCUUCUUCGGUGACAGCGUGGGGGGCUGGGGUUGGUUGGGUGGAGGACGAGGACGAUGAAUUUAUUCCUCUCACCAGGCAGGUCGAGGACGGAGAAGGUCAGGAGCGGCGACGAAUAGAUCGGAGGAGGUUUCUGAUCUGGAUCGAGUAUACAUGGAUCUGGUCUUCGGGUGAUCGGUUCAAGAAAAGAUUUUUGUCCCUGGACCAUUAUGCCCUUAUCGCUUAAAUUUAAUCAAGUUUAAUUCCCUGCAAGAUCGGUUUUCUAAUAAUAAUCAGACGUCACCAGACAUGUAAGUACUGCUAAGUACUCCGAGUACUAACCUAAUCACCGUAAAACUGCUCCCAAAUAGGAUGACCGCUUUAGAGAAAGCAAUAAGGGAAUUCAUGGACAAUCAAACUGAGAAUGUAAUUGUAUUUGUACCGAUGAUGGGAACGAGUUCACAGAUUCUCUGACUUAGCCGAGACUAUGGCAGAGGGAUGUCAAAUUCAUAUAACUGUUCAUGCACCAUCCGACGGCAGCAAGCAAAGCCCAUGGACACACAGCAUUAUCGACCUAGAAGGGUGAUGCUGCCCAGUCCAACGCAUAGGCGAAGCAGGAAAAACGGUGCGAGGCAGCCGAAGUAUGAAUGAAGGAACCGAUCACCAAGCUGCCGAAGGAUGAGCUGCUCUGCUCUUGUGAGAGAUGUUAAAUUUUGUAGUGUUCAUUUUACCAUUCUGUAAUGUGCACUUAUGUUGCUGCUCAAUUCAGUUCCCUUCUCCCACUUGCAUUUCACAGUCAUGUCCAGUUCAGUGAGCAAAGUCUCUAAAAUUCAGCUCAUUCAAUUAUAGCAUUCAUUCACAACAACCACACUGAGAGAUCUCAACCCCUUCUGCCACUGAGUGAUCUCAACCCCUUUUGCCAUACUCAAUUCUGUUAUCAAUUUUACAACAUCAAGUGAUAUGCUCACAAAUUGACAAUGUCAAUGACCUGCUCUUAAUUUACAACAUCAUUGAUAUGCUAAAAAAUGAUAAUGUCAAUGAUCUGCUCUCAAAGUACUUCCUCUGUCCCAUAAUAUAAGAGCGUUUUUGACACUGUCUGAAACUCUCUUGUUGUUUUGUGUAAAUCAGUUUACAAUCUGAAACUCAACUGAUGUUUGCUUGUAAAUCAGUUAAUAAUGUGCUCUCAAUUUCCAGGCUAGCUUCGCCGGCGCCUGCUCGACGGAGUGGUGCAUCGAUGGCAGCCACGGCCGUCCUCCUCUUGCGAUGGUGCGGGGUCAGCGAUAUGGUGCUUGCUUAGUGCCUCCAGCAACAGCGGCGCGACCUCGCGGCGUGAUACAACCAUGACUUGUAGCCAAGGCAGCGGCAGUCGUCCUCCCAGGGCGAUCGCGAGCAAUGGCGACGGUGAGCGAUGGGUUGUUUAUGGGCUGCACAGCAUUGUUGUUAUUCUUAUUUGUUUUCACCUUGCUGCUGUCGAAUGACGCAUGUGAUUUGGAUUAGACGUCCGUCUAGCGUAAAAAUAAUACUCGAUGCUAUACAGCCCAGGUCGGGAAUCUCGAAGUGAGUUCACGAUGGAGAUAGCGAGAGUAUCUGAGCUCGUGCUCAGAACAUCACUUUCCUUAGGAAAGGGGGAACCAGGAUCGAUUCCUGGUCUCAAAGGUGACAGCGGGUGCUGCUACCAGUCCGAUCAAGUUCCGUUCGUGAUAAGUUGUAGGUGCGCGUCGUACUUGAGCCGAUUCAAGCCGGUUUUCUUUGAGUUUUUUUCCUUCUUCAUUUUUUUCAUUCUUUUUUGCACUCGUUUCUUCAUUUUUUUUCAUUUUUUUCUUUUGUUUAUUUUCUUUGUUCUUUUGGUUAUUAUUGUGCAUUUUUUGUAUACGUCAACAAUAUUUUUUUAAUACACGUCUAACAUUUUUCAAAUACAAAUCAACAAUUUUUGCAAUACAUGGCCUACAUUUUUGUAUACACAUUUUUUAAAUGCUUGAUUAUCAUUUUUCAAAUACAAUAUUAACAAUUUUAAUACAUGGUUAACAUUUUUUUAUCAUUUUUACAAAAAAAUAUAUUAAAUGCUUGAUUAACAUUUUCUUAAUAGAUGGUCAACCUUUUUUUCAUACACAUUUAACAUUUUUUCCAAACGCUUGAUUAACUUUUUCAGACCCUUGUUCGACAUUUCUUUCAAAUGCUGGAUUACAUUUCUAUAUACUUAAUCAAAUAUUUCUAUCAUUUUUAAUACAUGGUCAACAUUAUUAACAUACACAUUUAACAAUUUCCCAAUUCUUGAUUAAUAUUUUUUAAAUACUCGUUUAACAUUUCCCAAUUUUAGCUAGUUAUGGUGCAAACUAAGUGUUGUGCCUCGUCUUAAUCUAUCUAUAUAUCCUAUCUUCUAUUCGGCGACGUGGUUGCGCCCGUGGCGGAUGUGGUCGCCGCCAUGACUUGGUCGAUCUCCCUCUUCUGUAUUCGAGAAAAAAAGAUCUCCGUCUUCUCUUUAGAUGAGAUGGGGAGGAGAUGGUGAGAGAUGAGGUCAACGGCAUUGGGGAGAGGAUAAGGGUAGACGCCAGUGGUGAGGCGGCGUGAGGAAGACGAGGUGGUUGGCGGCUAGGACGCAUGAGGGGAGGGGAAGGGUGGGGAGUGGUGCGUGGAGGGAAGUGGGUGUGCGGCGUGCCCAAUUCACGAGAGAGGAGAGAGGUCGGCAAGGGAGCGACCCAUGGGAGUUUUUUUUCUUCUGAGUGAGCCUAGUUGGGCUAUCUGCUGCGUCCAAGGCCCAAUGCACCACAUGUCUUCAAAUUGGCCACCAGUAGCAGCCCUUAGAACAGACAUGGCCAUUUUGCAAAUUUAAAGACAUAAGUUUUUUGCACGCAUGAAAAACAUAACACGUAUCUUUUCACACAUAAUGAACUAUAGGUACUACCCAAAAAAACAUAAUGAACUAUAGGUUGUCACAAGAACUCAUGCCAUCCCACAACCUCCCUCUGACCCUGCCAACAUUGUUGCAACUGCACUCGCAAGUGUUAUCGUAGAUGAUCAUUUGCAUGAUUUCCCGUAAAACAAAAUAAGAUCUACAAACGAAUAGAAGCUACACAUACCUUGGCAUGCACACACAUUGCAAGCCAUACUAAGCAGAUAAGUGUUAAAAACUUGUACUCCCUCAUCUCAGUUUACAAGUCUUCCACGUGUAUCUAGGUCGUCAAUUUAAUUAUAUAAAAUAAAUUGUUUGACAUAAAUUAUAUCAUUAGAAAAUAGAAAUAUAUAUUUUGUAAUGUAUGCCUCUUAUUAAGUUGGUCAAAUUAACAAUCUAGGUACACAUGCAAGACUUUUAAACUAAGAUGGAGGGAGUACAACAUAUACAACACUUACGACAAGUAAAAGCAAUUUGAUGAGUCAUGGUCUAUCAAAGCAAGCUACAUUACUAAUCUAAUCUAUGUUAACAUGUCACACAUGAUUACAAUCUUUUUUGUGUGCAAGUCAAGCCUAUCUAGUCUACAUGUAACAACUUGUAGAACAUUACAAAAUUGAUGUUUGCUAAUAACUUUUAGAACACUACAACACUUGACAUGUAAAAAGAGUUUGAUGAGUCAUGACCUACUAAAGCAAGUUACAUUACUAGUCUCAUCUAUCUUAACAGGUCACACAAGAUUAAAAACUAAGUUCUGUGCAAGCAAUGCUUAUCUAUUUUACACAUAACAACUUGCAUAACAUUACAAACUUAGUUUUAGAAAAUUAGGCAACCUAGAUUAGUGUUUAGUUGUAAAGUGAAUAAGAUGAGUCAUGUGUGUUAUCACACCUUUUUAUGGUGGAAUGAUAGUGCCACCAAACACAACAUACCAAAAUAUGAUUUUGGGAAGCAUCCAAGCACUUUCCAGACAAGCAAAUGCCAAUUGUGAAAGAGAUAAUGCCAUGGCAGCUAUAAAUAGGCCUGUUGCAUGAUGAUCAUCCUUCCUCAUUCAUCAUUCUCAUAAGUAGAGUGCAUCAUUCAAGCCAAGCAAGCACUGGUCAAUACAAAUCCAUCAUGAAGACAUUUCUCAUCAUUUCCCUCCUUGCUAUCGUGGCGACCACCGCCACAACUGCAGUUAGAGUUCCAGUGCCACAAUUGCAGCCGCAAAAUCCAUCUCUGCAACAACCACAAGAGCAAGUUCCAUUGGUGCAACAACAACAAUUUCCAGGGCAGCAACAAACAUUUCCACCACAACAACCAUAUCCGCAGCCGCAACCAUUUCCAGGACAACAACCAUAUCCGCAGCCGCAACUAUUUCCACAGCCGCAACCUUUUCCGCCACAACUUCCAUAUCCGCAGCCGCAACCAUUUCCCCCACAACAACCAUAUCCACAACCGCAAACACAUCAUCUGCAACCACAACAACCAAUUUCGCAGCAACAAGUACAACAACAACAACAACAACAACAACAACAACAACAACAACAACAACAACAACAACAACAACAACAACAACUACUACUACAACAACAAAUCCUUCAACAAAUUCUGCAACAACAACAACUGAUUCCAUGCAGGGAUGUCAUCGUCUUGCAACAACACAACAUAGCGCAUGAAAGCUCACAAGUAUUGCAGCAAAGUAGUUACCAAGUGUUGCAACAAUUAUGUUGUCAGCAGCUGCGGCUGAUCCCCGAGCAGUCGCGGUGCCAAGCCAUCCACAAUGUCGUUCAUGCUAUUAUUCUACAUCAACAACAACAACAACAACAACAACAACAACAACAAGGACAACAUCAACCGUCGAGCCAGGUCUCCUACCAGCAGCCUCAGCAACAAUAUCCAUCAGGCCAGGGCUCCUUCCAGCCAUCUCAGCAAAAUCCACAGGCCCAGGGCUUUGUCCAACCUCAACAUCUGCCCCAACUCGAGGAAAUAAGUAACCUAGCGCUGCAGACGCUACCAGCAAUGUGCAAUGUCUACAUCCCUCCAUAUUGCUCGACCACCAUUGCGCCAUUUGGCAUCUUCGGUACUAACUGAGAAGAGAAGAACUCUAGUACUAGAUAUAUGAAACACCGUGUUCUUAGUCCAUGGUUUGGUCGUUGUACCGUUGAAAAUAUAAGGUGACAUGCACUAUCAUGUAAGAACCCGAACUAUACUAGUUCAAACAUGGGAAUAAAAGACAAACACAUGUCUUGUCUGCAUAUGAUUGUUUAUUUGAGUUCCAUUCCUAUGCCCAUUCACAAGUUCACCCGUAAUUAUAUAUAUUACACAUUAAGUAGAUAUUUAUGUUGCAUUAAUAUGAAGAUAACAAAAUGAGUCUGAAACUUGAAUUAAAUUGAAGUAUUUUCUUGGACUUUCAAAUUGUGUAUUAUUAAAGUAGUAAGGAUUAUCCACAUCCUUGGCUUGCCCUUCAUCAAUUAUUCCCAGAGAAGCUUUCAGUUCAUAAAUCAAUUACAUUGAUUUUUGUGAAUGGUACAUCUCCUCAUCACGAGUAUCAUUACGGCUACUCCAAAUCGCUCACAUAACCGAAGCAUUAAUAGCGCCCUUCUUGCAUCCGGAAAUAUGGAUCGAAGAUAUCACUUGACCAUGUUUCCAGGUGCAACCUUGGGAUUUUUAUGUCAAAAUAUUCUCAAGCAAAAUCCAAGAAUAAACUUGCAUGCUCACGUGUGAUGAGGGCAGAUGAAGUAACAUUUCCUCCCCAUGGCCACACAUAGGGCACACACAUAACCCCAUCACAUGCCUUUUUAGUUAUGCAUAUGAAAGGUAGGAUGUUUUUAAUUACUCUCUACCAAAAUACUCUUAACUUGGCUUGUACCCUAAUAUUUCGUUGCCUUUUCAAUUGUUCUUCCCCAUUAGACAAAGUAGACAGUCCAUCUACCACACCGUACCUUGUGUCCAUCAUUGCUCUGUACAACAAUUGAACAGAACAAAUGUCAUUUCUUUACGAUACCCACGACCAAAUGUCCUUUGCUGGAUUGUUUGGUCGUGGCAUAUUAAGGAUGGCCACCUCAUCUCAUGGGGUAAACACCUAAUGAAUGAAAGGAUUGUUCUAGUCGCCCGUGUUUUUCAUCGAUAAGAUCAUCUACAAGUUGGACCGAAGUUUCUCACAUGCAUCAUAGUGGUUUCAUUAGCGGCGUGCCCUGCACCCAUUUAUCACGUCGUAUCUCUGUAGUAUGUGCAUUCCCAAUUUGUCACAGCAUACCCUCCUUCAAACCUUCUUUCCCUUUCAGAUUAGCACGCCAAGUUAGCUAUGCACUAUGCGGGAACCAGCAUUUGAAAAAAAAGAAUCUCAUUUCAUGGUAUCUUCCAUGAAGGACCCUCGUACAUUAGCUAUCUAGGUAGAAAUAGCCAUGUAUGUUUGGCAAACUUUGCAUAAGUGAAUAGAUCAAGGUCGUGGAACCCCAAGCCUCCAAUUACACACGGCCUCUCUACCAAUAAGAUCUCCAAAGACAUCAAGGAUACAGACAGCCAAAAAAGAAAAUAAAAAGAAAAAAAAUAAAAAAUACCCUGCCAUGGUGAUCAAUCACAAGCAUCAGCAGCACUCUAACCACCACCAAAGACAAUGCCCAGAUUACAAAAAAAAAUUAUCCAAAAACAAUGCCCCCAAGAAGGAAACAAUACACAAGCGUUGUCGUUGCCCGAUCGAAGAUCGUGGGUUUUCACCCUGGAAAAUUUUUGAGUUCACCCAAAAACAAUGCCUUCAACAAGGCCAUUGCCAAGUACAACAAAUAUGGUCGAGACCUUGGGUUUUCACCCUAGGAAUUGAGACUCGAUGCUCGAGGAGUACCAGCAAAAAUGCAGUCCACUAGUGUUGCCGCCCCCACUUGGCAAGGCCACUGUUGCAAGUCACCAAACACCUGGCAUAUAGUUGUCAUCGCAUCCAAUACACCCUUCGGCCGAAGCUUCAAGACCUUGAUCCGUCUCCAGCGUAUCUAUAAUUUUUGAUUGUUCCAUGCUAUUAUAUUAUCUGUUUUGGAUGUUUUAUAUGAUUAUUAUGGUAUUUUAUAUGAUUUUUGGGACUAACCUAUUAAACUAGAGCCCAGUGUCAGUUCCUGUUUUUUCCUUGUUUUAGAGUUUCGUAGAAAAGGAGUACCAAACGGAGUCCAAACGGAAUUAAACUUUUGCGAUGAUUUUUCUUAGACCAGAAGACAUCUAGAGGACUUGGAGUGCAUGUUAGGAAAGCCACGAGGCUGCCACAACGACAGAGGUGCGCCCCCACCCUUGUGGGCCCCUCGUGACUCUACCGACAUAUUUCUUCCGCCUAUAUAUUCUCAAAUAUUCCAAAACAUACUAGGAGAGCCACAAAAACACUUUUCCACCGCCGCAACCUUCUGUACCCGUGAGAUCCAAUGUAGGGGCCUUUCCCGGCAUCCUGUCGGCGGGGGAUUCGAUCACUUAGGGCUUCUACAUCAACACCAUUGCCUCUCCGAUGAAGCGUGAGUAGUUUACCACAGACCUAUGGGUCCAUAGCUAGUAUCUAGAUGGCUUCUUCUCUCUCUUUGAUUCUCAAUACCAUGUUCUCCUCGAUGUUCUUGGAGAUCUAUUCGAUGUAAUACUCUUUUUGCGGUGUGUUUGCCAAGAUCCAAUGAAUUGUGGAUUUAUGAUCAGGUUAUCUAUGAGUAUUAUUUGAAUCUCCUAUGAAUUCUUAUAUGCAUGAUUUGAUAUCUUUGCAAGUCUCUUCGAACUAUCGAUUUGGUUUGGCCAACUAGAUUGGUUUUUCUUGCAAUGGGAGAAGUGCUUAACUUUGGGUUCAAUCUUGCGGUGCUCGAUCCCAGUGACAGAAGGGGAUGAUACGUCCCCAACGUAUCUAUAAUUUUUGAUUGUUCCAUGCUAUUAUAUUAUCAACCUUGGAUGUUUUAUAUGCAUUUAUAUGCUAUUUUAUAUGAUUUUUGGGACUAACCUAUUAACCCAGAGCCCAGUGCUAGUGCCAGUUUCUGUUUUUUCCUUGUUUUAGGGUUUCGAAGAAAAGGAAUAUCAAAUGGAGUCCAAACGGAAUGAAACCUUCAGAAAAUUUAUUUUUGGAAAGAAAGUAAUACGGGAGACUUGGAGUGCACGUCCGGGGAUCAACGAGGAAGCCACGAGGCAGGGGGCGCGCCCACCCCUCUUGGGCGCGCCCUCCACCCUCGUGGGCCCCUCGUGGCUCCCCAAAUGUAUUUCUUCCGCCUAUAUAUAUCCAUAUACCCCAAAACGACCGGGGAGCACAAUAGAUCGGGAGUUUCUCCGCCAGAAGCCUCCGUAGCCACCGAAAGCUAAUCUAGACCCGUUCCGGCACCCUGCCGGAGGGGGAAUCCCUCUCCGGUGGCCAUCUUCAUCAUCCCGGUGCUCUCGAUGACGAGGAGGGAGUAGUUCUCCCUCGGGGCUAAGGGUAUGUACCAGUAGCUAUGUGUUUGAUCUCUCUCUCUCUCUCUCUCUCUCUCUCUCGUGUUCUUGAGGUGAUACGAUCUUGAUGUAUCGCGAGCUUUGCUAUUAGAGUUGGAUCUUAUGUUGCUUCUCCCCCUCUACUCUCUUGUAAUGGAUUGAGUUUCCCCUUCGAAGUUAUCUUAUCGGAUUGAGUCUUUAAAAAUUUGAGAACACUUGAUGUAUGUCUUGCCGCGUGUAUCUGUGGUGACAAUGGGAUAUCACGUGAUUCACUUGAUGUAUGUUUUCGUGAUCAACUUGCGGGUUCCGCCCAUGAACCUAUGCAUAGGGGUUGGCACACGUUUUCGUCGUGAUUCUUUGGUAGAAACUUUGGUGCACUCUUUGAGGUUCUAUGUGUUGGUUGAAUAGAUGAACUUGAGAUUGUGUGAUCCAUAUCAUAUAAUCAUACCCACGGAUACUUCAGGUGACAAUGGAGUAUCUAGGUGACAUUAGGGUUUUGGUUGAUUUGUGUCUUAAGGUGUUAUUCUAGUACGAACUCUAGGGCUGUUUGUGACACUUAUAGGAAUAGCCCAACGGAUUGAUUGGAAAGAAUAACUUUGAGGUGGUUUCGUACCCUACCAUAAUCUCUUCGUUCGUUCUCUGCUAUUAGUGACUUUGGAGUGACUCUUUGUUGCAUGUUGAGGGAUAAUUAUGUGAUCCAAAUAUGUUAUUAUUGUCGAGAGAACUUGCACUAGUGAAAGUAUGAACCCUAGGCCUUGUUUCGACGCAUUGCAAUACCGUUUACGCUCACUUUUAUCAUUAGUUACCUUGCUGUUUUUAUAUUUUCAAAUUACAAAAACCUUUAUCUACCAUCCAUAUACCACUUGUAUCACCAUCUCUUCACCUAUACAAUUUACCAUUGUAUUGGGUGUGUUGGGGACACAAGAGACUCUUUGUUAUUUGGUUGCAGGGUUGCUUGAGAGAGACCAUCUUCAUCCUACGCCUCCUACGGAUUGAUAAACCUUAGGUCAUCCACUUGAGGGAAAUUUGCUACUGUCCUACAAACCUCUGUACUUGGAGGCCCAACAACGUCUACAAGAAGAAGGUUGUGUAGUAGACAUCAAGCUCUUUUCUGGCGCAGUUGCCGGGAAGGUGAGUGCUUGAAGUUAUAUCUUUAGAUCUUGCAAUCGAAUCUUUUUGUUUCUUGUUUUAGCACUAGUUUAGUUUAUAAAAGAAAACUACAAAAAAACGGAAUUGAGUUUACCUCACACGCUUCAUCUUUUUAAUAUCUUUCGUGAGUAUGAUGGAAAGAAAAAUUGUGCCAAAGUGUUAGAAGAAGAAUGCAUUAAACUGUUUGGCAUUAAAUAUUUGAAUGAUGAGCAUUAUUGCAAUGUUGUUAGUAUGAAUUCCUUGAAUAUCCAUAGUACUAAUGAUGAUUGCACUAGUUAUGAUGAAAAUGUCUCAUGUAAACAUGUCAAUUUUUGUGGAGUGCAUUGGGUUUGCAAGUACACACCAAUUAGGGAAGAUAGAUUUUGCAAGAGGCAUAAGUACUUAGAAACUAAAUUGUUGCAAGAAAGGCUAGAUGAAUGUGCUGAAAAUUUAAAUUUUCUUGGCCAUACUUGUGAGCUUUGCAAUGAACAUGGUUAUUUAACCAUCCGAUGCAAAUUGUUUCAUGAUCUAAUCGUUUCCAAAAAUUGUGAUGACUUGAUUUCCCUUGCACAUCAUAAUGAACUUAGUUUGCUUAUGGGUUAUGAGGAAAUGAAAUGUAUAACUAACUAUCUUCCAGUAUUUUCCCAUGAUAAACUUCUUGGAUUUGACCUAGAGGAAAUUUAUAUGUAUUGUGCGGUGAAUUGCAUUGAAAACCCCUAUAUUGUCAAUUACAUAAAGAAAAGAAAACAAAUAGAGGAUGAACAGAAUACUAAUGAAAGGGAAGAGACCUCCCAAUAUCCUCCUAUUAUUUCUUAUGAUGAACCAGGUAACGAGGAGGAGCCUCCUAUUCAACCAAUCUCAUUAAUAAGGAGCUCCAAAAAGAGGAUUGAACCCACACACGAUGUAGUGAAGAAGAAGAAAAGAAAGAGGAAGAGAGGUAAAAAGAUAUCUCUCCCAAAUAAUGCUGCUCCUAUUACUAUUGUGCCUCAUGAAAAUAUAAUUGUGGAAAAUAAUGAUACUUCUUAUGAUCUUGAAAAUCCUUUUGUCACUUGCUUGGAAGAAUAUGAUAAUUGCUAUACUAUUGGUGCUAUCCAUACUAUUAAUGAUGAGAGUGAUUAUGCUUAUGAUAUGAAAAGGCCCAAGCUUUGGGAUGCUAUGUUUGAUGAAGAUGAUGUUUUUGAGAAUAUAUUUGCUACAAUUAAUGUUUGUCCCAAGCUUGGGGAUGCUAUGUUUAAUCAAGAUGAUAUUUUUAGUCUCCCAAGUUUUGAUAUGCAAAUUUAUAAUGAUGAUAGCAUGCCUCCUACUUAUGAUGAUUAUUGUGAUGAUACUUAUGCUAUAAAAAGUAAUGAUUAUAUUUAUAAAACUUGUCAUGAUUAUGGUUACCCCUUUUCUGAACAUUACUCUUUUAAUGUGGAAACAAUUUAUAGUAUUCGAGUUUCUUAUGAUACUCCCACUAUUCCGAAUGAGAAGAAUUUUGCUUGUGUAGAGAGUAAUAAAAUUUCUAUGCUUGUAGAUCAUGAAAAGAAUGCUUUAGGUGCUGGUUAUAUUUUUGAAUUCAUUCAUGAUGCUACUGAAAAUUAUUAUGAGGGAGGAACAUAUGCUUGUAGGAAUUGCAAUAAUAUCAAGUUUCCUCUCUAUGUGCUUAAAGUUUUGAAGUUAUGCUUGUUUUGCCCUCCUAUGCUAGUUGAUUAUUGUUCCCAUAAGUUGUUUGCUCACAAAAUUCCUACACAUAGGAAGUGGGUUAGACUUACAUGUUCUAGUCAUAUGCUUCAUGAUGCUCUCUUUAUGUUUCAAUUCUUAUCUUUUAUGUGAGCAUCAUUGAAAUCGUCAUGCCUAGCUAGGGGCGUUAAACGAUAGCGCUUGUUGAGAGGAAACCCAACUUUAUUUUUGUUCCUUGAUUUUUGCUCCUGUCUAGCAAUAAAUAAUUUAUCUAGCAUCUGUUAUGAUUGAGUUUUUAUGUUAGAACCGUUGGGAAGACUUGGGGAAAGUCUUGGCGAUCAUGCUGUAAAAAAACAGAAACUUUAGCGCUCACGAGAAUUGCUGACAUUUUUUAUUGGAGAGUGCUAUUUGGUUAAUUAUUUUUGCAGAUGAUUAAUAGAUAAAUUCCUCACGUCCAGCAAUUUAUUUUAGAAUUUUUGAGGCUCCAGAAGUUUGCGUUAGUUACAGAUUACUACAGACUGUUCUGUUUUUGACAGAUUCUGUUUUUCGUGUGUUGUUUGCUUAUUUUGAUGAAUCUAUGGCUAGUAAAAUAGUUUAUAAACCAUAGAGAAGUUUUAAUACAGUAGGUUUAACACCAAUAUAAAUAAAUAAUGAGUUCAUUACAGUACCUUUAAGUGGUGUUUUAUUUUCUUUCGCUAACGGAGCUCACGAGUUUUCCAUUUUAAGUUUUGUGUUGUGAAGUUUUCAAGUUUUGGGUAAAGAUUUGAUGGAUUAUGGAAUAAGGAGUGGCAAGAGAAUAAGCUUGGGGAUGCCGAAGGCACCCCAAGGUAAUAUUCAAGGACAACCAAAAGCCUAAGCUUGGGGAUGCCCCGGAAGGCAUCCCCUCUUUCGUCUUCGUUCAUCGGUAACUUUACUUGGAGCUAUAUUUUUAUUCACCACAUGUUACGUGUUUUGCUUGGAGCGUCAUUUUAUUUCAUUUUUUUGCUUGCUGUUUGAAUAAAGUAUCAAGAUAUGAAAUUAUUAAGUGGGAGAGUCUUCACAUAGUUGCAUAAGUAUUCGACUACUCAUUGAUCUUCACUUACAUCUUUCAGAGUAGUUUGUCAUUUUCUCUAGUGCUUCACUUAUAUCUUUUGAGAGCACGGUGGUGGUUUUAUUUUGUAGAAAUAGAUGAACUCUCGUGCUUCACUAAUAUUAUUUUGAGAGUCCUCAGAACAGCAUGGUAAUUUGCUUUGGUUAUGAAUUUAGUCCUAAUAAGAUGGGCAUCCAAGAGGGAUAUAAUAAAAACUUUCAUAUAAGUGCAUUGAAUACUAAGAGAAGUUUGAUACUUGAUGAUUGUUUUGAGAUAUGGAGAUAGUGAUAUUAAAGUUGUGCUAUUUGACACUACUAGGAAAAGGCCUACUAAUGGCGCACCAGUUUUGCCUACUAAUGGCGCAUCACUGGUGCGCCAUUACUAGCACGCCAUUAGUAAUUUUUAGUAAUGGCGCACCACUGGUGCGCCAUUAGUAUCGGCCACGGUGCGCCAUUCGUAUAGGCCACUGGUGCGCCAUUAGUAUAGGCCACGGUGCGCCAUUAGUAUUUUUGGAUUUUGAAGGCGGGAAAAUAGUAGUGGCGCACCGUCUAACCCCCACCGUGCGCCAUUACUAUUUUUGAAUUUUGAAUUUGGAUCUGGAUCGUGAUUUUUUUGCCCAUUUUUUGCUCGUUUUUUUGCUCGUUUUUUGGCACAAUAUUAUUUCAAAUUUUGUUCUUGUUUUUGGAUCUUGUACGUUCUUUUGCCGUGUUCUUUUGCCGGAGAGGAGUUCGCCGGAGAGGAGGAGGAGGAGGUCACCGGAGAGGCGCUCGCCUACAUCGCCGGAGAGGAGGAGGAGGUCGCCGGAGAGGAGUUCACCGAAGCAUCGGAGAGGAGGAAGGAGAAACCAUGAGGGAAUGGGAGGAGAGGAGGGAGGAGAAACCAUGAGGGGAGGGGAGGAGAGGAGGGAGNNNNNNNNNNNNNNNNNNNNNNNNNNNNNNNNNNNNNNNNNNNNNNNNNNNNNNNNNNNNNNNNNNNNNNNNNNNNNNNNNNNNNNNNNNNNNNNNNNNNNNNNNNNNNNNNNNNNNNNNNNNNNNNNNNNNNNNNNNNNNNNNNNNNNNNNNNNNNNNNNNNNNNNNNNNNNNNNNNNNNNNNNNNNNNNNNNNNNNNNNNNNNNNNNNNNNNNNNNNNNNNNNNNNNNNNNNNNNNNNNNNNNNNNNNNNNNNNNNNNNNNNNGGAGAGGAGAAGGAGGUCGCCGGAGAGGAGGAGAUGGAGUGGAGGAGAGGAGGAGAUGGAGUGGAGGAGAGGAGAGGAGGAGAUGGAAUGGAGGAGAGGUGGAGUGGAGGAGGUGCGCCCAGCCAUGUAUACGACAUAGUAAUGGCGCACCGUGGGCAGGUGCGCCAUUACUAACUUUUUUUAUUUUUUGAUUUAUUUUGAAUUUUGAAGGCGGGAAGAUACUAAUGGCGCACCGUGGGCAGGUGCGCCAUUAGUAACUUUUUUUUUAUUUUUGACUAAUUUUGAAUUUUGAAGGCGGGAAGAUACUAAUGGCGCACCGUGGGCAGGUGCGCCAUUAGUAACUUUUUUUGACUAAUUUUGAAUUUUGAAGGUGGGAAGAUACUAAUGGCGCACCACGGGGUGGUGCGCCAUUAGUAACUUUUUUUUAUUUUGUUGACUUAUUUUGAAUUUUGAAGGCGGGAAGAUACUAAUGGCGCACCAUGGGCAGGUGCGCCAUUAGUAAGUUUGAAUUAUUUUUAAUUUUUUUGCCUCUCCAGAUCUUAAAAGCCCCAUAUAUUUUUUUCUGUUAGGUUUUUGAGGAUUUUAAAAAUGUUUAACGGAUUCCCCGGUUAAAUUUGGAUGUAACUUUUCGAGUAGAUGAUUUUUCAUAUAAAAAACUUUUUCAUCCGAGUUAGUAUGCAAAAGUUAUGCCCAUUUUUACAAAUUNNNNNNNNNNNNNNNNNNNNNNNNNNNNNNNNNNNNNNNNNNNNNNNNNNNNNNNNNNNNNNNNNNNNNNNNNNNNNNNNNNNNNNNNNNNNNNNNNNNNNNNNNNNNNNNNNNNNNNNNNNNNNNNNNNNNNNNNNNNNNNNNNNNNNNNNNNNNNNNNNNNNNNNNNNNNNNNNNNNNNNNNNNNNNNNNNNNNNNNNNNNNNNNNNNNNNNNNNNNNNNNNNNNNNNNNNNNNNNNNNNNNNNNNNNNNNNNNNNNNNNNNNNNNNNNNNNNNNNNNNNNNNNNNNNNNNNNNNNNNNNNNNNNNNNNNNNNNNNNNNNNNNNNNNNNNNNNNNNNNNNNNNNNNNNNNNNNNNNNNNNNNNNNNNNNNNNNNNNNNNNNNNNNNNNNNNNNNNNNNNNNNNNNNNNNNNNNNNNNNNNNNNNNNNNNNNNNNNNNNNNNNNNNNNNNNNNNNNNNNNNNNNNNNNNNNNNNNNNNNNNNNNNNNNNNNNNNNNNNNNNNNNNNNNNNNNNNNNNNNNNNNNNNNNNNNNNNNNNNNNNNNNNNNNNNNNNNNNNNNNNNNNNNNNNNNNNNNNNNNNNNNNNNNNNNNNNNNNNNNNNNNNNNNNNNNNNNNNNNNNNNNNNNNNNNNNNNNNNNNNNNNNNNNNNNNNNNNNNNNNNNNNNNNNNNNNNNNAAUUUUUUUACUAAUGGCGCACCGUGGAUGUGGUGCGCCAUUACUAGUUCAACUAGUAAUGGCGCACCACCCCCACGGUGCGCCAUUAGUAGUUUUGAAAAAAAUUAAAUUUUUUUACCAAUGGCGCACCGUGGAUGUGGUGCGCCAUUAGUAUUUGGACACUAAUGGCGUACCAACACAUGGUGCGCCAUUAGUAUAUAGUAAUGGCGCACCACAUGUCUGGUGCGCCAUUAGUGUCAAUUCCAUCUAUAGCCCUUUUCCUAGUAGUGUGAGUAGUUGUGAAUUUGAGAAAUACUUGUGUUGAAGUUUGCAAGUCCCGUAGCAUGCACGUAUGGUAAACGUUAUGUAACAAAUUUGAAACAUGAGGUGUUCUUUGAUUGUCCUCCUUAUGAAUGGCGGUCGGGGACGAGCGAUGGUCUUUUCCUACCAAUCUAUCCCCCUAGGAGCAUGCGUGUAGUGCUUGGUUUUUGAUGACUUGUAGAUUUUUGCAAUAAGUAUAUGAGUUCUUUAUGACUAAUAUUGAGUCCAUGGAUUAUAUGCAUUCUCACCCUUCCAUCAUUGCUAGCCUCUUCGGUACCGUGCAUUGCCCUUUCUCACAUUGAGAGUUGGUGCAAACUUCGCUGGUGCAUCCAAACCCCGUGAUAUGAUACACUCUUUCACACAUAAACCUCCUUAUAUCUUCCUCAAAACAGCCACCAUACCUACCUAUUAUGGCAUUUCCGUAGCCAUUCUGAGAUAUAUUGCCAUGCAACUUUCCACCAUUCUGUUUGUCAUGACACAUUCAUCAUUGUCAUAUUGCUUAGCAUGAUCAUGUAGUUGACAUAGUAUUUGUGGCAAAGCCACCGUUCAUAAUUAUUUCAUACAUGUCACUCUUGGUUCAUUGCAUAUCCCGGUACACCGCCGGAGGCAUUCAUAUAGAGUCAUAUCUUGUUCUAGUAUCGAGUUGUAAAUAAAUAGAAGUGUGAUGAUCAUCAUUAAUAGAGCAUUGUCCCAAAAAAAGGAAGAGAACGACCAAAUAAAAAAGGGAAGCCCCCCACCCAAAAAAGAAAAGAAAGGCCAGAUAAAAAAUAAAAAAAAUAAAAAAAAUAAAAGGGACAAUGCUACUAUCCUUUUUCCACACUUGUGCUUCAAAGUAGCACCAUGAUCUUUAUGAUAGAGAGUCUCUUGUUUUGUCACUUUCAUAUACUAGUGGGAAUUUUUUAUUAUAGAACUUGGCUUGUAUAUUCCAACAAUGGGCCUCCUCAAGUGCCCUAGGUCUUUGUGAGCAAGCAAGUUGGAUGCACACCCACUUAGUUUCUUUUGUUGAGCUUUCAUACAUUUAUGGCUCUAGUGCAUCCGUUGCAUGGCAAUCCCUAAUCCUUGCAUUGACAUCAAUUGAUGGGCAUCUCCCUAGCCCAUUGAUUAGCCGCGUCGAUGUGAGACUUUCGCCUUUUGGUCUUCUCCACAUAACCCCCUCAUUAUAUUCUAUUCCACCCAUAGUGCUAUAUCCAUGGCUCACGCUCAUGUAUUGCGUGAAAGUUGAAAAAAGUUUGAGAUUACUAAAGUAUGAAACAAUUACUUGGCUUGUCAUCGGGGUUGUGCACAAUGAGAGCAUUCUUGUGUGACGAAAAUGGAGCAUGGCCAAACUAUAUGAUUUUGUAGGGAUGAACUUUCUUUGGCCAUGUUAUUUUGAGAAGACAUGAUUGCUUAGUUAGUAUACUUGAAGUAUUAUUAUUUUUAUGUCACUAUUAAACUUUUGUCUUGAAUCUUAUGGAUCUGAAUAUUCUUGCCACAAUAAAGAGAACUACAUGGAUAAAUAUGUUAGGUGGCAUUCUACAUCAAAAAUUCUGUUUUUAUCUUUUAGCUACUCCAGGACGAGCAGGAAUUAAGCUUGGGGAUGCUGAUACGCCUCCAACGUAUCUAUAAUUUUUAUUGUUCCAUGCUAUUAUAUUAUCAACCUUGGAUGUUUUAUAUGCAUCUUUAUGCUAUUUUAUAUCAUUUUUGGGACUAACCUAUUAACCUAGAGCCCAGUGCCAGUUUCUGUUUUUUCCUUGUUCUAGGGUUUCGAAGAAAAGGAAUAUCAAAUGGAGUCCAAACGGAAUGAAACCUUCGGAAAAGUUGUUUUUGGAAAGAAAGCAAUACAGGAGACUUGGAGUGCACGUCAGCGGAUCAACGAGGAAGCCACGAGGCAGGGGGCGCGCCCACCCCCUGGGCGCGCCCUCCACCCUCGUAGGCCCCUCGUGGCUCCCCUAAUGUAUUUCUUCCGCCUGUAUGUACCAAUAUACCCUAAAACGAUCGGGGAGCACAAUAGAUUGGGAGUUCCGCCGCCAGAAGCCUCUGUAGCCACUAAAAGUGAAUCUAGACCCGUUCCGGCACCCUGCCGGAGGGUGAAUCCCUCUCCGGUGGCCAUCUUCAUCAUCCCGGUGCUCUCCAUGACGAGGAGGGAGUAGUUCUCCCUUGGGGCUGAGGGUAUGUACCAGUAGCUAUGUGUUUAAUCUCUCUCUCUCUCUCUCUCGUGUUCUUGAGGUGAUACGAUCUUGAUGUAUCGCGAGCUUUGCUAUUAUAGUUGUAUCUUAUGUUUCUUCUCCUCCUCUACUCUCUUGUAAUGGAUUGAGUUUCCCCUUCGAAGUUAUCUUAUCGGAUUGAGUCUUUAAAGAUUUGAGAACACUUGAUGUAUGUCUUGCCGCGUGUAUCUGUGGUGACAAUGGGAUAUCACGUGAUUCACUUGAUGUAUGUUUUCGUGAUCAACUUGCGGGUUCCGCCCAUGAACCUAUGCAUAGGGGUUGGCACACGUUUUCGUCGUGAUUCUUUGGUAGAAACUUUGGUGCACUCUUUGAGGUUCUAUGUGUUGGUUGAAUAGAUGAACUUGAGAUUGUGUGAUGCAUAUCGUAUAAUCAUACCCACAGAUACUUGAGGUGACAAUGGUUUGCUCACAAAAUCCCUAUGCAUAGGAAGUGGGUUAGACUUAAAUGUUCUAGUCAUAUGCUUCAUGAUGCUCUCUUUAUGUUUCAGUUCUUAUCUUUUAUGUGAGCAUCAUUGAAAUCAUCAUGCCUAGCUAGGGGCGUUAAACGAUAGCGCUUGUUGGGAGGAAACCCAACUUUAUUCUUGUUCCUUGCUUUUUGCUCCUGUUUAGCAAUAAAUAACUUAUCUAGCCUCUGUUAUGAUUGAGUUUUUAUGUUUUAAUUAGUGUUUGUGCCAAGUAGAACCGUUGGGAAGACUUGGGGAAAGUCUUUGCGAUCAUACUGUAAAAAACAGAAACUUCAGCGCUCACGAGAAUUGAUGGGCAUCUCCUUAACCCAUUGAUUAGCCGCGUCGAUGUGAGACUUUCUCCUUUUUGUCUUCUCCACAUAACCCCCUCAUUAUAUUCUAUUCCACCCAUAGUGCUAUAUCCAUGGCUCACGCUCAUGUAUUGCGUGAAAGUUGAAAAAAGUUUGAGAUUACUAAAGUAUGAAACAAUUGUUUGGCUUGUCAUCGGGGUUGUGCAUGAUGAGAGCAUUCUUGUGUGACGAAAAUGGAGCAUGACCAAACUAUAUGAUUUUGUAGGGAUGAACUUUCUUUGGCCAUGUUAUUUUGAGAAGACAUGAUUGCUUAGUUAGUAUGCUUGAAGUAUUAUUAUUUUUAUGUCAAUAUUAAACUUUUUUCUUGAAUCUUAUGUAUUUGAAUAUUCUUGCCGGAAUAAAGAGAACUACAUGGAUAAAUAUGUUAGGUAGCAUUCCACAUCAAAAAUUCGGUUUCAUUAGCGGCGUGCCCUGCACCCAUUUAUCACGUCGUAUCUCUGUAGUAUGCGCAUUCCCAAUUUGUCACGGCAUACCCUCCUUCAAACCUUCUUGCCCUUUCAGAUUAGCACGCCAAGCUAGCUAUGCACUAUGCGGGAACCUGCAUUUGAAAAAAAAGAAUCUCAUUUCAUGGUAUCUUCCAUGAAGGACCCUCGUACAUGAGCUAUCUAGAUAGAAAUAGCCAUGUAUGUUUAGCAAACUUUGCAUAAGUGAAUAGAUCAAGGUCGUGGAACCCCAAGCCUCCAAUUACACACGGCCUCUCUACCAAUAAGAUCUCCAAAGACAUCAAGGAUACAGACAGCCAAAAAAGAAAAUAAAAAGGAAAAAAAUAAAAAAUACCCCACCAUGGUGAUCAAUCACAAGCAUCAGCAGCACUCUAACCACCACCUAAGACAACGCCCAGAUUACAAAAAAAAUUCUCCAAAAGCAAUGCCCCCAAGAAGGAAACAAUACACAAGCGUUGUCGUUGCCCGAUCGAAGAUCGUGGGUUUUCACACUGGAAAAUUUUUGAGUUCACCCAAAAACAAUGCCUUCAACAAGGCCAUUGCCAAGUACAACAAAUAUGGCUGAGACCUUGGGUUUUCACCCUAGGAAUUGAGAGUCGAUGCUCGAGGAGUACCACCAAAAAUGCAGUCCACUAGUGUUGCCGCCCCCACUUGGCGAGGCCGCUGUUGCAAGUCACCAAACACCUGGCAUAUAGUUGUCAUCGCAUCCAAUACACCCUUCGGCCGAAGCUUCAAGACCUUGAUCCGUCUCCAACGUAUCUAUAAUUUUUGAUUGUUCCAUGCUAUUAUAUUAUCUGUUUUGGAUGUUUUAUAUGAGUAGGGCGUUUUGGUGCCCAGGCUCAUCUGCACCCGGUUAGAAAAAAUUCAUAAAAAAUUUAAACAAAUUCAAAAAAUUCCAAAUAAAAUUUGUAUGGUAGACAAUUUGAUGCGUGAGGCCCGCCUCAAAUUUCAAGUCAUUUGGAUAUAUGAGAAGCUCUCAGCAAAAAAGACAAAUCGGACUAAAACAGUACAUGAACAGUAAACAUUUUUACAGACCCUCAAUUUGUCUUUUUUGCUGAGAGCUGCUCAUAUGUUCAAAUGACUUGAAAUUUGGAGCGUGCCUCACGCAUCAAAAUUUCUAUCACACAAAUUUUAUUUGGAAUUUUUCGAAUUUUUCUAGUAUUUGUUUUGAUUUUUUUCGUCGGCACAGGUGCAGAUGAGCUCAGGUGCAGAAAUGGAUUUUCGGUUUUAUUUGCACUAUUAUGCUAUUUUAUAUGAUUUUUGCGACUAACCUAUUAAACUAGAGCCCAGUGCCAGUUCCUGUUUUUUCCUUGUUUUAGAGUUUCACAGAAAAGGAAUACCAAACGGAGUCCAAACGGAAUGAAACUUUUGCGAUGAUGUUUCUUAGACCAGAAGACAUCUAGAGGACUUGGAGUGCACGUUAGGAAAGCCAUGAGGUGGCCACAAUGACGGAGGGCACGCCCCCACCCUUGUGGGCUCCUCGUGACUCUACCGACCUAUUUCGUCCGCAUAUAUAUUCUCAAAUAUUCCAAAACCUACUAGGAGAGCCACAAAAAAACUUUUCCACCGUCGCAACCUUCUGUACCCAUGAGUUCCCAUCUAGGGGCCUUUUCCGGCAUCCCGUCGGAGGGGGAUUCGAUCACGGAGGGCUUCUACAUCAACACCAUUGCCUCUCCGAUGAAGCGUGAGUAGUUUACCACAGACCUAUGAGUCCAUAGCUAGUAUCUAAACGGCUUCUUCUCUCUCUUUGAUUCUCAAUACCAUGUUCUCUUCGAUGUUCUUGGAGAUCUAUUCGUUGUAAUACUCUUUUUGCGGUGUGUUUGCCGAGAUCCGGUGAAUUGUGGAUAUAUGAUCAGGUUAUCUAUGAAUAUUAUUUGAAUCUCCUAUGAAUUCUUAUAUGCAUGAUUUGAUAUAUUUGCAAGUCUCUUCGAACUAUCGAUUUGGUUUGGCCAACUAGAUUGGUUUUUCUUGCAAUGGGAGAAGUGCUUAACUUUGGGUUCAAUCUUGCGGUGCUCGAUCCCAGUGACAGAAGGGGAUGAUACGUCUCCAACGUAUCUAUAAUUUUUGAUUGUUCCAUGCUAUUAUAUUAUCAACCUUGGAUGUUUUAUAUGCAUUUAUAUGCUAUUUUAUAUGAUUUUUGGGACUAACCUAUUAACCUAGAGCCCAGUGCCAGUGCCAGUUUCUGUUUUUUCCUUGUUUUAGGGUUUCAAAGAAAAGGAAUAUCAAACAGAGUCCAAACGGAAUGAAACCUUCGGAAAAGUUAUUUUUGGAAAGAAAGCAAUACGAGAGACUUGGAGUGCACGUCAGGGGAUCAACGAGGAAGCCACGAGGCAGGGGCACGCCCUCCACCCUCGUGGCUCCCCUAAUGUAUUUCUUCCGCCUAUAUAUAUCCAUAUACCCUAAAAUGAUCGGGGAGCACAAUAGAUCGGGAGUUCCGCCACCAGAAGCCUCCGUAGCCACCGAAAGCCAAUCUAGACCCGUUCCGGCACCCUGCCGGAGGAGGAAUCCCUCUUCGGUGUCCAUCUUCAUCAUCCCGGUGCUCUCCAUGACGAGGAGGGAGUAGUUCUCCCUCAGGGCUGAGGGUAUGUACCAGUAGCUAUGUGUUUGAUCUCUCUCUCUCUCUCUCUCUCUCUCUCUCGUGUUCUUGAGGUGAUACGAUCUUGAUGUAUCGCGAGCUUUGCUAUUAGAGUUGGAUCUUAUGUUUCUUCUCCCCCUCUACUCUCUUGUAAUGGAUUGAGUUUCCCCUUCGAAGUUAUCUUAUCGGAUUGAGUCUUUAAAGAUUUGAGAACACAUGAUGUAUGUCUUGCCGUGCGUAUCUGUGGUGACAAUGGGAUAUCACGUGAUUCAUUUGAUGUAUGUUUUGGUGAUCAAGUUGCGGGUUCCACCCAUGAACCUAUGCAUAGGGGUUGGCACACAUUUUCGUCAUGAUUCUCCGGCAGAAACUUUGGGGCACUCUUUGAGGUUCUAUGUGUUGGUUGAAUAGAUGAAUCUGAGAUUGUGUGAUGCAUAUCGGAUAAUCAUACCCACGGAUACUUGAGGUGACAAUGGAGUAUCUAGGUGACAUUAGGGUUUUGGUUGAUUUGUGUCUUAAGGUGUUAUUCUAGUACGAACUCUAGGGCUGUUUGUGACACUUAUAGGAAUAGCCCAAUGGAUUGAUUGGAAAGAAUAACUUGGAGGUGGUUUCGUACCCUACCAUAAUCUCUUCGUUCGUUCUCCGCUAUUAGUGACUUUGGAGUGAUUCUUUGUUGCAUGUUGAGGGAUAGUUAUGUGAUCCAAUUAUGUUAUUAUUGUUGAGAGAACUUGCACUAGUGAAAGUAUGAACCCUAGGUCUUGUUUCAACGCAUUGCAAUACCGUUUACGCUCACUUUUAUCAUUAGUUACCUUGCUGUUUUUAUAUUUUCAGAUUACAAAAACCUUUAUCUACCAUCCAUAUACCACUUGUAUCACCAUCUCUUCGCCGAACUAGUGCACCGAUACAAUUUACCAUUGUAUUGGGUGUGUUGGGGACACAAGAGACUCUUUGUUAUUUGGUUGCAGGGUUGGUUGAGAGAGACCAUCUUCAUCCUACGCCUCCUACAGAUUGAUAAACCUUGGGUCAUCCACUUGAGGAAAAUUUGCUACUGUCCUACAAACCUUUGCACUUGGAGGCCCAACAACGUCUACAAGAAGAAGGUUGUGUAGUAGACAUCAGGGGAACCGACACAUAUUGUAGUGUUUCCAUCGAGGAUAACAAGAUGGGGUUUUCGUCAUAUUGCUUGAGUUUAUCCCGCUACAUCAAGUCAUCUUACUUAAUGCGUUAUCCUGUUCUUAUGAACUUAGUACUCUAGGUGCAGGCAGGAGUCAGUGGACGUGUGGAGUAAUAGUAGUAGAUGCAAGCAGGAGUCCGUCUACUUGAUACAAACAUGAUGCUUAUGUUCAUGAUCAUUGCCUUAGAUAUCGUCAUAAGUUUGCACUUUUCUAUCAAUUGCUCAGCAGUAAUUUGUUCACCCACCGUAAGAUUUUCUAUCUUGAGAGAAGCCUCUAGUGAAACCUAUGGCCCCGGGGUCUACUUUCCAUCAUAUAAGUUUCUGAUCUACAAUUGUGUUGGUUGAAUAGAUGAAUCUGAGAUUGUGUGAUGCAUAUCGUAUAAUCAUACCCACGGAUACUUGAGGUGACAAUGGAGUACCUAGGUGACAUUAGUGUUUUGGUUGAUUUGUGUCUUAAGGUGUUAUUCUAGUACGAACUCUAGGGCUGUUUGUGACACUUAUAGGAAUAGCCCAACGGAUUGAUUGGAAAGAAUAACUUUGAGGUGGUUUCGUACCCUACCAUAAUCUCUUCGUUCGUUCUCCGCUAUUAAUGACUUUGGAGUGACUCUUUGUUGCAUGUUGAGGGAUAGUUAUGUGAUCCAAUUAUGUUAUUAUUGUUGAGAGAACUUGCACUAGUGAAAGUAUGAACCCUAGGCCUUGUUUCAACGCAUUACAAUACCGUUUACGCUCAGUUUUAUCAUUAGUUACCUUGCUGUUUUUAUAUUUUCAGAUUACAAAAACCUUUAUCUACCAUCCAUAUACCACUUGUAUCACCAUCUCUUCGCUGAACUAGUGCACCUAUACAAUUUACCAUUGUAUUGGGUGUGUUGGGGACACAAGAGACUCUUUGUUAUUUGGUUGCAGGGUUGCUUGAGAGAGACCAUCUUCAUCCUACACCUCCUACGGAUUGAUAAACCUUAGGUCAUCCACUUGAGGGAAAUUUGCUACUGUCCUACAAACCUCUGCACUUGGAGGCCCAACAACGUCUACAAGAAGAAGGUUGUGUAGUAGACAUCAGGGGAACCGACACAUAUUGUAUUGUUUCCAUCGAGGAUAACAAGAUGGGGUUUUCGUCAUAUUGCUUGAGUUUACCCCGCUACAUCAAGUCAUCUUACUUAAUGCGUUAUCCUGUUCUUAUGAACUUAAUACUCUAGAUGUAGGCAGGAGUCGGUGGACGUGUGGAGUAAUAGUAGUAGAUGCAAGCAGGAGUCAGUCUAGUUGAUACAAACGUGAUGCUUAUGUUCAUGAUCAUUGCCUUAGAUAUCGUCAUAACUUUGCGCUUUUAUAUCAAUUGCUCAACAGUAAUUUGUACACCCACUGUAAGAUUUUCUAUCUUGAGAGAAGCCUCUAGUGAAACUAUGGCCCCGGGGUCUACUUUCCAUCAUAUAAGUUUCCGAUCUACAAUUUUAGUUUCCUAUCACUUCCUUUGCAAUCUUUUACUUUCCAUUCCAUAAACCAAAAAUACCAAAAAUAUUACUUUACCGAUUAUCCAUCUCUAUCAGAUCUCACCUUGCAAAUAACCAUGAAGGAUUGACAACCCCUUUGUCGCAUUAGGUGUAAGUUGCUAUUUGUUUGAGCAUGUAUUCAGUGACUUGUGCAUUGUCUCCUACUGGAUUGAUACCUUGGUUCUCAAAACUGAGGGAAAUACUUACUCUACUUUGCUGCAUCACCCUUUCCACUUCAAGGGAAAAACCAACGCAAGCUCAAGAGGAAGUAGGAAGAAUUUCUGGCACCGUUGCCGGGGACAUCUACGCCAAGUCAAGACAUACCAAGUACCCAUCAUAAACUCUCAUCUCUUGCAUUAUAUUAUUUGCCAUUCGCCUCUCGUUUUCCUCUCCCCCACUUCUAAAAUGAUUUGCCUUUUCUUCGCCCUCUUCCAUUCAUCUUCUUCGCUUGCUUUUUGUGUGCUCAUGUGUUGGAUUGCUUGCUUUGUCACGAUGUCUCAAGAGAAUACCAAAUUGUGUGACUUUUCCAAUACCAACAACAAUGAUUUUAUUAGUACCCCGAUUGCUCCCGCUACUAAUGCGGAAUCUUGUGAAAUUAAUGCUGCUUUGCUGAGUCUUGUUAUGAAAGAUCAAUUUUCCGGCCUUCCCAAUGAAGAUGCCGCAUCCCAUCUAAACAAUUUCGUUGAUUUGUGUGAUAUGAAAAAGAAAAAAGAUAUGGAUAAUGAUAUUGUUAAAUUGAAGCUAUUUCCGUUGUCACUUCGAGAUCGUGCUAAAACUAGGUUUUCAUCUUUGCCUAAAAAUAGCGAGUGUCAUUUUUUAAUGCGAGUGAUUAGUUUUUAAAGAAUGAUUGGCAUUCUUUCUUAAUUGCUCAUCUACUAAUCGUUUGGCGUGUUUUCUUAUCUUGUCAAAAUCAUAUCCCCUGGCUGUAAAUAUCAAAGAAUAAUUUCAUUUGUUGGGCUUGGACUGUACUGUCCGAGAGUCAGAGUAUAAAUACCAUACGAUUUCAAGAGCAAUAGCAACGGGGCAACCAUUAGUCCAUACUCUACACCAUAUGGCUAGAAAUUUUAUAUUAUAUAUAACAAAGUUGUGACAAAUUGGAAAUGGAAAGCAAUAAAAUGAAUAUGUUGCUAUAGGUUAUUAUUAUUACACAUGCACGUGUACCUUGAUCCUUGCUUGGACAUAGGGUCCGAGGAAGUUACAUUGCUUUGACUACUGAUAUUGUUUGUGUUAAAGUGUGCCACAAUGGCAUAAAUAUUGUCGUUGCAUAAUGGGAAACCACGUCAUAUUUAUCGAUGAUAUGUGGAAAUAGGGAUAAGCUACUUUAUGAAGAUAUAUAAGGAUGUAUGGGUUACGUUGGUGGAAAAUGUUGUUAUGAACACAAAUGCAGUUGCAUUUAUCAUGCAUUCGCGGUGAAGUGCGCUAUUGUGGCAUAUAUCUUCCUUUUUGCCACAGAAGCAUGGUAGAAUUAUAAAGAGAGUAUGUUUCUAUAGACAUUUCAAAAAAGAGAUUUGUGUAUACUCUCAUUAUACUGUAAUCACCAUAGAUUAUUCAGAUUAGAAGUUGUUGUCUCUACCACAUAUUUAGAUUUUCUAUACAUACUAAUAUCUAUAUCGCAUAGAAAAUCAUGUAUUUAUAUGAGAUCUUUGUGGUGCAUGAUAAAGCAAGAUUCCUUUUGUUAUUGCAGCAAUUUAUAAGUAUUUAAAUAUAUACUAAUAGCUAGUUUCUUCUGUGUUAUAAGGACAAAAUAAGACAUGCAUAGACAUGCAAAUACGUAUUAGAAAUCUGCUACUCCAAAUGUAUCAUGUUAAUCCAUGUAAGCCACGAAUCGCGUGCAUAUCAGGCAAAGCAGUUUUUUUUGUAAAAACAAUACAUAAUACUAAUCGAUGGUAUAGACGAUUCAAUACAUAUGCAUCAAGACACCGCUACCUUGCACAUAGUGAUAUAGGAUGGAAUUGAAUCUGAUCCGCUCCUUUCCAACUUAAUCGAGUAAUGUGUACUUCUCAUAAAUAGGCAUGUAUAUAGUAAUUGUUCUUUUGACCAAACGCUUGGUAUAUUAAUGAUCACAUUAUACAUUUAUGUAACAUUUCUUACUUGCGAAAUCUUUUACAAAUUGGAAUAUGGGAAUUUUAUUAAUACCUAGAAGAAAUACUACUAUUUAGAACAUAUAAUAACUGGUACUAUACUUUUUCUUAAUAUUGGUACUAUACUUAAUUGGACCAAAAGUUGCACAUAUUUUUGAUUAGUUCAUUUUUUUCUACAGAUUUAUCGGCGCCAUUAUUUCUCUAUGGUUGACAUGUAUAUGAACUACUGUCUGUAUAUAUUGAUCUGCAUUUAGACAAAUAUCAGGGACAAACACACAUACUGUUUAGCAUGUGUAGUUGUAAAGGUAGAAUACUGAUUUGUAGUAUUAAGAAAAUAUAUUUAUAAGAUCUUACUACAAUGUAUAUGGAUUGAGAAUCAGAGAAAUAACCAAGUGUUGUGCAAGGAUCAUUCUGACUAUCCAGUGGCAGAAUAAAAAUAGGAUGCUAAGCGCGGGGAGAAUACUUAUGUCCUAUAAACCUGCAAAUAAGAAGCAUGCAUUCACCAUAUAUUAGAAUUCCAAAUUUUAUAGUUCCUUUGCAUGUUGGAAAUAAGCUUUGCCCCUUGUGAUAUGGAUUAUCACGUAGAAUGGAAAGAGGAGAAAAAAAUUAUGGCUUAGCAGAAUCAAUGAGGAAAAGCACUACAUGUGAAGUAUCAAAACGUUGUGAUAGCACGAACCCCACCAGAUUUGAACUCGUGCUCUUAGUAUGACAUGAAAAGAGGGGCUACUCUCCAAUCGAAGUGAAAAUAGUAGAACUUUGAACUUAUAUAUAUAUACGCUUAAAAAUUCUAAAAGCAAAUGGUCAAAAACUCAGAAUAGCUUGAGCGGGCACUACUUGCUAACUCAAGCACAUGGCAACACAGUAUUAAGUCAAGAUUUUGCAACCGAGAGGGAAAGUCAAAUAAAUAAAUAAAUAAAUAAGGAUUCUCAUCAAACCUGUGAAUCCAAGCUAGUAUCUAACUAUUGUAUUGCUCAUAGUUUUGCAUACACCAUGGAACGUACGAUACAUAGCAUGUUGAAAAAUUAUAACCAAUUAAAUAGAAGAUAAAGGCAUAGUGCUAGGAGAUCAUCUCUCAGAGCAAUCAUCGCUGACAUAAACCUUCGGUUAAAUCACAUGUCUAAUUAGAACCUAGAGGUCUUUUACUUUUCCUUUAUAUGGAACCUUUAUUUUGACCUUUGGGGACUAUAGCCGCCUCAAAUAUGCAACUUUUUUUCGAAAUUUUAGUAUAGUGUAGUUGGAGCUUUUCCUGGUGUUCCAUAAAAAUAGCAAAGGGCAUAUUUCCUUUAGCCUACUUAUAUAUAAAAAAACGGCGUUCCUUAAUUAUUAUUCAAACUGAAAACACAUGCUAUCUUUAAAAGCAAAGAUGUACCUUAUGUGAGAAUCAUGCAUGUGUUAUUUCUAAUUAGUUAGGCAAUAAAAUAAUAGCAUCGUAUCAUUAGAUAAAUUAUUUUUCAACUGAAUCAGACAUGUGGGGUUUGACAAAAUUGAAAGUAUAUGCGAAGAUGUUAAGGAGAAAAUGUCAAUAUAAAAAAACUGUUUCUAUAGGCAGAUGUGAAUUACGUACAAAAAUAGGUCUGUUCGCUUUACAAAAGUUCUGGUGAAACCAAACUCCUGAGUUACUACAUGUAGAGCUCAAAAAUACCAGAUAUAGAGUAUAAAAUGAGAAUGGAAUACUAAGUGCAUCUUACAGAAAUUAUAAGAUCUUUUUAAUAGCUUCCUCAAUAUUACAUAGCAUACACAACAAUGAGGCAUCAAAUGAAUCAGUAUUCUAAAUAUGUAAAGAAGAAUAAGAAACACAAAGUAGCUGCUGCUCGAGCAACUACUACAUGCAAAUACAAUGCUUGAGAAUUUUCAAGCGUUCUGUUCGCUUUUUACCCUGAUUCAGCAUGGAUUAAAAAACCACAGUACUUAAUUCCGUGUAUCCUAAAUUCAAGCGUCAUGUUCGACGAAUUUCACCAUAGAUUUACAUGCCUGUGGACUUGUAGAACCAACAGCGCACUCUACAACAUCCGACAGAUAAAUCGAUCUGCUUUCCGUUCGCUGUAGGUUGUUCAUUGGGAAGCAGCACGAUCCACUUUAGACCACCAUCAGUAGACCUGAUCCUACGCUGCAUCGCAUUGUUAUAUUGCAGUCAGCUCGGAACUUAUGUCAAGGAGAAUAGUUAGACGAUGGAUUUGAUAUUUGGCCUUUUUGAGAUCUGAAACGUGUGUGUACUUCGUAGCUGUCAGCAGGUGGAAGGCCGUCCUGACAAAGAGGCAUAUUGCAUCCUAAAUUCAAGCACCAUGUUCGAAAAAAAAUCAGUAUGGGUUUACUUGCCUGUGGACUUGUAGAACCAACAUCAAACCCGACAAAAUCGGACAGAUAAAUCGAUCUGCUUUCCGUUCGUAGUAGGUUCUCCAAUGGGCAGCAGCACGAUCCACUUUAGACCACCUGAUCCUACGCUGCAUCUUGCAGUCAGCUCCGAACUUAACCCAGAAGAAUAGUUAGACGAUGGAUUUGAUAGUUGGCCUUUUUUUAGAUCAGAAUUGUAGGUGCAGGGUGGCUCGGCGAUCCUGACAAAGAUGAGAUUGAUCGGGGUCGCUAAUAAUCCCUUGUAGCACCUGCCGGGAUCCUUUGUGGUUCGCCGAGUGCACUUGAUGGCGAUGGGAUCAAGGGAAGAGAAGAAUUGAAGGAGGUGGGGUCGAGGGACAUGUUUUUCCUAUUUUAGGGGGAGAUAUCUUUCCUUUCUGUUUUUGCGUGAUUGUUUUCGUUUUUCAAUCGGCCGAAGAUUUUAUUGACAGAUCUAUUUUCUUUUUCUUUUCAUCACGGGAUUUUACAUGAAAGGAGGCUAUCUUUUUUUAGCAUGGAAGGAAGAUAUCUUUUUUAAAGGAACCGAUGGAUGCUUUGUUUGUUUGUUAAGCCAAUCUUGACGGUGUCGCGUUCCUUUAUUUUUUACGGGGCCAUAUAUGCUACCAUUGAUUGCAAUUAGUUUUUUUCUCUUGGAGAUGGAUUAUUUGUUUGUUGAACGUGUCUGCCUUAAUUAUGGAUGGACCAUCUGUGUAACGCAUGUUUACUUUUUAUCUUGGACGUUAAUUCUAUAAUCUAUCGGUGUAAUUAAUUUUGAUGAUGUGGAUUAAUGAGAAGGCCUUAAAAGGUGCCUCCAAUUAGUAAAUAUAUAAGAUAUAAGAUAUUGAUUCAUGGAAUAAGUUUAAGGAUGAAUUUAUUUCCAAGUAUUUUCCUCCCGCUAAGAUCAUCUCUCUUAGGAACGACAUUAUGAAUUUUAACCAACUUGAUCAUGAACAUGUUGCACAAUCUCCGUAGAGGAUGAAAUUGAUGAUAUGAAAUUGCCCUACACAUGGUUUGAAUAUGUGGAUGAUUAUACAAUUUUUUAUGCCGGAUUGAAUUUUGCUUCUAGAAAUCUUUUAGAUUCGGCCGUGGGAGGUACUUUUAUGGAAAUUACUUUAGGAGAAGCUACUAAACUCCUAGAUAAUAUUACGGUUAAUUAUUCUCAAUGGUAUACUGAAAGAUCUUCCACUAGUAAAAAAGUGCAUGCGAUUGAUGAGUUUAAUGUUUUGAGUGGAAAGAUGGAUGACCUUAUGAAAUUAUAUGCUAGCAAGAGUGCUUCUGUUGAUCCUAAUGAUAUGCCUUUGUCUACUUUGAUUGAGAAUAAUAAUGAAUCUAUGUAUGUGAAUUUUGUUGGUAGGAACAAUUUUGGUAAUAACGCUUAUGGAGGUAAUUUUAAUCCUAGACUGCUUCCUAAUAAUUCCCCUAAUAAUUAUGGCAAUUCCUACAACAAUUCUUCACUGGUAGAAAAAGGGCCUGUAGUCCCGGUUCGUAAGGGCCUUUAGUCCCGGUUCCUGAACCGGGACUAAAGUGUCGGUACUAAUACCUCCCACCUUUAGUCCCGGUUCAAUCCAGAACCGGGACUAAAGCCCAUCCACGUGGGCAGUGUGCAGAGCCCAGUCAGGAGACCCUUUGGUCCCGGUUGGUGGCACCAACCGGGACCAAUAGGCAUCCACGCGUCAGCAUUUCUGUGNNNNNNNNNNNNNNNNNNNNNNNNNNNNNNNNNNNNNNNNNNNNNNNNNNNNNNNNNNNNNNNNNNNNNNNNNNNNNNNNNNNNNNNNNNNNNNNNNNNNNNNNNNNNNNNNNNNNNNNNNNNNNNNNNNNNNNNNNNNNNNNNNNNNNNNNNCCGGUUCAAUCCAGAACCGGGACUAAAGCCCAUCCACGUGGGCAGUGCGCAGAGCCCAGUCAGGAGACCCUUUGGUCCCGGUUGGUGGCACCAACCGGGACCAAUAGGCAUCCACGCGUCAGCAUUUCUGUGGCUAGGGUUUUUAUUUUUAUUUUUUGAAAGGGGGGGGGGGUUGGGGGUUUUGGGGGGUUAAUUUAGGUGUUUCAUAUAUUGUGUUAGCUAGCUAUAAUUAAUAUAGAGAAGUGUCCUCUCUUAUGUCCGUGCUUGGUCGACGCUACGUACUAUACAUACGUAUAGAGAGGACUAGACACGCUGGCUAGCUAGUAAAGCAAACGAAGGAAACAGAAGAUCGUCAUGAACAUAUAUGCAUACAGAGAGAAGUGAUAUCGACCACCUCUCCUUCUCCGAGAGAUUGGUCGAACAACAAGUUCUCGUAUAUCUAUCUGACAGUACCGGCUACAUAUAUACAGUAAUUAUCUCUUACAAAUAUAAUCAUACGGACUCAGGUUUAACAUAGAAUUCUCCGUCUUCAGGGAUCACGUGGUCAAAAAAGAAUGCCGCCAAUUCCUCUUGAAUUGCUCGCAUGCGAGCUGGUGCUAGGAGUUCAUCCCGCUUCCGAAACAUCUAAUUUGAAGAAGGGGGUCAAUACAUAUAUAUAUAUAUAUGAAUGAAUGAAACUCAACACAAAUGAUGGUAAUAAAAUAAAAUUGUGAAUAUUGUUAUUUACGUACUUCAUAUUGUUCGUUAGAGUACCCGCCCCGCUCACACGUCGUGUGACGGAUGGACUCGCAGAUGUAGUAUCCACAGAAAUCAUUCCCUUGUUCCUGCCACAACCACUUUACAAGAAAUAGAGGUCAAUCAAACUGAUAAGCAAGAAUGCUAAAUGGUAUUGAUGAAACUAGCGCUUGAAUCACUAGGAGAUGCGCGGAACAUGCUACUAUAGUACUUACUUUCGGGUGUCUAAAUUCUAGCUCCUUCGGCAGUCCCGGAACUUUUUUGGUGAAUUUUCUCCAAACCAUGCCGGACAAAGAAAACAAUUACUUGAUAUCAGGAAAUGAACAAAGUUGCUGAUAUGGUGGAUAAUGAUCGAUUUAACUUACUUCUUGAGGAUUUCAGUCAUGUCUGCAUAGUCCUGCGGAUCUUUUCGUUUUGAGUCUAAGAAGGUUACUAGUCCCUGCUCAAGCUUAAUCUCUAGGAGAAUAUAGUGGAAACUGCACACGCAUGCAUAACUUAUGAAUUACAUUACUAUAACCUUGAGUAAUAUAUAAGGGAAACCGAAUACGCACAAGACAGUAGCACUCACUUGAAGUUGUAAGGAAAGAGUAUUAUAUCUUUGUUUUGAUUUAUUACGAACGAUUGUAGAAAGUUGGCCUCGGUAGCUGUGACAUGAAGUUUAACCUGAAUUGCAUCUAUGAGAUAUGUGUUAAUGAACCCAAUAUCACCGACUUGUCUUUUCUUCAAUUCGACGAUCUUCAAUCUGCAUAAUAUAGUGAGGAUGAUUAUAAAUACAUGCAAUGAAAGAGCUAAGCUAUAUAGAGAAACUUAAUGACAGAAGUAGUACUACUUACAGACAGUAGCAGGCGACCGUUGUUUUAUCGAGGGCCAAUUGAUUGAAAAACUGAUAGAACUCCUCAAAUGGAACAGGCAACAGAUCAAUUCCAACGAGGUCAUGCUCCUUUUUAACUCUCACAUACAAAGUACUCCUCCCCCAGAGUCUCUGCAGAUUUUCAAGUACCAAUCAUGCAAUCUUCGCAUCAUCGUUGAUAGAGAUCUUUCAUCUUUGACGAGAGGCUUCCCGUACUCGUAUCUUUGCAUCUGCAUGUCCAUGGGUUCAUAAUGUACUUCGUCGGGUAGGUAAUCUGCAAGAUUAUUAUAACCGGGCACCAUCCUCGGAUCAUUAGCGACUUUGUGGCUAGGCACCUUGAGCGAGGGGCAUGAUUGCUUCGCUUGUUUGCCGAGCUGGGCAAUUUGUUUCCCAGCUCGUCGUUUUUUCAGCCUUUCAUCACUGACAGUAGUUCCCGACCGCUCCGCUUCGGCAAAUUCCUUUCCAAUAAUGCGGUCAUAGUUUCCUUUCGGCGGAUCAGACUUUGGUGGUUUUGUCAGGGCAGCCAGAGUGCGCUUCACUUUCACCCCAUCUACCUUCUCCUCUGGAGGUGGAUGUUUCUUUGCUUUCACCCCUUCAAAGAAUUUCCUCACUUCUUCUCACGCGAUCUCGGCGUUCUCCUCCUGGGUCCUCUCGUAUGGUAACUUCUCUGGAGUCUUCAGAGAAGGACCGAAUCUGUAUGUCCUCCCGCCUCUGGUUGUACUGCUAGACGCCGACCGAGCAAACGAAGCGGUUGUCUUCUUUACUUGCUUAAGAGGCGGAGGAGAAGGACUACGACCCGCCGGAGCAGCUGGAGCGGCGGCAGGUCUCUUCUGCCCUUGCUGACGAGGCGGAGAAGGAGGAGGUUGGCUGCUCGGGCGCGUCGGCGCAGGCGGAGACGGAGGCGGAGUGCCGCCACGCGCCGGAGAAGGAGCCGGCCGAGGGCCCUGAUCCUCACUCGCCGGAGGAGGAGGUGGUGGAGGAGGCGGAGUGCCCUGACUCGCCGGAGGAGGAGGAGGAGGCGGAGGCGUCCAGUUCGGAAGGUUGAUGAGGUCCUUCCGCCAUAGGCAUGGAGUCUUCAGAGCAGACCCCAGCCGAGUCUCCCCUUCACCGGUAGGGUGGUCAAGCUGGAGGUCCUCAAAUCCCUCCGUUAUCUCAUCCACCAUCACCCUAGCAUAUCCUUCUGGAAUCGGCAUGCAGUGAAAAGUUGCGCCGGGUUCAGUAGGAUAAACAGAGCCAACAGCCGCCUUGACCUUCAAAUUCAUCCAUUGCGUCAUAAGGUGGCAAUUUUGAGACUCCGUUAUAGCAUCCACAGGAUAGCUGGCAGGAGCCGUCAAGGCAUGCUGCAGCUGAAGCUGCUCGGUGGAAGCCACGCUGCUUCUGCGCUGAGAUGGCGGGGUAGCUUCGGGGGAGGCUUCGGCAGUACGUUUGUUGCGAUUUGCUUCUCGUUCCUCUAUCGCUUGUACCCUUGCGUGCAGCGCCUGCAGUUCGGUCUGCUGCACUUUUUUCCUCCUCUCAUGGGAUUUGUAACCGCCUGCGUCCGGAAACCCAACCUUCCACGGAACGGAGCCUGGCGUGCCUCGUGUCCGUCCAGGGUGCUCAGGAUUCCCGAGGGCCAUUGUGAGCUCGUUGUGCUCUCUGUCUGGAAAGAACGUCCCUUCCUGCGCUGCGUCGAUAUAGUGCUUAAGCUUACUGACUGGUAUGUCCAUUUGUUCGUUCGUCCAAAUGCAGUUCCCUAUUUCAGGGUCCAAGGUUCCGCCACCCCCGAAGAACCAAGUCCGGCAACGGUCUGGCCAGUUAUUUGUCUCUGGUCCGAUCCCUUUAUGAACCAGAUCAUUCUCAACCAUGGACCACUUAGGCCGGGCUACGAGGUAGCCACCUGACCCCGUGCGAUGGUGAAGCUUCUUCUUCGCGGCAUUCUGCUUGUUUGUCGCCGACAUCUUCUUACUCUUUUCCGAUGUCUUGUAGGCCACAAAUGCGGGCCAGUGAUCUCUGAUCUUCUCAUAUCUUCCCUUGAAUUCUGGUGUCUCUUUUUUAUCGACAAACCUAUUCAGCUCUUUCUUCCACCUCCUGAAUAGAUCUGCCAUCCUCUUCAGAGAAAAAGACUUGAUUAAUUUCUCUUUAAUUGGGUUCUCUGGAUUAUCCUCUGGCGGUAGGGUGAAAUUUGACUUCAGCUCAGUCCAAAGAUCAUUUUUCUGCAUAUCAUUGACAUAAGACACCUCAGGGUCUUCUGUAGCCGGCUUAAACCAUUGCUGGAUGCUUAUCGGGAUCUUGUCCCUAACCAGAACCCCGCACUGAGCAACAAAUGCCCUCUUUGUCCGGAGGGGUUCAAUAGGUUGGCCGUCGGGCGCGAUUGCUGUGAUCUCAAGCUUUUCAUCCGAGCUCAACUUUUUCUUCGGGCCUCGUCUCUUUACCGAAGUUGUGCUCGAUCCGGAGGGCUAGAAAAAAGAACAAAGACUUAAUUAAUAUGUGUACAUACCAAAACAAUGAAUGCAUCAAUCAGCUAGUCAGCAUAGGCUUAACUAAUAUAUAUACCUGGCCGGACUCGGUUCGGUCACCGGAGCCGUCAUCACGGUCUCCUUCUUGCACCGGCAUUGGGUCACCGGCGCCGUCCUCAUGUUCUUCUUCUUGCACCGGCAUUAGGUCACCGUAGCCAGCUUGUUCACCCUCUCCUUCCGGACCAUCGAUGAUAUCGUUGAGAUAGUACGAGACGGCAUCACUUCCUUGUGCGAUUAUCUCCCUCAACAACGCUUCUUUUGUUGCUUCGUCUAGGGCGGUGUCCAUAGUUUCUACAAAUAUUUACAACAUGGCAAUUAUUAUUCAAACAUGACAGAUGGAUAUAUUAGUGCCAAACGUAGAACUACCUACCUAAUCAUAGUAAGCUAUCGGGAGGGGGUAUAUAUCGACAACGACGACACUACAUCUAUAUAUGUCCCUCGAUGACCCUCGUUCCUGAUAAAAAAAGAGGAAGAAGAAGAAAAAAAAGAGGAGAAGAAAGAAUAGAGGAGAAGAACUCCUCUAUUCUUUCUUCUCCUCUUUUUUCUUCUUCUUCCUCUUCUUUUUUUAUCCUCUUCUUCCUCUCAUGUUCGAGAGGAUCGCCUUGGGGUCGGGAGGUUGCCUAGUGUCAAAGGAUUCAACAAAACCAUGUCUUCAUCAUUAGGCGAAAGUAACAUGUGCAUGAUGGUAGGAAGCUCUUCAAAGUUGUUCUGGAACGGAGUCCCAGAUAGGAUAAUUCGCUUUUUGGUACAAAGUUCAGCAAGAGCCUUCCGAAUAUCGCUAUUUGGAAGGCCUUUGCUGAAUUCGUACCAAAAGGCGGAUUAUUCUAUCCGGGACUCCAUUCCAGAACAACUUUGCAGAACUUCAUACCAACAUGCCCUGGUUACUUCCGGCUAAUGAUGAAGGCAUGGAUUUCUUCAAUACUUUGACACUAGGAAACCUCUCUCGACCCCUCGGCGAUUCUUGACCCCUCGAACCCUCAACGACCCUGAAACCCUCGACGCUUGACCCCUUAACGACCCUCGACCCUCUACCCUAGUUCCCGACCCUCGACCAAUAGAGGAGAAGAAGAAAGGAAUAGCUAGAGGAGAAGAUCGAAGAAAAAAAAGAAGAAACAAAAGAGGAGAAGAAGAAAGGAAUAGUGGAGAAGAAGAGAAAAUAGAAUAUAUAUUCUAUUUUCUCUUCUUCUCCACUAUUCCUUUCUUCUUCUCCUCUUCUUUUUCUUCUGUUUUCUUCUUCUUAUUUAUUUCUCCUCUUCUUUUCGGUAGAGGAAACCCUAAAUAGCUAGCAAGUAUCGUGGGUGUGAGAUACAUGUGGCCUUCGGUGUCGGACACUACAUCCACGUCCCACAAGUGACGUGGGCGUCGAAACCCGCGCCACUUGUGGGAUGUGGAUGUAGUGUCCGACACCGACGGUACAUGUAUCUCACACCGACGAUACUUUCUAUUUAGGGUUUCUCCUCUACCACUCGGCGGCCCUCUCGACGACCCUCGUUCCCGAUAAUAUAAAGAGGAAGAAGAAGAAGAAAAAAGAAGAGAAGAAAGAAUAGAGGAGACGAACCCUCGAACCCUCGAACCCUAGACGACCCUCUUCUUCCUCUCAUGUUCGAGAGGAUCGCCGAGGGGUCGGGAGGUUGCCUAGUGUCAAAGGAAACCCUAAAUAGCUAGCAAGUGUCAUGGGUGUGAGAUACAUGUGGCCUUCGGUGUCGGACACUACAUCCACGUCCCACAAGUGACGUGGGCGUCGAAGCCCGCGCCACUUGUGGGAUGUGGAUGUAAUGUCCGACACCGACGGUACAUGUAUCUCACACCGACGAUACUUUCUAUUUAGGGUUUCUCCUCUACCACUCGGCGGCCCUCUCGACGACCCUCGUUCCCGAUAAAAUAAAGAGGAAGAAGAAGAAGAAAAAAGAAGAGAAGAAAGAAUAGAGGAGAAGUCUCCUCUAUUCUUUCCUCGCCUCUCUCAUGAAUGUCCGGCGUUCUCGACCCCCCCCCCUCCCCACGUGUCGAAGAAAAAAAAGAAGAAAAAAAAGAGGAGAAGAAGAAAGGAAUAGAGGAGAAAAGAGAAAAAUAGAAUAUUCNNNNNNNNNNNNNNNNNNNNNNNNNNNNNNNNNNNNNNNNNNNNNNNNNNNNNNNNNNNNNNNNNNNNNNNNNNNNNNNNNNNNNNNNNNNNNNNNNNNNNNNNNNNNNNNNNNNNNNNNNNNNNNNNNNNNNNNNNNNNNNNNNNNNNNNNNNNNNNNNNNNNNNNNNNNNNNNNNNNNNNNNNNNNNNNNNNNNNNNNNNNNNNNNNNNNNNNNNNNNNNNNNNNNNNNNNNNNNNNNNNNNNNNNNNNNNNNNNNNNNNNNNNNNNNNNNNNNNNNNNNNNNNNNNNNNNNNNNNNNNNNNNNNNNNNNNNNNNNNNNNNNNNNNNNNNNNNNNNNNNNNNNNNNNNNNNNNNNNNNNNNNNNNNNNNNNNNNNNNNNNNNNNNNNNNNNNNNNNNNNNNNNNNNNNNNNNNNNNNNNNNNNNNNNNNNNNNNNNNNNNNNNNNNNNNNNNNNNNNNNNNNNNNNNNNNNNNNNNNNNNNNNNNNNNNNNNNNNNNNNNNNNNNNNNNNNNNNNNNNNNNNNNNNNNNNNNNNNNNNNNNNNNNNNNNNNNNNNNNNNNNNNNNNNNNNNNNNNNNNNNNNNNNNNNNNNNNNNNNNNNNNNNNNNNNNNNNNNNNNNNNNNNNNNNNNNNNNNNNNNNNNNNNNNNNNNNNNNNNNNNNNNNNNNNNNNNNNNNNNNNNNNNNNNNNNNNNNNGGGACUAAAGGGGGGCAAUGGUCACGGUUGGUGCCACGAACCGUGACCAAUGCCACCUUUAGUCCCGGUUGGUGCCACCAACCGGGACCAAUGCCCUUGUGCGCCCCGCGCCCAGAAGUUUAGUCCCACAUCGCUAGCUGAAGGGCGCCGAUACUGGUUUAUAAGCGCUGCUCUGCCUCCCCUUUCGAGCUCCUCUCAAAUGCAGGCUUUCGGGCCUAAACUGCUACUGCCUGUGGGCCUAUUGGGCCUCUGCGGGCCUGAAUCCUGGCCCAUGUAGGGUUUCUAGUCGUAUUCAGGCCGUGGAGGCCCAGUAGGAGGCAUUUUUUUUGGUUUUUUCUUUUUUGUUUCUAUAUUUUUUUGGUUUUUUAUUUUUUUUAUUUCUACUUACAACUAAAUACUUACAGUUUUUUAGUGAUUUCUUUUUGCUUUUAGGUCACAAAAAUUAUAAACUUUCUAUUAGUGCCAUUAGUUUUAAAUUUUAAAUAGUUUAAAUUUGAAUUUUUAAAAAUUUGUGUGAAUCACUAGUUUAUGAAUAACUUUACUAUAAAGUUAGAAUUUGUUUUCUAUUUAUUUUUUAUUUCUACUUACAACUAAAUACUUACAGUUUUUUAGUGAUUUGUUUUUGCUUUUAGGUCACAAAAAUUAUAAACUUUCUGUUAGUGCCUUUAGUUUUAAAUUUUAAAUAGUUUAAAUUUGAAUUUUUAAAAAUUUGUGUGAAUCACUAGUUUAUGAAUUUUUUUCUUCUUUGCUAUUUAUUUUUGAUUUAUACUUACAAUUAAAUACUUAUAGUUUGCUUUUAGGUCACACAAAUUAUAUUCUUUUUGCUAUUGAAGAAUAUUAUAGUUUUAUUUUAGUUGAUCAUAACAUAAUAUUUUAAUUGAUUGUUUUUAUUUUCAUAAAAGUUUUGUAGUUCAUUCUGUUUGCUAUUAAUUCAUUCUUUGAGCUAAAUGACUCUGAAAUUGGAAAGCAUUUCAAAAUGAACUCUGAAAAGGUUGAAAGUUGGCAUGGUAUCAUCAUUUCACCCACAUAGCAUGUUCCAAAAAGUAGAGAGGGUUACGACAAAAACUUGAUGCACUUCGUGUACAAAAUGGACAAUCACUUUCGAAGUAUCAAAGUUUCAAACCAUAAGACAUGAAAGCAUUUCGAAUGAACUCUGAAAAAGUUGAAAGUUGGGAUGCAUGGUAUCAUAAUUUCACCCACAUAGCAUUUUCUUAUUGCGGGAGAAAGUCUUCACUUUUUCUUCGCUUGUGUCAUUUGCUUAUUGCGCCGUAACCAUGGAUAAUCUUCAUUGUUUUUAAGGAUGCUUGGGUCAGCCUUGACAUUGAAGGGAGGAAUUUCAUGAAACUUUUCAUAAUCUUCAGACAUGUCUGUCUUGCCGUCCACUCCCAGGAUGUCCCUUUUUCCUGAAAGAACUAUGUGGCGCUUUGGCUCAUCGUAUGAUGUAUUCGCUUCCUUAUCUUUUCUUUUUCUCGGUUUAGUAGACAUGUCCUUCACAUAGAUAACCUGUGCCACAUCAUUGGCUAGGACGAACGGUUCGUCAGUGUACCCAAGAUUUUUCAGAUCCACUGUUGUCAUUCCGUACUGUGGGUCUACUUGUACCCCACCGCCAAACAGAAUGACCCAUUUGCACUUAAACAAAGGGACCUUAAAAUCAGGUCCGUAGUCAAGUUCCCAUAUGUCCACUAUGUAACCAUAAUAUGUGUCCUUUCCUCUCUCGGUUGCUGCAUCAAAGCGGACACCGCUGUUUUGGUUGGUGCUCUUUUGAUCUUGGGCGAUCGUGUAAAAUGUAUUCCCAUUUAUCUCGUAUCCUUUGUAAGUCAAUACAGUCAAAGAUGGUCCCCUGGACAACAAGUACAACUCAUCACAAACAGUGUUGUCACCUCUGAGACGUGUUUCCAACCAACUCCUGAAAGUCCUGAUGUGUUCACAUGUAAUCCAGUCGUCGCAUUGCUCCGGGUGUUUGGAGCGCAGACUGUUCUUGUGUUCAUCGACAUACGGGGUCCCCAAGGUAGAGUUCUGUAGAACUGUGUAGUGUGCUUGAGACCAAGAAUAUCCGUCCCUGCAUAUUAUUGAGUCUCUUCCAAGAGUGCCUUUUCCAGUCAGUCUCCCCUCAUACCGCGAUUUAGGGAGACCUAUCUUGUUAAGGCCAGGAAUGAAGUCAACACAAAACCCGAUAACAUCCUCUGUUUGAUGGCCCAUGGAGAUGCUUCCUUCUGGCCUAGCGCGGUUACGGACAUAUUUCUUUAGGACUCCCAUGAACCUCUCAAAGGGGAACAUAUUGUGUAGAAAUACGGGCCCCAGGAUGACAAUCUCGUCGACUAGAUGAACUAGGACGUGCGUCAUGAUAUUGAAGAAGGAUUGUGGGAACACCAGCUCGAAACUGACAAGACAUUGCGCCACAUCACUCCUUAGCCUUGGUACCAUUUCUGGAUCGAUCACCUUCUAAGAGAUUGCAUUGAGGAAUGCACAUAGCUUCACAAUGGCUAAUCGGACGUUUUCCGGUAAAAGCCCCCUCAAUGCAACCAGAAGCAGUUGCGUCAUAAUCACGUGGCAGUCAUGAGACUUUAGGUUCUGAAACUUUUUCUCUGGCAUAUUUAUUAUUCCCUUUAUAUUCGAUGAGAAGCCAGUCAUGACCUUCAUACUAAGCAGGCAUUCAAAGAAGAUUUCUUUCUCUUCUUUCGUAAGAGUGUAGCUGGCAGGACCUUUAUACUGCUUCGGAGGCAUGUCAUCUUUUUUGUGCAAACGUUGCAGGUCCUCCCAUGCCUCCGGCGUAUCUUUUGUCUUCCCAUACACGCCCAAGAAGCCUAGCAGGUUCACGCAAAGGUUCUUCGUCACGUGCAUCACGUUGAUUGAGGAGCGGACCUCUAGGUCUUUCCAGUAGGGUAGGUCCCAAAAUAUAGAUUUCUUCUUCCACAUGGGUGUGUGUCCCUCAGCGUCAUUCGGAACAGCUAGUCCACCGGGACCCUUUCCAAAGAUGACGUAGGGUAAAUCAUUGACCAUAGCAAGCACGUGAUCACCGGUGCGCAUGGCGGGCUUCUUUCGGUGAUCUGCCUCGCCUUUGAAAUGCUUGCCUUUCUUUCGACAUUGAUGGUUGGUCGGAAGAAAUCGACGAUGGCCCAGGUGCACAUUCUUCCUGCAUUUGUCCAGGUAUAUACUUUCAGUGUCAUCUAAACAGUGCGUGCAUGCGUGGUAUCCUUUGUUUGUCUGUCCUGAAAGGUUACUGAGAGCGGGCCAAUCGUUGAUGGUCACGAACAGCAACGCCUUAAGGUUAAAUUCCUCCUGUCUGUGCUCAUCCCACGUACGUACACCAUUUUCAUUCCACAGCUGUAAAAGUUCUUCAACUAAUGGACUUAGGUACACAUCAAUUUCGUUGCCGGGUUGCUUAGGGCCUUGGAUGAGAACUGGCAUCAUAAUGAACUUCCGCUUCAUGCACAUCCAAGGAGGAAGGUUAUACAUACAUAGAGUCGCGGGCCAGGUGCUGUGAUUACUGCUCUGCUCCCCGAAAGGAUUAAUGCCAUCCGCGCUUAAAGCAAACCAUACAUUCCUAGGGUCCUUUGCAAACUCAUCCCAGUACUUUCUCUCGAUUUUUCUCCACUGCGACCCGUCAGCGGGUGCUCUCAACUUCCCAUCUUUCUUUCGUUUCUCACUGUGCCAUCGCAUCAACUUGGCAUGCUCUUCGUUUCUGAACAGACGUUUCAACCGUGGUAUUAUAGGAGCAUACCACAUCACCUUUGCAGGGACCCUCUUCCUGAGGGGCUCGCCGUCAACAUCACCGGGGUCAUCUCGUCUGAUCUUAUACCGCAACGCACCGCAUACCGGGCAUGCGUUCAGAUCCUUGUAUGCACCGCGGUAGAGGAUGCAGUCAUUAGGGCAUGCAUGUAUCUUCUCCACCUCCAAUCCUAGAGGGCAUACGACCUUCUUUGCUGCGUAUGUACUGUCGGGCAAUUCGUUAUCCUUUGGAAGCUUCUUCUUCAAUAUUUUCAGUAGCUUCUCAAAUCCUUUGUCAGCCACAGCAUUCUCUGCCUUCCACUGCAGCAAUUCUAGUACGGUACUGAGCUUUGUGUUGCCAUCUUCGCAAUUGGGGUAUAACCCUUUUUUGUGAUCCUCUAACAUGCGAUCGAACUUCAGCUUCUCCUUUUGACUAAUGCAUUGCGUCCUUGCAUCGACAAUGACCCGGCGGAGAUCAUCAUCAUCGGGCACAUCGUCUGGUUCCUCUUGAUCUUCAGCAGCUUCACCUGUGGCAGCAUCAUUGGGCACAUCAUCAUCUGGUUCCUCUUGAUCUUCACCAGCUCCCCCCGUUGCAGCAUCACCGUAUUCAGGGGGCACAUAGUUGUCAUCGUACUCUUCUUCUUCGCCGUCUUCCAUCAUAACCCCUAUUUCUCCGUGCCUCGUCCAAACAUUAUAGUGUGGCAUGAAACCCUUGUAAAGCAGGUGGGAGUGAAGGAUUUUCCGGUUAGAGUAAGACCUCGUAUUCCCACAUUCAGUGCAUGGACAACACAUAAAACCAUUCUGCUUGUUUUCCUCAGCCGCAUCGAGAAACUCAUGCACACCCUUAAUGUACUCGCGGGUGUGUCUGUCACCGUACAUCCAUUGCCGGUUCAUCUGCGUGCAUUAUAUAUAAUUAAGUGUCCAAAUUAAUAGAAGUUCAUCAUCACAUUAAAACCAAAGUGCAUACAUAGUUCUCAUCUAACAACAUAUAGCUCUCCAGAGCAUCUAAUUAAUUAAACCAUACAUUGAAACUAUGUAAAACAUUUCAAUGCGAAAACAAAUGCGAUCAUAAUCGCAACCAAGGUAACAAUUGAUCCAACGGCAUAAUGAUACCAAGCCUCGGUAUGAAUGGCAUAUUUUCUAAUCUUUCUAAUCUUCAAGCGCAUUGCAUCCAUCUUGAUCUUGUGAUCAUCGACGACAUCCGCAACAUGCAACUCCAAUAUCAUCUUCUCCUCCUCAAUUUUUUUUAUUUUUUCCUUCAACAAAUUGUUUUCUUCUUCAACUAAAUUUAACCUCUCGACAAUAGGGUCGGUUGGCAUUUCCGAUUCACAUACAUCCUAGAUAAAUAAAAUCUAUGUCACGUUGGUCAGCAUAAUUUUCAUAAACAAUAAAUGAACCAAUAGUUAUAAAGAUAAUAUACAUACCACAUCCGAAUCAUAGACAGGACGAGGGCCGACGGGGGCGGAUACCAAAACCAUCGCACUAUAUAAGAUGCAAUAAUAAAUGUAAGAAAAUGAUACAAGUAUCUAUCUAAACAUACAAGUAAGAAUAUUUUUCCUUUCAGAAAGAAGAUAAGAACAAGAGGCUCACCACGGUGGUGUCGGUGAUGAGAUCGGCGCGGGUGAUCGACGGCAGUGAAGACGGGGACGGGGCGUGACGGACCGCUAAAUCUAGACAAAUCUCGAGGAAAAUGGAGCUUGGAGGUCGAGCUUCGAGAGGAGAAAGCUUAAGUAGUGUGGCUCGGGCAUUCCAUCGAACACCUCAUGUGCAUAGGAGGUGAGCUAGAGCACCACAAAGCCCUCUCCCCCUCGGCCAGAGAAAACAGAGCACUGGGGUGCUCUGCUCACGAGCGAGGGGUAUAUAUAGGCACCUCAUUGGUCCCGGUUGGUGGCAUGAGCCGGGACUAAAGGGAAGCCUUUGGUCCCGGUUCGGGCCACCAACCGGGACCAAUGAUGGUGGGCCAGGAGGGAGGCCCAUUGGUCCCGGUUCGUCCCACCAACCGGGACCAAAAGGUCCAUACGAACCAGGACCAAUGGCCCACGUGGCCCGGCCGGCCCCCUGGGCUCACGAACCGGGACCAAUUCCCACAUUGGUCCCGGUUCAAGACUGAACCGGGACUAAUGGGCUGAGGCGGCCUGGACCAUAGCCCCUUUUUCUACUAGUGCUUAUGGAAAUUAUAAUAAGAUGCCCUCUAAUUUUGAGAAUAGUGUUAAAUAAUUUAUGAGUUCGCAAAAGAAUUUCAAUGCUUUGAUUGAAGAAAAAUUGCUUAAGAUUGGUGAUUUGGCUAGGAACGUGGAUAGAACUACCCUUGAUGUCGAUUCUUUGAAACUUAGAUCUAUUUCACAUAAGCAUGAUAUCAAUGAGUCUCUCAAGGCUAUGAGAAUUCCCAUUGAUGAGUGCAAGGAAAGAACCGCUAAGAUGCGUGCUAAAAAAGAUUGGUUUAUAAAAGCGUGUUCUUCUAGCUAGUUUCCGUGAAAAUAAUGAUGAAGAUCUUAAAGUGAUUGAUGUGACUCCUAUUGAAUUUUUGUUUUCCAAUAUAAAUCUUGAGAAAGAUGGGACUGGAUAUGAGUCAACUUUAGUUAGAAGGCGUCCCAAUGAUUCGGAGUUUUUAGAUAUUAAUGCAAAAAUUGAUAAAAGUGGGAUUGGAGAGGUUAAAACUUUAGGUAGUAAUGAACCCACUCUUUUGGAUUUCAAGGAAUUUAAUUAUAAUAAUUUCUCUUUAAUAGAUUGUAUUUCCUUGUUGCAAUCCAUGUUGAAUUUUCCUCAUGCUUAUAAUCAAAACAAAGCUUUUACUAAACAUAUCAUUGAUGCUAUGAUGCAAUCCUUUGAAGAAAAGCUUGAAUUGGAAGUUUCUAUUCCUACACUAGUAGACAAAGGGUCAAACAUGAAGCACAUUAGUGCCGGUUUGAAUUUGAGCCGGCACUAAUGUGUGCAUUAGUGCCGGUUCCAACGGCUAGCCGGCCGCUCUCAUUAGUACCGGUUCAUGGCGAACCUUUAGCACCGGUUCGUGCCACGAACCGGUACUAAAGUGAGUGGUGGCAGGAUGUUGUCACUCCGGGGCCCCUCCAGCACCUUUAGUACCGGGUCGUAUCACGAACCGGUCCUAAAGGCCGUCCUACAUAGACCCUUCGUCCACCCGAGCUCGCUCUGUUCUUCCCCUUUCCCCUCUCCUCUUUGUACUUUUCCCUCUUCCUCUCAAUCUCAUCACACAUUUUGCCCAAAAUUUGUCAAGAUUUGAAGGCCCCCAUCCAUUCAAAUGAUCACAAAGGUUAGCAACUUUUUCCUUUCAUCUCUCAUUGCUAGAUUAGCUCGUGCAAUGCUUUAUAUAGUGAUUGAUUUUUGAGUUUAGUAAUUUGGGAGGAAUUAUAUAUAUGUGCUAGUAUUUGAUUUAUAUGCAAUUUUAGGUCAAAAAUAACACUUAGUUUGCAUAUGUAGGUGUGGUUUACGUAGUACCUUCUAAAUCUCCGUCGUAACCACCGUCGAUCGCUCGCAACGUCCCGUCACCAGCACCACCUUUUGGUGAGCCUCUUGUUCAUGAAGUUUUAUAUAAAAAAUUGAUGUUUGUGUGAUUUGGAUAUAUAGUUACUCGUAUAAUUAUCUUACCCAUACGUUGUUUGUUAUACAUAGUGCCAUGGUUUUGAUAUCCGUCCCCGUUGGCCCUCGUCCGGGUUAUGAUUCGGAUGUGGUAUAUUCUAUUUUAAAACUAUUCAUUGCAUUUCGUGUUUAUGACAAAUUAUGCCCAUCAAGUUGACAUAGAUAUUUGUAUGUAGGAGGUAGUUGAAACGGAAAUUCCAACCGACCCUAUUGUCGAGAGGUUAAAUUUAGUUGAAAGAGAAAACGAGGAUUUGAAGGAAAAAUUGAAAAGAAUUGAGGGGGAGAAGAUGGAAUUGGAGUUGCAUGUUGCCGAUGUCGUCGAUGAUCACAAGAUUAAGAUGGAGAAAAUGCGCUUGAAGAUUAGAAAGAUUAGAAAAUAUGCCAUUCAUAGUGAGGCUUGGUAGCAUUAUGCUGUUGGAUCAAUUGUUACCUUAGUUGCGAUCUUGAUCGCAUUUGUUGUUGCAUUUAAAUUCUUUAGCUAGGGACUUAUUUGUUUGUUGCAUUUAAGUGUUGUAUGAUCUUUAUGUAUGAACCUUAUGUAUUGUAUUAAUUUGAUGUUUUCGGUGUUGUGUAUUGAAGAUGAGCCGGCAAUGGAUGUACGAUGACUGAUGCUCUCCCAAGUUCAUUAAUGGCGUGCGUACUUUUCUGCUUGCGGCUGAGGCAAACAAGCGAGCGGAUGGUUGUAUGCCUUGUCCAUGUGCUGGCUGUAAGAAUGGUCACAGUUACUCUACGUCAAGAACCAUUCACGUCCACCUGUUUGAGUCUGGUUUCAUGCCCCACUAUAAUGUUUGGACCAAGCAUGGAGAAAGAGGGGUUAUGAUGGAAGACAAUGAAGAAGAAGAGGACGACGAAAGCUAUCCUGGCCAUGGGUUCCCUGAAUACGGUGAUACAACAAUGAGGGAAGAAGCUGAGCCGGUAAUGCGGGAAGAAGCUGAGCCGGCAAUGCGGGAAGAAGCUGAACAAGAGGCACGGAUGAGCCCGUUGAUGAUCUAGGUCGGGCCAUUGCCGAUGCAAAGAGAAACCGCGCUAGUGAUUUGGAGAAGAAGAAGUUGCAGCGCAUGUUAGAGGAUCACAAAAAUUGUUGUACCCGAAUUGCGUAGGUGACAAGAAAAAGCUAGGCACCACACUGGAAUUGCUGCAAUGGAAGGCAAAGAAUGGUGUAUCUGACAUGGGAUUUGGAAAGUUGCUGGUAAUGAUAAAGGAUAUGCUUCCAAAGGACAACAAAUUGCUCGAGAGUACGUACGAAGCAAAGAAGAUUGUCUGCCCUCUAGGGUUAGAGGUGCAGAUGAUACAUGCAUGCCCUAAUGAUUGCAUCCCCUACCACGGUGAGUAUGAGGAUUUGAAAGCUUGCCCGGUAUGAGGUGCAUUGCGCUAUAAGAUCAGCCACGAUGACCAUGGUGAUGUCGAGGGCGAGCGCCCCAGGAAGAAGAUACCUGCCAAGGUGAUGUGGUAUGCUCCUAUAAUACCAUGGCUGAAACGUUUGUUCCAAAACAAUGAGCAUGCCAAGGCGAUGUGAUGGCACAGAGAAGACCGUAAGAAAGACGGAAAGUUGAGAGUACCCGCUGACGGGUCGCAGUGGAGAAAAAUCGAAAGAAAGUACGGGAAGGAGUUUGCAGAUGACGCAAGGAACGUAUGGUUUGGUCUAAGCGCAGAUGGCAUUAAUCCUUUUGGGGAGCAGAGCAGCAACCAUAGCACCUGGCCUGUGACUCUAUGUUUGUAUAACCUUCCUCCUUGGUUGUGCAUGAAGCGGAAGUUCAUUAUGAUGCCAGUGCUCAUCCAAGGCCCUAAGUGUCAGGACCCCGAUUCCAAGUCACAUCGUUCUAGCCGGUAACACCUCAUAUCACUUUGCGGCCUCAUGCACGGUAUCCCACAGGUGUCGCCUUACCAUGGCCCGGGACCGUUUGCGCCUUUUGGCUCACGUAUAUGAUAGUGUCGCUAGCAUCCAUAUGACAGAGAACCCGGGCCGACAUGGCUAGUCGUGAACCCAAAGCGGCACAGACCUAUGGAGACAGGCAUACAUGAAUCACAUCAAGCAUGUCAGUCAUCAGUGAGUGAAUCCGGGCUGUAGCACUGGGCUAACAGGACUCCGGGGAACCCGGGCUGUAGCAGGCUAGGCAGGACUCCGGAUGUCACCGCGUGACAUUUCCCCGAAGGGACAGACAUAGGAACGACGUGAAACACAUGCCGGCCAGUCAAGUGUCCUGAGCAGUAGUGCUGGGCUAGCAGGACUCCGGUGAACCGGGCUGUAGCGGACUACUAUGGCUCGAGGAACACUAGACUACGUUUCCCCAUAAGAAAGGCUGCCAAGGAUAAACAACUAGAUUGUCGGAUCCCACUCAUACCAAGCAUUUCAAUCAUACACACAAUAUGCCCGAUAUGAGUACAUACAACAUGGCAUCACAAGAAAACUCUACAACUCAAAUACUUUAUUUAAAGGCUCCAGAGAGCCAUACAUAACAUGUUCAUACAGAUAGGGGUCACAUGACCCGACACUCAAGUCAUACAAUCAUACAAGCACAAGCGGAAGCAACUAGUCUGAGUACAGACACUAGAAAGAAAGAAGGCUUCUCGAAGCCUGUCUAUCUACAUAGGUCUCUCCAUGGCCAGGAUCACCACCUGGGUGGCUAGUCACUCGUCGACGUCAAGGUCUACGUAGAACCCAUCGGAGGGGCGGUGUUGUCAUCUGAAAACCGUAAUUAAGCAAACAUGAGUACAAAGGUACUCAGCAAGUCUUACAACAUAACCUACUAUAAAUGCUCAUUCUCAAGAAGGUGGUGGGGUUAUUGCAGCAAGCCAGCUUUGACUCUUGGCUAAGCUAUCCUACGGAACUCCACUAGUAAAAUAGUUUUCGCACACGAGUCCACUACUCACCAACAUAAUACUCCACCGGGGAUCCUCUCUCGUCAUCCUACGAGAGGGCCAUCCUCGGUACUCACACUUAUCUUGAGUCUUUUAGUAAUAACCAUUAACUUGUCUAUGAACUGUAUAGGCAACCAGGUAGUCCUUUACCGCGGACGCGGCUAUUCGAAUAGUUUUAUACCCUGCAGGGGUGUACUUCCUCAUACACGCUUUCACCACUUACCGCCGUUUACACGACAUGUACUCGGCAACCUUCAAGCCUUGGCCCAACGAGGGUGUCGGCCACGGCCUACCUAAACACUCAAAUCUCUAGUCCAGGUGCAUCGCCUAUCCAAGUUCCAUCCGCAGGGAGUCCGGCCGAGGUUUCCACAUACGGCCCCGAACGAUGUGAACAGGGUUCCCGAGACACCAAACAGGUGACUCGGUACACCGUGCCACGGUGUAUCUACCGCAACAUAGCCCACCCCUAGGGUCAGUGCUACGCACGGCCGCCAACACAUAACCUACAAACACCAGAAACUAUUUGCAACUCCUGGACAGAGUACUAGGGUAUUUAAGAAGCCGAGAGGGUCAAUUAAGGAUCCCAAUGCAUGGUAGUAGCUGAAUCUUAAAAUCACACAUACAGAUCUCAGUUCUUAGGGACGGCCUCAAUAAAACAACCCACCAUGUACUCCUACAUGGCCUCUCAUCGAUACCUUUACCAAAUCAUGUUCAUCACAUCCCUCACAUUACCGAUAUAACCAUUUCACUCUAGCCCAUCACCCAGAUGGACCAGACCUGACACAACUCUAAGCAUAGCAGGCAUAGCAAGGUAGGAAACACAUACCUGGCUCAAUCAACUCCUACACAUGCUAGUGGGUUUCAUCUAGUUACUGUGGCAAUGACAGGUCAUGCAGAGGAAAAGGGUUCAACUACCGUAGCACACAACAAUUUGAAUCGCGUUGUCUUAAUGCAGUAAACAAGAGCAGAAGCGAGAACAUGGGUUUGUAUCAGAAUGAUCAAUGGUUGUUUGCCUGUUGUAGUGGUAGUAGGGUACUGCCCUUCAGACGGAUACUCGGGGUUAUCCUCGGAGGCAGAACCUACCACGAAAGAUACACCGAACAUAAUCAACACAUGACAAUAUGCAACGGUAUGAUGCAUGCUAUGACAUGGCAAAAUGAAUGUGUCUUGGCCUAAUGCAAGCUGAAACAGGAUGGAAUGAACUCAUUUGAAUCAAAGAUUCAAAUGUUAGCUCAUUUAACAUGGCCUUAUUAGUGCAUUAUCUUAUUCUGCUUAAAUAGCAAGGUUAACUUGUUUUGUCAUGCAUGAAACCAUUACAGAUGGACAGAUUGAAUUUUUUUGAUCAUUUUUCAUAUAUAAAUCUUUGCAUUUGGAGCUAUGGUUGAUUUUCUAAGAUUUUUAGAAGUUUUGGCUAUUUACUGGAAUUUCCUAUUAAAGAAUAAAUCCAGUAAUUGAAUUAAUGCGUCAGCAUGACAUAGGUGUGAUGUCAGCGGGUCAACUGGGUUGGCCAGGUCAAACCUGACUGGCGGGCCCUGUCUGUCAGUGACUCAGCUAAUUAACAGAGUUAAAUUAACUCUAAUUAACUAAAAGUGGGGCCUGGGCCCACAUGUCAGUGACUGAACUAAUUAAAUUUAGUUAAAACAAAUCCUAAACUAAUCAGCAGGCCGGCCCCACCUGUCAUAGACUAACCUGGGCCCACACGGGGGUCAAACAGGGUAAACUCGCCGGCGUCUAGCCGCCGGCGAGGCCAGACGCGGCGGAGCAGUGCGGGAUUUGCACUCUGGCGACCAAAUGGGCGGCGGAGACUAUCUACGUGAUGCGGGGAGGAAGCCGCCUUUGGAAAUAUGCCCUAGAGGCAAUAAUAAAUUGAUUAUUACUAUAUUUCCUUGUUCAUGAUAAUCGUUUAUUAUCCAUGCUAGAAUUGUAUUGAUAGGAAACUCAGAUACAUGUGUGGAUACAUAGACAACACCAUGUCCCUAGUAAGCCUCUAGUUGACUAGCUCGUUGAUCAAUAGAUGGUUACAGUUUCCUGACCAUGGACAUUGGAUGUCAUUGAUAACGGGAUCACAUCAUUAGGAGAAUGAUGUGAUGGACAAGAACCAAUCCUAAGCCUAGCACAAGAUCAUGUAGUUCGUAUGCUAAAGCUUUUCUAAUGUCAAGUAUCAUUUCCUUAGACCAUGAGAUUGUGCAACUCCCGGAUACCGUGGGAGUGCUUUGAGUGUGCGAAACGUCACAACGUAACUGGGUGGCUAUAAAGGUACACUACAGGUAUCUCCAAAAGUGUCUAUUGGGUUGGCACGAAUCGAGACUGGGAUUUGUCACUCCGUGUAAACGGAGAGGUAUCUCUGGGCCCACUCGGUAGGACAUCAUCAUAAUGUGCACAAUGUGACCAAGGAGUUGAUCACGGGAUGAUGUGUUACGGAACGAGUAAAGAGACUUGCCGGUAACAAGAUUGAACAAGGUAUCGGCAUACCGACGAUCGAAUCUCGGGCAAGUAUCGUACCGAUGGACAAAGGGAAUUGCAUACGGGGUUGAUUAAGUCCUUGACAUCGUGGUUCAUCCGAUGAGAUCAUCGUGGAACAUGUGGGAGCCAACAUGGGUAUCCAGAUCCCGCUGUUGGUUAUUGAUCGGAGAGUCAUCUCGGUCAUGUCUGCAUGUCUCCUGAACCCGUAGGGUCUACACACUUAAGGUUCGAUGACGCUAGGGUUAUAAAGGAAGUUUGUAUGUGGUUACCGAAUGUUGUUCGGAGUCCCGGAUGAGAUCCCGAACGUCAUGAAGAGUUCCGGAAUGGUCCGGAGGUAAAGAUUUAUAUAUGGGAAGUCCUGUUUUGGUCACCGGAAAAGUUUCGGGUUUUAUCGGUAACGUACCGGGACCACCGGGAGGGUCCCGGGGGUCCACCAAGUGGGGCCACAAGCCCCGGAGGGCUGCAUGGGCCAAGUGUGGGAGGGGACCAGCCCCAGGUGGGCUGGUGCGGCCCCCCACCAAGGCCCAAGGCGCAAGGAAGAGGGGAAGGGGGCAAACCCUAGGGCAGAUGGGCCCUAAGGCCCACCCUGGUGCGCCUCCCCCUCUCCCCUCCCCUUGGCCGCCCCUAGAUGGGAUCUAGGGGGCUGCCGCCACCCCUAGGGAGGGAACCCUAGGUGGGGGCGCAACCCAUCCCCUCCCCCUAUAUAUAGUUGAGGUUUGGGCUGCCCAAUACACAUGAGUUCCUCUCUUUCUUGGCACAGCCCUAUCCCUCUCUUUCUCCUCAUAUCUCGCAGUGCUUGGUGAAGCCCUGCUGGAUCACCAUGCUCCGCCAUCACUACCACGCCGUUGUGCUGCUGUUGGAUGGAGUCUUCCUCAACCUCUCCCUCUCUCCUUGCUGGAUCAAGGCAUGGGAGACAUCGUCGGGCUGUACGUGUGUUGAACGCGGAGGUGCCGUCCGUUCGGCACUAGGAUCUCCGGUGAUUUGGAUCACAACGAGUACGACUCCUUCAACCCCGUUCUCUUGAACGCUUCCACUUAGCGAUCUACAAGGGUAUGUAGAUGCACUCUCCUUCCCCUCGUUGCUGGUUUCUCCAUAGAUAGAUCUUGGUGACACGUAGGAAACUUUUGAAUUUCUGCUACGUUCCCCAAUAGUGGCAUCAUGAGCUAGGUCUAUUGCGUAGAUUCUAUGCACGAGUAGAACACAAAGUAGUUGUGGGCGUUGAUUUUGUUCAAUAUGCUUACCGUUACUAGUCCAAUCUUGUUUCGACGGUAUUGUGGGAUGAAGCGGCCCGGACCGACCUUACACGUACUCUUACGUGAGACAGGUUCCACCGACUGACAUGCACUAGUUGCAUAAGGUGACUAGCGGGUGCCAGUCUCUCCCACUUUAGUCAGAACGGAUUCGAUGAAAAGGGUCGUUAUGAAGGGUAAAUAGCAAUUGGCAUAUCACGUUGUAUUUUUGCGUAGGUAAGAAACGUUCUUGCUAGAAACCCAUAGCAGCCACGUAAAACAUGCAAACAACAAUUAGAGGACGUCUAACUUGUUUUUGCAGGGUAUGCUAUGUGAUGUGAUAUGGCCAAGAAGAAUGUGAUGAAUGAUAUGUGAUGUAUGAGAUUGACCAUGUUCUUGUAAUAGGAAUCAUGACUUGCAUGUCGAUGAGUAUGACAACCGGCAGGAGCCAUAGGAGUUGUCUUUAUUUAUUGUAUGACCUACGUGUCAUUGAACAACGCCAUGUAAUUACUUUACUUUAUUGCUAACUGGUAGCCAUAGUGGUAGAAGUAAUAAGUUGGCGAGACAACUUCAUGGAGACACAAUGAUGGAGAUCAUGGUGUCAUGCCGGUGACGAUGAUGAUCAUGGAGCCCCGAAGAUGGAGAUCAAAAGGAGCAAUAUGAUAUUGGCCAUAUCAUGUCACUAUUUGAUUGCAUGUGAUGUUUAUAAUGUUUAUACAUCUUAUUUGCUUAGAAUGACGGUAGUAAAUAAGAUGAUCCCUCAUUAAAAUUUCAAGAAAGUGUUCCCCCUAACUGUGCACCGUUGCGAAAGUUCGUCCUUUUGAAGCACCACGUGAUGAUCGGGUGUGAUAGAUUCUUACGUUCGAAUACAACGGGUGUUGACGAGCCUAGCAUGUACAGACAUGGCCUCGGAACACAUGCAAAACACUUAGGUUGACUUGACGAGCCUAGCAUGUACAGACAUGGCCUCGGAACACAAGAGACCGAAAGGUCGAGCAUGAGUCGUAUGGUAGAUACGAUCAACAUGAAGAUGUUCACCGAUGUUGACUAGUCCGUCUCACGUGAUGAUCGGACACGGCCUAGUUGACUCGGAUCAUGUAAUCACUUAGAUGACUAGAGGGAUGUCUAUCUGAGUGGGAGUUCAUAAGAUGAACUUAAUUAUCCUGAACAUAGUCAAAAGGACUUUGCAAAUUAUGUCGUAGCUCACGCUAUAGUUCUACUGUUUAGAUAUGUUCCUAGAGAAAAUUUAGUUGAAAGUUGAUAGUAGCAAUUAUGCGGACUAGGUCCGUAAACUGAGGAUUGUCCUCAUUGCUUCAUAGAAGGUUUAUGUCCUUAAUGCACCGCUCAGUGUGCUGAACCUCGAACGUCGUCUGUGGAUGUUGCGAACAUCUGACAUACACAUUUUGAUAACUACGUGAUAGUUCAGUUAAACGGUUUAGAGUUGAGGCACCGAAGACGUUUUGAAACGUCACGAAACAUAUGAGAUGUUUCGAGGGCUGAAAUUGGGAUUUCAGGAUCGUGCCCACAUCAAGAGGUAUAAGACCUCCGACGAUUUUUCUUAGCCUGCAAACUAAGGGAGAAAAGCUCAACUGUUGAGCUUGUGCUCAGAUUGUCUGAGUACAACAAUCAUUUGAAUCGAGUGGGAGUUGAUCUUCCAGAUGAGAUAGUGAUGUUUCUCCGAAGUCAUUACCACCAAGCUGCUAGAGCUUCGUGAUGAACUAUAAUAUAUCAGGGACAUAUAUGAUGAUCCUUGAGAUAUUCGCGAUGUUUGACACCACAAAAGUAGAAAUCAAGAAGGAGCAUCAAUUGUUGAUGGUUGGUGAAACCACUAGUUUCAAGAAGGGCAAGGGCAAGAAGGGAUACUUCAUGAAAUGGCAAUUCAGCUGCUGCUCUAGUGAAGAAACCCAAGGUUGAACCCAAACCCGAGACUAAGUGCUUCUGUAAUAAGGGAAACAACCACUGGAGCAGAAUUACCCUAGAUACUUGGUAGAUGAGAAGGCUGGCAAAGUCGAUAGAAGUAUAUUGGAUAUACAUUGUGUUAAUGUGUACUUUACUAGUACUCCUAGUAGCACCAUGGUAUUAGAUACCGGUUCGGAUGCUAAAUGUUAGUAAACUCGAAAUAAAAGGCUGCAGAGUAAACGGAGACUAGCCAAAGGUGAGCUGGCAAAAUGUGUUGGAAGUUUUUCCAAGCUUGAUGUCAUCAAGCAUCGCACGCUCCCUCUACCAUCGAGAUCGGUGUUUGCGUUGAGCAUAGACAUGAUUGGAUUAUGUCUAUCGCAAUACGGUUAUUCAUUUAAGGAGAAUAAUGGUUACUCUGUUUAUUUGAAUAAUACCUUCAAUGGUCUUGCACCUAAAAUGAAUGGUUUAUUGAAUCUCGAUCGUAGUGAUACACAUGUUCAUGCCAGAAGAUAUAAGAUAGUAAUGAUAGUACCACCUACUUGUGGCACUGCCAUGUAAGUCAUAUCGGUAUAAAACGCAUGAAGAAGCUCCAUGUUGAUGGAUCUUUGGGCUCACUCGUUUUUGAAAAGUUUGAGACAUGCGAACCAUGUCUAUUGGUGUAUAUGCAUGAAGAAACUCCAUGCAAAUGGACCGUUUGGACUCACUCGAUUUUGAAUCACUUGAGACAUGCAAAUCAUACCACAUGGGCAAGAUGACUGAAAGCCUCGUUUUCAGUAAAAUGGAACUAGAAAGAAACUUGUUGGAAGUAAUACAUUUUGAUGUGUGCAGUCCAAUGAGUGCUGAGGCAUGUAGUGGAUUUCAUUAUGUUCUUACUUCACAGAUGAUUUGAGUAGAUACUGAGUAUAUUUACUUGAUGAAACAUAAGUCUGAAUUAUUGAAAGGUUCAAGUAAUUUCAGAGUGAAGUUGAACAUCGUCGUGACAAGAGGAUAAAAUGUCUAUGAUAUGAUCGUAGAGAUGAAUAUCUGAAUUACGAGUUUGGCACAAAAUUAAGACAUUAUGGAAAUUGUUUCACAACUAAUACAGUCUGGAACACCACAGUGUGAUGGUGUGUCCGAAUAUCAUAACUGCACCCUAUUGGAUAUGAUGCAUACCAUGAUGUCUCUUAUCAAAUUACCACGAUAGUUUAUGGGUUAGGCAUUAGAGACAACCACAUUCACUUUAAAUAGGGCACCACGUAAUUCCGAUGAGAUGACACCGUAUGAACUAUGGUUUAGAGAAACCUAAGCUGUCAUUUCUUAAAAGUUUGGGGCUGCGACGCUUAUGUGAAAAAGUUUUAGGCUGAUAAGCUCGAACCCAAAGCGGAUAAAUGCAUCUUCAUAGGACACCCAAAAUAGUUGGGUAUACCUCCUGUCUCAGAUCCGAAAGCAAUAAGGGAUUGUUUCUAGAAUCGAGUCCUUUCUCGAGGAAAGGUUUCUCUCGAAAGAAUUGAGUGUGAUGAUGGUGGAGAUUUGAUGAGGUUAUUGAACUGUCUCUUCAACUAGUGUGUGGCAGGGCACAGGGAGUUGUUCCUGUGGCACCUACACCAAUUGAAGUGGAAGCUUAUGAUAGUGAUCAUGAAACUUCAGAUCAAGUCACUACCAAACCUCGUGGGAUGACAAGGAUGCGUACUACUUCAGAGUGGUACGUAAUCCUAUCUUGGAAGUCAUGUUGCUAGACAACAAUGAACCUACAAGCUAUGGAGAAGCAAUGGUGGGCCUGGAUUCCAAAAUGGCUCGAAGCCAUAUAAUCCGAGAGAGGAUCCAUCUAUGAAAACAAAGUGUAGACUUUGGAAGAACUACUUGAUGGUCGUAAGGCUGUUAGGUACAUAGGGAUUUUAAAAGGAAGACGGACAAUGAUAGUAAGUAUCACCAUUAAGAAAGCUUGACUUGUCGUUAAGAUGUUUUCCGACAAGUUCAAGGAGUUGACUACGAUGAGACUUUCUCACUCGUAGCGAUGCUAAGAGUCUGUUGGAAUUAUAUUAGCGAUUACUGCAUUAUUUAUGAAAUCUUGCAGAUAGGAUAUCAAAACAUUGUUUCCUCGAUGUUUUUUUGAGGAAAGGUUGUAUGUGAUACAACCAGAAGGUUUUGUCAAUCCUGAAAGAUGCUAACAAGUAUGCAAAGCUCCAGCAAUCCUUCUAAGGACUGGAGUAAGCAUCUCGGAGUUGGAAUGUAUGCUUUGAUGAGAUGAUCAAAGUUUUGGGUGUAUACAAAGUUUAUGAGAAACUUGUAUUUCCAAAGAAGUGAGUGGGAGCACUAUAGAAUUUCUGAUGAGUAUAUGUUGUUAACAUAUUGUUGAUCGGAAAUGAUGUAGAAUUUCUGGAAAGCAUGCAGAGUUAUUUGAAAAGUGUUUUUCAAUGGAAAGCCUGGAUUAAGCUACUUGAACAUUGAGCAUGAAGAUCUAUAAGGAUAGAUCAAAACGCUUAAUGGUAAUUUCAAAUGAGCACAUACCUUGACAUGAUCUUGAAGGUGUUCAAGAUGGAUCAGUCAAAGAAGGAGUUCUUGCCUGAGUUGUAAGGUAUGAAGUUAAGACUUAAAGCUCGACCACGGAAGAAGAAAGAGGAAGGACGAAGGUCGUCCCCUAUGCUUUUGUCAUAGGCUCUCUACAGUAUGCUAUGUUGUGUGCCGCACUUGAAGUGUGCCUUGCCAUGAGUCAGUCAAGGGGUACAAGAGUGAUCCAAGAAUGGAUCACAAGACAACGGUCAAAGUUAUCCUUAGUAACUAGUGGACUAAGGAAUUUUCUCGAUUAUGGAGGUGGUAAAAGAGUUCGUCGUAAAGGGUUACGCCGAUGCAAACUUUGACACUAAUCUAGAUUAUUCUGAGUAGUAGACUGGAUUCGUAUAGUAGAACAGUUAUUUGGAAUAGCUCCAAAUAGAACGUGGUAGCUGCAUCUAGGAGAUGACAUAGAGAUUUGUAAAGCACACACGGAUCUGAAAGAUUCAGACCCGUUGACUAUAACAUCUCUCACAAGCAUAACAUGAUCAAACCCAGAACUCAUCGAGUGUUAAUCACAUGGUAAUGUGAACUAGAUUAUUGACUCUAGUAAACUCUUUGGGUGUUAGUCACAUGGGGAUGUGACCUUGAGUGUUUAUCACAUAUCGAUGUGAACUGGAUUAUUGACUCUAGUGCAAGUGGGAGACUGUUGGAAAUAUGCCCUAGAGGAAAUAAUAAAUUUAUUAUUAUUAUAUUUCCUUGUUCAUGAUAAUCGUUUAUUAUCCAUGCUAGAAUUGUAUUGAUAGGAAACUCAGAUACAUGUGUGGAUACAUAGACAACACCAUGUCCCUAGUAAGCCUCUAGUUGACUAGCUCGUUGAUCAAUAGAUGGUUACAGUUUCCUAACCAUGGACAUUGGAUGUCAUUGAUAACGGGAUCACAUCAUUAGGAGAAUGAUGUGAUGGACAAGACCCAAUCCUAAGCCUAGCACAAGAUCAUGUAGUUCGUAUGCUAAAGCUUUUCUAAUGUCAAGUAUCAUUUCCUUAGACCAUGAGAUUGUGCAACUCUCGGAUACCGUAGGAGUGCUUUGGGUGUGCCAAAUGUCACAACGUAACUGGGUGGCUAUGAAGGUACACUACAAGUAUCUCCAAAAGUGUCUGUUGGGUUGGCACGAAUCGAGACUGGGAUUUGUCACUCCGUGUAAACGGAGAGGUAUCUCUGGGCCCACUCGAUAGGACAUCAUCAUAAUGUGCACAAUGUGACCAAGGAGUUGAUCACGGGAUGAUGUGUUACGGAACGAGUAAAGAGACUUGCCGGUAACGAGAUUGAACAAGGUAUCGGCAUACCGACGAUCGAAUCUCGGGCAAGUAUCGUACCGAUGGACAAAGGGAAUUGCAUACGGGAUUAAUUAAGUCCUUGACAUCGUGGUUCAUCCGAUGAGAUCAUCGUGGAACAUGUGGGAGCCAACAUGGGUAUCCAGAUCCCGCUGUUGGUUAUUGACCGGAGAGUCAUCUCGGUCAUGUUUGCAUGUCUCCCGAACCCGUAGGGUCUACACACUUAAGGUUCGAUGACGCUAGGGUUAUAAAGGAAGUUUGUAUGUGGUUACCGAAUGUUGUUCGGAGUCCCGGAUGAGAUCCCGGACGUCAUGAGGAGUUCCGGAAUGGUCCGGAGGUAAAGAUUUAUAUAUAGGAAGUCCUGUUUUGGUCACCGGAAAAGUUUCGGGUUUUAUUGGUAACGUACCGGGACCACCGACAGGGUCCCGGGGGUCCACCAAGUGGGGCCACAAGCCCCGGAGGGCUGCAUGGGCCAAGUGUGGGAGGGGACCAGCCCCAGGUGGGCUGGUGCGCCCCCCCACCAAGGCCCAAGGCGCAAGGAAGAGGGGAAGGGGGCAAACCCUAGGGCAGAUGGGCCCUAAGGCCCACCCUAGUGCGCCUCCCCCUCUCCCCUCCCCUUGGCCGCCCCUAGAUGGGAUCUAGGGGGCUGCCGCCACCCCUAGGGAGGGAACCCUAGGUGGGGGCGCAGCCCCUCCCCUCCCCCUAUAUAUAGUUGAGGUUUGGGCUGCCCAAUACACAUGAGUUCCUCUCUUUCUUGGCGCAGCCCUAUCCCUCUCUUUCUCCUCAUAUCUCGUAGUGCUUGGCGAAGCCCUGCUGGAUCACCAUGCUCCUCCAUCACCACCACGCCAUUGUGCUACUGCUGGAUGGAGUCUUCCUCAACCUCUCCCUCUCUCCUUGCUGGAUCAAGGCAUGGGAGACGUCAUCGGGCUGUACGUGUGUUGAACGCGGAGGUGCCGUCCGUUCGGCACUAGGAUCUCCGGUGAUUUGGAUCACGAUGAGUACGACUCCUUCAACCCCGCACUACUAGGAAAAGGCCUACUAAUGGCGCACCAGUUUUGCCUACUAAUGGCGCAUCACUGGUGCGCCAUUACUAGCACGCCAUUAGUAAUUUUUACUAAUGGCGCACCACUGGUGCGCCAUUAGUAUCUGGUAUACUAAUGGCGCACCACUGGUGCGCCAUUAGUAUAGGCCACAGGUGCACCAUUAGUAUACCAGAUACUAAUGGCGCACCGCGUGGUGCGCCAUUAGUAUACCAUUCGGUGCUCCACUGGUAUUCCCUCCAGGUGCGCCACUAAUAACCUUAUAGGUGCGCCACUAGUAAUAAAGGAAGGUGCGCCACUAAUAAGGGCUUAAAUGCGCCACUACUAAUGUAUUUGGAAAACAAAAAAAAAUCUAAAUUUACAGAAAAAAACCUAUAAGGAAAAAUAAUUUAAAAACAAAAAAUGAAAUAGAAUCAUAAUUUUUAUUAUAGUAAGAAUAUUACAAUGUCUUUACAAGUUUCCAAUAAAAGGGAAAUUGCAAGGAAAUAAAAAAAAUCCUAAAGCUAAUCUUCUAGUAAUCUUCUCUUCUUUUUCUUCACUUUAUCCCUGCAAAAUGUAACAAAAUAAACACAAACACAAACAAACUAUUUAUAACAUGUCAAUACUGUCAUUUUUUCAGACCAAGUAACUAACAACUUCAGUGAGACAGGCACAGUGCAGUGUGAAUUUCAAUUGGCUAAAUCAUAUAUAGAAAUCAGUAUCUUCUCUAUGAACCUGAAACUGAGAUGACUGGACUAAUUUUGCACAUUUGAUUUAUGAAUUUAUUCUUCUUCGACAACCAACUAAACUUCGGAUCACCUACUAAGCAUCUGUACAUACUACAUAGGCUGAUUAAUCCAACAGCCACAAUGCAAAUAUUGACUAUUUCCAUUCAACUUCUUCACUUACUCAUUAUUAUCUAAUGAAACCAUUCGUAACUAAUGAAGCAGAUUGGCUAAAGUUAUUAUCAAGUCCUAAGUCCUAAUUGAAGCAGAUCUGCUAGGGUUCUUCUCGCUAGCCCCUCAUGGCCAACCGUUUCGGAACAGGCAGGCAGAGCUGCUUGGCCGGUGGCUAGGGAGUCGCUGGUGAUGUUGGGCAUCUCACACGAGCACCUGGCUAUUUGAGGAAACCGAAAUAGUAGCAUAAACAAGAUUGAUUCCGAGGAAAUGAUAGAACCUAUUCUAUCAAAGUGCUACUCCCCCCGUUCCAUAAUUCCAGUCGUGGUUUUUUAACUAAAACCAUGAAGAGAACUAUGGAAUGGAGGGAGUAGAAAACAAUAGCAUGCUUAAAAUUCUACCAUACACAGCAGCAACAGACAUUACACAAGCAUUUAUUUAUUUAUUGCAUUUGGCACAAGUUAAAAAUUCUCACAAGCAGAGGCGGUCCUAUCAGACAAAAAGAACAUGGACCGCUCAUUACAAAGCACUUCUACUGCAGUAUCAUGGAGUAGGAAAAGGGGCUUAAGCAGCAAAGAAGUAUAAUAAGAGAAAAAAACACUAUGGCGGCUGGAACUAGAAGAGCACCAUCACAGGUUCGAAACAUCACCAUGGAGUCGAUGGCCGGCAUAGCCCAUGGCAGGGCUGGAUGGGCAGCAUAAUAACACAAUAAAAGUUUGAUGUAUACUUAUUCGUUUGAAAAGAUGCAAGCUUAUUUACACCCUAGGACUGUUGAUUAGGGUCUGGAUGGUAUUUUUGUUCCUUGCGUAAGUAAGAGAAGGACUAGCAUCCAUAGUAGAAAGAAGGGUAAACAUACAUAAAGGAAAGUUUUUAUAGCGUCACGACCGAAAGAGGCUACGUGCGGCUGGGUGAAAUGGACAAGGUUUCAUGUAUGCAAUAUAUUAUAGAAAAAUAAGUGUUGACAGAAAAUGAAAGAUUUCCUGUCAAACAAACAGAGCUUCAUUUUGUAACAUUUCUGACCCACAUGAUAAUUGUACAACAUAGUAGAGGAGACCACUGUACAUACAUGUGUUGAAUGAAGCAGACUAAGAAAUAUUGGGUGGGUAUAAAGAAUACAAUAGUACGGUAGCUGAUGUAAACAAGUGCAGAGUUGCAUCCACAGAAUAGGUAACAAAUUAAAUAGCCCUGGUGCCAACAGUAGAGUUCGUGUAUCCAAUCCAUCCUUUGUUUAACACAGCAGCUCCAACUCUUGUGUAACAAAUUAAGUUUGGCAUGGGCACACAUAAAGCACUGACAUUUUCAUGGCUCGAUGGCCGUGGGCUAAGGGAGCAGAGGAGGAGGUGCGGCUCACCUCACAUGGCGGCGGAACCGAGGGAUGAAGGUGCGGCGCACCGGAGCAGGCAGAGGUGCCUUGUGUUGGCCAAACACGUGGCCAGCAGCAGAGAAGCGCUUCUCUUGCUCGACGGAUGUUGGGUGUGUGUGAGGCGUGCUCCUGCCUGCCUGCCUGCGUGAGGAACGGGAGGACCAUUAGAGAAGAGAAGGGAAGGGAAGAAGAGCAGGUAGAGGAUGGCAAGGGGAGAGGAGGGAAUCAAAAUCAAAGAUGAGAAGAUGACCUUGAGGAGGAGCAGGGGAAGAGCGGAGCAGCAGAAACAGAGGCCUUCCUCUCCCGGUGGUGAGGACCGAGGCGACCUCCGUCACGGCCUAGCCAGGUCGACGACUCUGGCGACCGUGGCUGCCAGAUCCGGUGUCACCAUGGCCGGCCUCCUCCUGUGGUGCCUGCUAGGUCGCCAUGGCCGCGGGCUCCUUGUCCGUGGCGGCUGGAUCUGGGGCCUUGGGGUGGCGGGGAGCUCCUCCUCCUGCAGCUCGGCGGCCUCCACACCCCGGAGCAACGCCGUCGCCGGAGGACGUGGUCACCUGCUCUCCUCUGGAUCCGGUGAGGAGGGUUGGGGAAGGAGCUCACCACGGCUCCAUGCCCUGGAUCUGGUGUGAGGGAGGGGGAAGGGAGCUCGCCGUGGUCAGGAGGGAGAGGAAGAGGCGGGCGGCCGGGGCUUCCCGAUCUAAAUCAAAGUCGAGGGAGGUGGGUGGGUGUGUCAGGAGGAAGGUGAGGGGGAGAGAACGUGACAAGAUGGAGGGGAUAAGGGGUGAUAGCAAUGGCGCACUGGUAGGGGUGCGCCAUACGUAUAGAUAGCAAUGGCGCAUCUCUUACUGGUGCGCCAUUACUAGUUUAAACUAGUAAUGGUGCACGGUGGAACAGUGCGCUAUUAGUAGUUUUGCAAAAAAAAGUAAUAAAAAUAUAAUAAAAAAACAACAUUAGUGGCGCACUUUUCGACAGGUGCGCCAUUACUAGUUACAACUAGUAAUGGCGCACUGUGUCUGGAUGCGCCAUUAGUAUGUUUGGACAGGCGCACUAGUUCAAAAAAAAUUGAUACUAAUGGCGCACCCUGGGCCAGGUGCGCCAUUAGUAGUUUCAACUCUAAUGGCGUAUCAGAAGGUGGUGCGCCAUUAGUAUAUACCCUUGUAGAGGACUUAGGACUUGAUAAUAACUUUAGCCAAUCUGCUUCAUUAGUUACGAAUGGUUUCAUUAGAUAAUAAUGAGUAAGUGAAGAAGUUGAAUGGAAAUAGUCAAUAUUUGCAUUGUGGCUGUUGGAUUAAUCAGCCUAUGUAGUAUGUACAGAUGCUUAGAAGGUGAUCCGAAGUUGGAGAGGUCGGGGAUGAGCUGAUGCGGCGGGGGUGGUGAAGGGGAUCUCUGGUGGCCGGAGUUGAGGACGAGCUCGGUGCAGCGUCUCCGAGGCGAGCAAGCGCUCGGGCGCGGCCUACUCGAUGUAGUCGAUGGCGGCGGAGCUCGUGGACACGAUGGCGCGGCGCGAGGACGACGGAAGGCACGGCUACGACGACGGUGCGGCGACAGAAGUGUCGGCCAUGGUGGGGAACGGCGAAGGGAUAGAGACAGGGGGGAAAUGGCGUGUCCAGGGGCUUCGGGGUGCGACGUGGAGGCGUCCAGGCGUCUAGGGGCGCGGGCGGCAAGCAGGUGACGCCGUGGUGAGCUCGGGCACGCCGGAGUCACCUCCCUGCCUGCGUGGCGGGGAAGAAGCAGCUGGCUGGCGCGAGCCAGCACAGUGCUGGGCCGCCUGGUGGGCCGGCGGGUGAGAUAGCUGGGCCGCGCCAGGUAAGCUUCUCUCUCUCUCUCUCUUUCUUAUUUGUUUUCUUUUUCUAUUUUUCUGCAACUGUUGGGCUUUAUUAAAAAUACCUAGACAUCUUUAAAAAUCCUGAAAAUAAUCAGGGGCUCUGUUUAGAUUAUUCCCAACAGCCCACACUUAUUUCUAGAAUUAUUUGAGCAUUUAAAUUAUUUUAUAGCAUUUAAAUGCCCAAAUUCAAAUACUUAUGAUUUAAUUCAAGAAAAUCCAGAAUGUCCUAGAAAAGAGUGCACCAUUUUUGCCAGGGGUUUUAGCCCAAUCCAGAAAUGAUGAACAUUUUGUGAAAGGCAUUUUGGGUUCAUUGAAAAUAAUUUUAGUAAACCCUAGUUGUUUCCAGGGGGUGCUGGGGGUUCUGUCAUCCCCAUUUCAAAUUUAAAAGGAAUUUAAACAUGAUGCACACUCUAAUGCUUGAACUAGCUAGGGUGUGACACUAAGCAACCCGGCAACGACAUAGAUGUGUACCUAAGGCCAUUAGUUGAAGAACUCUUACAACUGUGGAAUGGAACAGGUGUACGUGCGUGGGAUGAGCACAUGGGGAAAGAAUUUGACCUAAAGGCGUUGUUGUUCGUGACCAUCAAUGAUUGGCCUGCUCUCACUAACCUUUUAGGACAGACAAACAAGGGAUACCGCGCAUGCACGCACUGUUUGGACGAUGCCGACAGUAUAUAUUUGGCUAAAUGUAAGAAGAAUGUGUACCUGGGACAUCAUCGAUUUCUUCCGAGCAGGCAUCCCGUAAGAAAGAAAGGCAAGCAUUUCAAAGGUGAGGCGGAUCACCGGACGAAGCCUCGCCACCGUACUGGUGCUGAUGUACAUGAUAUGGUCAACGAUUUGAAGGUGGUCUUUGGAAAGGGUCCUGGUGGACAACCUAUUCCGAAUGACGCUGACGGACGCGCACCCAUGUGGAAGAAGAAAUCUAUAUUUUGGGACCUGCCCUAUUGGAAAGACCUAGAGGUCCGCUCCGCAAUCGACGUGAUGCACGUGACGAAAAUCUUUGUGUGACCCUGCUUGGCUUCUUGGGCGUGUAUGGGAAGACAAAAGAUACACCUGAGGCACGGGAGGACCAACAAUGUAUGCACGGAAAAGAUGGCAUACAUCAGGGUCAUGCAAGCUACGCUCUUACCAAAGAAGAGAAGGAAAUCUUCUUUGAAUGCCUGCUCAGUAUUAAGGUACCGUCUGGCUUCUCGUCUAAUAUAAAGGGAAUAAUAAACAUGGCAGACAAAAGUUCCAGAACCUAAAGUCUCAUGACUGCCACGUGAUUAUGGCGCAACUGCUUCCGGUUGCAUUGAGGGGGCUUCUACCAGAAAACGUUCGAUUAGCCAUUGUGAAGCUAUGUGCAUUUCUCAAUGCAAUCUCUCAGAAGGUAAUCGAUCCAGAAAUAAUACCAAGGUUAGAGAAUUAUUUGGUGCAAUGUCUUGUCAGUUUCGAGUUGGUGUUCCCACCAUCCUUCUUCAACAUCAUGACGCACGUCCUAGUUCACCUAUGCGAAGAGAUUAACGUUUUGGGUCAUGUAUUUCUACACAAUAUGUUCCCCUUUGAGAGGUUCAUGGGAGUCUUAAAGAAAUAUGUUCAUAACCGUGCUAGGCCAGAAGGAAGCAUCUCCAAGGCCAUGAAAAUGAGGAGGUCAUUGAGUUUUGUAUUGACUUUAUUCCUGACCUUAAGCCGAUUGGUGUUCCUGAAUCGCGGCAUAAGGGCAGACUGGAUGGAAAAGGCACGCUAGGAGGGGAACAAAUAAUAUGUAUGUACGGACAUUCUCUCACUGAAGCACACUACACAGUUCUACAGAAUUCCGCCUUGGUGGCUCCAUAUAUGGAUGAACACAAGAAUUUGCUACGCUCCAAACACCCGGAGCGGUCUGAUGACUGGAUUACACGUGAACAAACCAGAAGUUUCGCCAGCUGGUUGCAGACACGUACCAUGCAUGACACCUCUAUUGAAGAUGACCUGUACUUGCUGUCCCAGUUACCAUCUUCGAAUAUAAUGACUUUCAAAGGGUACCAGAUAAAUGGUAAUACAUUUUACACGAUCGCCCAAGAUAAGAAGAGCACCAACCAAAACAGUGGUGUCUACUUUGAUGCAGAAACCAAGACGGGAAAGGAAACAUAUUAUGGUUAUAUACCGGACAUAUGGGAACUUGACUAUCGACGUGGUUUAAAGGUCCCUUUGUUUCGGUGCAAAUGGGUCAAUAUGACACGAGGCGGGGUAACGGAAGACCCGCAGUACGGAAUGACAACAGUGGAUCUCAACAAUCUUGCGUAUGCAGACGAACCAUUCGUCCUAGCCAAUGAUGUGGCACAGGUUUUCUAUGUGAAGGACAUGUCUACCAAGCCAAGAAAAAGAAAAGAUAAGGAAGCGAAUGCAUCGUACGAUGAGCCAAAGCGGCACAUAGUUCUUUCUAGGAAGAGAAACAUCGUGGGAGUGGAUGACAAGACAGACAUGUCAGAAGAUUAUGAAAAGUUUGAUGAAAUUGCUCCAUUCACAGUGAAUAUUGACCCGAGCAUCCCGUUAAAUGAUGAAGAUUUUCCAUGGUUACGGCGCAAAGGGACGCACGCGAAGAAAAAGUUUCACACCCAAAGAUCUGGGAUGUGAUCGGCUUCACUAUCAUCACUUUCUUCUGUGUUUCACACCCAGGAGGGAAUCUCUGUAAUAGUUAGGGUAGUUAUGUGUUUUGGCAUUUGAAACGCGAAGAAAUUUUAUGUGCAAACAAAUUCUUUCAUGCCUUUACUGAUUUUUAAAGUUAAGUUAUUCACAAACUAGUGAUUCACACUAAUUUCAAAUAAUUCAAAAUUUAAACUAUUCAAAUUUGAAAACUACAGGCACUAACAGAAAGUUUGUAAUUUUUUGUACCUAAAGCAAAAAUUGAAGGAAAUAUGCCCUAGAGGCAAUAAUAAAGUUAUUAUUUAUUUCCUUAUAUCAUGAUAAAUGUUUAUUAUUCAUGCUAGAAUUGUAUUAACCGGAAACAUAAUACAUGUGUGAAUACAUAGACAAACAGAGUGUCACUAGUAUGCCUCUACUUGACUAGCUCGUUAAUCAAAGAUGGUUAUGUUUCCUAACCAUGGACAAAGAGUUGUUAUUUGAUUAACGGGAUCACAUCAUUAGGUGAAUGAUCUGAUUGACAUGACCCAUUCCAUUAGCUUAGCACCCGAUCGUUUAGUAUGUUGCUAUUGCUUUCUUCAUGACUUAUACAUGUUCCUAUGACUAUGAGAUUAUGCAACUCCCGUUUGCCGGAGGAACACUUUGUGUGCUACCAAACGUCACAACAUAACUGGGUGAUUAUAAAGGUGCUCUACAGGUGUCUCCAAAGGUACAUGUUGGGUUGGCGUAUUUCGAGAUUAGGAUUUGUCACUCCGAUCGUCGGAGAGGUAUCUCUGGGCCCUCUAAUGCACAUCACUUAAGCCUUGCAAGCAUUGCAGCUAAUGAGUUAGUUGCGGGAUGAUGUAUUACGGAACGAGUAAAGAGACUUGCCGGUAAUGAGAUUGAACUAGGUAUUGGAUACCGACGAUCGAAUCUCGGGCAAGUAACAUACCGAUGACAAAGGGAACAACGUAUGUUGUUAUGCGGUCUGACCGAUAAAAGAUCUUCGUAGAAUAUGUAGGAACCAAUAUGGGCAUCAAGGUCCCGCUAUUGGUUAUUGACCGGAGACGUGUCUCGGUCAUGUCUACAUUGUUCUCGAACCCGUAGGGUCCGCACGCUUAAGGUUUCGAUGACAGUUAUAUUAUGAGUUUAUGAGUUUUGAUGUACCAAAGGAGUUCGGAGUCCCGGCUGAGAUUGGGGACAUGACGAGGAGUCUCGAAAUGGUCGAGACGUAAAAAUCGAUAUAUUGGACGACUAUAUUCGGACAUCGGAAAGGUUCCGAGUGAUUCGAGUAUUUUUCGGAGUACCGGAGAGUUACGGGAAUUCGCCGGGAGAAGUAUUGGGCCUUAUUGGGCCAUACGGGAAAGAGAGAGGGGCUGCCUAGGGUAGGCCGCGCGCCCCCCAAGGCCUAGUCCGAAUUGGACUAGGGGGAGGGGCUGCGCCCCUUCCUUGUUUCCUACUCCUACUACAUGGAAGGACUCCUACUUGGACUAGGAAAGGGGGAAUCCUACUCCCGGUGAGAGUAGGACUUCUCUAGGCGCGCCAUAGAGAGGGCCGGCCCUCCCCUCCUGCACUCCUUGAUAUACGGGGGCAGGGGGCACCCCAUAGACACACAAGUUGAUCCACGUGAUCAUAUUCUUAGCCGUGUGCGGUGCCCCCUUCCACUAUAGUCCUCGAUAAUAUUGUAGCAGUGCUUAGGCGAAGCCCUGCGACAGUAGUACAUCAAGAUCGUCACCACGCCGUCGUGCUGACGGAACUCUUGCCCGACACUUUGCUGGAUCGGAGUCCGGGGAUCGUCAUCGAGCUGAACGUGUGCUAGAACUCGGAGGUGCCGUAGUUUCAGUGCUUGAUCGUCGGGCCGUGAAGACGUACGACUACAUCAACCGCGUUGUCAUAACGCUUUUGCUAUCGGUCUACAAGGGUACGUAGAUCACACUCUCCCCUCUCGUUGCUAUGCAUCACCAUGAUCUUGCGUGUGCGUAGGAAAUUUUUUGAAAUUACUACGUUCCCCAACAGUGGCAUCCGAGCCUAGGUUUUAUGCGUUGAUGUAAUAUGCACGAGUAGAACACAAGUGAGUUGUGGGCGAUAUAAGUCAUACUGCUUACCAGCAUGUCACAGUUUGGUUCGGCGGUAUUGUUGGAUGAAGCGGCCCGGACCGACAUUACGCGUACGCUUAUGCGAGACUGGUUCUACCGACGUGCUUUGCACACAGGUGGCUGGCGGGUGUCAGUUUCUCCAACUUUAGUUGAACCGAGUGUGGCUACGCCCGGUCCUUGCGAAGGUUAAAACAACACCAACUUGACAAACUAUCGUUGUGGUUUUUGAUGCGUAGGUAAGAACGGUUCUUGCUAAGCCCGUAGCAGCCACGUAAAACUUGCAACAACAAA